GUCAGAUGAAAGCAAAUGCAACUACAGAAAGCCAAUGAAUAAUAAACUUAUCUAAUACUCAGGAACUUCGAAAUUUUUCUUGAGCAUUUUUACUUUGUUCCAGCAUCCUACUCUCCGUUGCAAAAAUUUGAACCUUUGUAUGGUCAGAAUAUUCAGUUUUCUUGUCUUGUGUUAGAUAUACUGGCUAAAUUGCCCAUUUAAUCAUUUUAACCCAUUUAAUGUGUUUUUUCUAAUAUUAAUAUAAUAAAAUUCAGUUUUGCUAUGUGUAAAGAAAAAGUGCCGCCAGAAUUGUUACAAAACACAUUUAGCAGUUUUUUAUUGGACAAUGACAAAAAAAAAAUAAUAAUAAUAAUAAAUAAAAAAUGAAAAACAGACCAAACAGAGAUGCUGGCAGUAAUUCCUUUGUACAAGGGGAAUUGCUGAAUAAAAUUUUAAACACAACUGGACAAUACACAAAUAAGAUUUUAACAGUUUUUUUCCCUAAACUGGAAAGAAUGAAACCUAUUGUAGAAAUGAACAGAAGGGGGAUUCAUUAGAAACGGUGCUGUUCAUAAUUCAUAAUCUGUAUAAUUGUUAAAAUCCCCAAAACAAACGAAGAAAAGUGCCAACAAGAAAUAACUUCCAAGCAUUGAAACAGAUCCAUUUUCUCAGCUCAUUCAUCCGUUAAUCGCCGUCCUGACAACCUGAUAAAUAACUGCAAAAGUAGAAAAAAUAUAACGUCUGCCGACAAUUGAAUAAUUAUAUUAUUCCCAGUUAAUAGUAUUCAAUUAAGCACAGAGAAGAAAAAAAAAAAAACCUUACAUGACAAUAGUAUCAGAACUGCAAAGAGGACAAGAACCAUGAGUACAGGUUCCCAUUCUUCUUUCUUAGAUGAUUGAGGAGCCAGUCCUCUCCUUGUGAUAUUCUUUUCAAAUUUCGCUGUUUUCUUUUCUGCCAGACUUUUCGAAGUAGUCUGCAAAUCUUUCUUAUCAUCAAGAUUUAAUGGAGUUGGAAAACAAACUUGUAUAAACUGCCCCUUGACAUGGGGACGCUAGAGAAUUUUCAUGAUUAUCCUUAAUCUCAAAUAAAGCCUAUUGGAGAUGCUCUUACUGUCUUACAUAGCAAAAUAAAUAAAUAAGGAAAAGAAAAUUCAGAAUCAGAUCCCCAGGAAACUGCUAUUAAUCUUUAUCUUUUCAUCCCAGGAAAUUCCAAUUGCGUCCAAGCUGUAUAUUUCUUGAAAUAAUAAUUUCAUAUUUAAUGCAAAAACAAGAGCAUCAACCAAAAAUGGAAUAUGUGGAAAUGUAAAAAUAAAAUUAUAUUCCUUAUUCUCUGUAUCAUAAAUUGCGGCUUAAAAGAAAGGAAGAAGAAACUGAAGGUACUCUAAAUUUCGCUUCAGAACUAUCACCGCUCAGUCAUCUAUAUUCAGACAAAUUCAUAUAUCACGUUCUAUGGAUAUGAAAGAAAUGAAGACAUCUACGGAAUCGAUUCUCGUAUAUUAGACUAUUUAGCUUAGCUGGCAAUAGCUGGCAAUUGAUUGUAGUACCGUUAGUUAGUUAGAUGAAGUUAGUUAGUUAAAGUUAGUUAGUUAACUGCAGUUUAGUGAGCUGGGAUAUUCUGUUUGAUGCUGGCAUAUUCUGUUAAUGAACCAAGCUGUAUUUAUAUCUGGAUGUACGACAUUUUUAGAUGAAUGAAUCAUUUCUUUCAUUUCAUAGCUUUCUUCUUCAAUAUGGUAUCAGAGCAUUUCCUUUUUCUCUGAGAAAUCCUAUUUGAUUUGAAGUUUCAUUCAUGGCUUUGAAUGUACCGAACUCAACAUCAAAUAAUCCUUCAUCGUCAGUCAGUAAUUUAGUUACUGAUGAUGGAACCAGCCCGUAUUUUCUACAUCAUUCGGAUAGUCCAGGUCUUGUCCUCGUUUCACAGCAGUUGGUUGGGGACAACUAUGCAUCCUGGAGCCGAUCGAUGAUGAUAGCACUCUCAGUGAAAAACAAAUUAGGAUUCAUUAAUGGAUCUAUUCCUCGGCCUGAAAAUGACCAGGAAUUACUCAAUUCAUGGAUCCGAAAUAACAACAUUGUCAUUUCCUGGAUUCUCAAUUCUGUAUCCAAGGAAAUCUCUGCAAGUGUCAUAUAUUCCGAAUCUGCAUAUGAGAUUUGGAAGGAUCUAAAGGAGCGAUUUCAACAAAAGAACGGGCCACGCAUAUUCCAGUUGAGGCGAGACCUGAUGAAUCUCACACAAGGUCAGUUAUCUGUCAGUGCAUAUUUCACAAAAUUGAAGACAAUUUGGGAGGAACUCAGCAACUACCGACCUAUGUGUUCAUGUGGAAAAUGUGACUGUGGAGGUACUAAAAGACUUGCUGAACAUUAUCACACGGAAUACGUUAUGUCCUUCUUAAUGGGGUUGCAUGAGUCCUUUGCUCAAGUUCGGGGUCAAUUACUGCUGAUGGACCCUAUUCCUCCCAUUAACAAGGUCUUUGCCCUUGUUUCUCAAGAAGAACACCAGAGGAAAGUUAAUGAAGCUAUGAAUGCAUCUGGAUCUGACUCCAUGACCUUUCAAGUUCAAAGUAAUACUAGAAAGGAUGGUGGAUAUUAUUCCAACAGAAAUCAGAAGAAAGAGAAACCUGUGUGUACCUACUGUGGAUACACAGGCCAUGCAGUUAACAAGUGCUACAAACUGCAUGGUUAUCCCCCGGGUUAUAAACCUAAGCAAAGACCUGUAAUGAACAGCCAAGCUGGAUCAAAUAAUCAUGCUGUUGCCAAUCAAGUUUCUGAACAUCAGGUCACUGAUCUUGCCGUGGAUCAAUCACAAGGAAAUGUUGAAGGAUUUGUGAAAGACUUGAUGCUGAUCAAUACCAGCACCUGAUUAAUAUACUAAAUAGUCACCUCAAGGCUGCAAAGAUAGAUACAGAGAUGAACGUUAUCUCUGGAAAUGAAUCAGGUACCUGUUUCUCGAUUUCUGUUAAUCCAUCAAUUACUUCGCCUAAGUACUGGAUAGUGGACUCGGGUGCCACAAGCCACAUUUGUUUUAACCAUUCGGCUUUUCACACUAUGAAUCACAUUGAGAAUACAUAUGUUACAUUACCAAACCACACCAAGAUCCCAGUGCAUUCAAUUGGGACUGUGCAUUUGUCACCGGAAUUGGUACUGAAUGAUGUAUUAUUUGUCCCGCGAUUCAAGUUCAAUCUGCUAUCAGUAAGCUCCUUAACCAGAAAAUCAUCAUUGUGUAUCAAAUUUCUCACUGAUUCAUGUAUCAUUCAGGAUCUGCAAACUAUGAAGAUGACUGGCAAGGGUGAGAGGAAUGCAGGCCUUUAUGUGAUGGAAGUUGAUUCUGGUUCAUUUCAUCAUCCCAAAAGUGUUAAUUCCCCUUGUUUUUCAAUAGUUAAUAAUGUGACUGAUAAGCUUUGGCACAAUAGGCUUGGUCACUUAUCAUAUCAGAAACUGAAUUUGUUGAAGGACCAAUUACGGUUUGAUUGUAAUAGACAAAAUGGUGACAUUGUAUCUCCUUGCCCCAUCUGCCCUUUAGCUAAGCAAAGGAGGUUAUCUUUUGUUUCAAAUAAUCGUUUAUCUGCUGCUGCUUUUGACUUGGUACACUGUGAUAUUUGGGGGCCAUAUCACACCCCAACACAUGGUGGUCAUAGAUAUUUUCUCACCUUGGUAGAUGAUUGCACAAGGUUUACUUGGAUAUAUCUUAUGAAACAGAAAUCUGAUGCUAAUUCUGUCAUUCCCAAAUUUUUCACUCUUAUUGAGACUCAAUUUCACAAGACAAUCCAGAAAUUCAGAUCAGAUAAUGCUCGGGAAUUAAAAUUCACAGACUAUUUUAACGCAAAGGGAGUCAUUCAUCAGUUUGCAUGUGUAGAAAGACCUGAGCAAAAUUCUGUAGUGGAAAGGAAGCACCAACAUCUCCUUAACGUGGCUCGGGCUUUAUUUUUUCAAUCACGAGUUCCCAUUCAAUUUUGGGGAGAUUGUGUGCUAACAGCUACAUUUUUAAUUAACAGAACCCCUUCCCCAAUCUUGAAAAACAACACUCCAUUUUCACUAUUAUAUGGCAAAGCAAUAGAUUACAGUUUUCUAAAGGUCUUUGGUAGUCUUUGUUUUGCCUCAACACUACCAUCCCAUAGACAUAAGUUCCAUCCCCGAGCCACAGCAUGUGUAUUCAUAGGCUAUCCUCCGGGCAUUAAAGGCUAUAAAUUGUAUGAUAUCUCAUCAAAAUCUUUUUUUGUCUCUAGAGAUGUUGUAUUUCAUGAAAACCACUUUCCUUUCCAUUCCAUACCUCACACAAAUGAUCUUAUUGAUCCAUUUCCUGAUAUUGUUUUGCCACACAUUACUUCUGACUCAAUACCCUAUCACUCAAAUCCAUCCACAACAUCCAAUCUACCCUUGGUUGAUAAUGAUAAUGGCCAAGACUCCUCUGAUGAUGAUAAUGGCCAGGACUCCUCUGACCUGCCCAUCAUUCCUUCUACAUCUUUAACCUCAAUUCCAGAUUCCAUUGAGGAACGAGUACUAGAUUCUACUCAACCUUCAUCCUCUCUCCGUAGAAGAUCAACUAGAAUCAGCAAAAUUAUAUUAUUCCCAGUUAAUAGUAUUCAAUUAAGCACAGAGAAAAAAAAAAAAAAAACCUUACAUGACAAUAGUAUCAGAACUGCAAAGAGGACAAGAACCAUGAGUGCAGGUUCCCAUUCUUCUUUCUUAGAUGAUUGAGGAGCCAGUCCUCUCCUUGUGAUAUUCUUUUCAAAUUUCGCUGUUUUCUUUUCUGCCAGACGUUUCGAAGUAGUCUGCAAAUCUUUCUUACCAUCAAGAUUUAAUGGAGUUGGAAAACAAACUUGUAUAAACUGCCCCUUGACAUGUGGACGCUAGAGAAUUUUCAUGAUUAUCCUUAAUCUCAAAUAAAGCCUAUUGGAGAUGCUCUUACUGUCUUACAUAACAAAAUAAAUAAAUAAAGAAAGAAAGAAAAAAAGGAAAAGAAAAUCAGAAUCAGAUCCCCAGGAAACUGCUAUUAAUCUUUAUCUUUUCAUCCCCAGGAAAUUCCAGUUGCGUCCAAGCUGUAUAUUUCUUGAAACAAUAAUUUUAUAUUUAAUGCAAAAACAAGAGCUGAAGAGCAUCAACCAAAAAUGGAAUAUGUGGAAAUGCAAAAAUAAAAUUAUAUUCCUUAUUCUCUGUAUCAUAAAUUGCGGCUUAAAAGAAAGGAAGAAGAAACUGAAGGUACUCUAAAUUACGCUUCAGAAAUAUCACCGCUCAGUCAUCUAUAUUCAGACAAAUUCAUAUAUCACGUUCUAUGGAUAUGAAAGAAAUGAAGACAUCUACGGAAUCGAUUCUCGUACAAAGUGAACAAGUAAAAACUAAAUUUUUGUUUUAAAAAAAAAAAAAUUCCAGAUGCAUUAGCGCAUGCAAAAGGAAAGUUAUCGGGAUAGAAAAAUCUACGGUGAAGCCCAAGUUACCAAAAGAUCAAUGGGGAGGGAGGGAGGGGGAGAGAGAGAGAGAGAGAGAGAAGCCUCUACCAUGAUCUUUCCGCUUGGAGACUGGUAAUGCUACCCGAGAGAGAAGAAGGAGAUGAGACAGAGAAUGCGAGUCUGAAAGACCUUUUGGUAACAGCACGGAAACCUAGGACUUUUGACACAACUUAUUCAGUUAUCCCAUCGUGCGAUGCUUUGUUUAUUUCAAGUGCGUAUUCAAUUGAGUGACUUUUUAGAUUUAAAAAGGUAUUCAAUAUAAAUUUUUUUAGAUUCUUUAAAAGUAUUGAUGUAUUUAAUUAAAAUUUUUAUAAAUUUUUAGUAAGUCUCUAAAAUUUACGGUAUAUUCAAUUGAGAUUUUUAUAAACUUUUAAAAAGUCUCUAAAAAUUACGGUGUAUUUAAUUAAAAUUUUAUUAAAGUCUCUAUAAAUUUUGAGUAUUCAAAUUUUAAUAAUUUCUAAAAUUUCUAGAGUACUAAAUUUUAAGCAAAAAGUACUCUAUAAGAUCUCAAAAUUUGUCAAUCAUUAAUCAAGAAAUUUUGGGAAAAUUUUACUAAAAUUUGAUUUUUUUUUUCAAUCUUUCUUUCAUUUUCCUUCUAUGAUUAAAAUUUAUUUAUUUUUAUUGAUUAUAUUUACAAUUUAUUUCUCUCUCUUAUUGUUUAUCUCUAUUUUCUAUGAAAAAAUUAAAUUGAAUUUUUGUAAUUUUUUUUCUUUUUUUUCAUUCAUUUUUUUGUGAAAAAAUAACUAUUUUUUAUUAAAUGAUUAAAUUUUAUAUGAAAAAUUUAUAAUUAGAUUUAACUAUAUUGAUUUUUAUUUAUUUUUAAAAAUAUAUUAUAUUAAUAAUAUUGAAUAUUAAAUUUAUUGUUUAUCAUAUAUAUGAAUAAUUUUGAUUAUUAUUUAUUUAUUUAAUGUCUUAAAUUUUUAUUCUUUUAUUAUUAUUUUUUUAUUUAUAUGGGAAGAAAAGGGGGCAAAAUGAGGAAUUGUGGAAACCAACACUUCGUAUGUGAGAAUUUCACACCAUUAUACUAAAUCCACUGAAUUCUAUUUCAAAUGAAAAUUUUCAAAAGUUUUUUGAAUUAUAUAAAAGUUUAUAAAUAUUUUAAAAUGAAAGUUCAUAGAAGUUUACGAAAAACUUCUACUAAUUCCAUACAAAUCUAUAUAAAAAGAAAAUCCAUUAAAGUCUUUAAAAGUCAAUCAAAGUUUUCAAAAGUUUCAAUUGAAUACACUUAAUUUUAAAAAUAAAAAUAAAAAUAAAUCGAUUCGUGGCUGGUUCGACUCAGCUCACUAAUUGAAGAAUUGAGCCGAGCUCAAAUCGUUCAUAGGGUCAGUCAAAGCUUGGACAUCUACGCUGACUUAGCUCAUUAUCACCUCCAAGUCGACAUAAUUCACCCUUUGUUUUCAUUUUGGAGAGAAUAACCAAAAUGUGCGUUGUAAACGCUUUUGAGCUCUCACAUUGGCGAGUCUAUGAUUUCCUUGGAGUUCUGUAUUGCGAAGUCAUGAGAAGGAAAAUCAUGCUGCUUGGAGAGAAUGUCUUUUGUCACAAAAAAUAUUUUGAUUAUUUUUUAAAUAUUUUUUUGAAGGAAAUAAUCGCAAGAGGUACCAAGCCUUCUCAAAGUUGUAUCAAUCAGUUAGAUACAAAAUCAUCAAUAAAUAGAUCCAAAAGUAAACAAACAAGGCAUUCGAUAAUAUAAUUGAAUCCAAUAAACUAGAGGAAAUACAAUGUUGAUUUUACUACCAUUUUGUAGUAAAUAAAUUUUUUUUUAACUUGUCACGUGAAGAAAAGCUCUUGUGUAUGUGGGAAUUGAAUACGAGAUAAUUCAUAAUUUAGUAUCUUAAAUCUUUUUUAUAACCAAGAGCGGAGCUAGGGAAAAAUGUUGGGGUGGACUGAAAAAUAAAAAUAAAAAAUCAAUGAAUUCACGCCAUGAAAGAUUCUACAUGCCCCCCAAACAUAGUUGAAAAGGCUCAACUUAUUACACUAAUGACAAAGUGAGUUAGAUACUCAAAUAAGUUUAAACAUAUCAAUCCUAAAGAUGUUUUACUAAAUCUUCAUCGCUUUUCUUGCCAAAUAAAAAAUCUUGACACCUCCCUAUAAAAUAUAAAAUGUCGAAAACAUGGUAGCCAUGAACAAAUAAUGUAUACCUAGAGGCGGAGGCCCGUAUAAUUUUUUUAAGUAAAGAUUUUAGAAUUGUAGUCCAAAUGUUUGCAUUAGCCCAGCUCUAAUUUAAAUCUUAACCAAAGUCCAAUGCUCAAUUAUUCAAAUUGUAAUAAAGACACUACAAUUAUUAAUUACUCUUUUCAAGACAUUCAUGAAAUGUGGAUAUUUUAUUGUCAAAUUAGAUAUUCUAUUUAAUGCAUGUUUGACUAAAAUUUAUUUAUAAUUAUUAAGUAAAUUUUAUUAUAGAUAAUUUGUAUUGAUUAGAUCUAAAAGUAAAUUACUUAUUCUAAUAGUUAGAGACACUAUGUAUUUUUCUAAAUUACGUACGUUUUCAUUCAUUACUAAUUCGAAUUUGUAAAAAAAAAUACUUAUUUUGACCAUAAAGUAUAUAUUAUGAUCAAAAAACAACUUACUAUAAAUUUGAUAUUGAAAAUAAAAAGAAUAUGUGUUAAACAACUUAUUUAUUUAUAUAAGUAAUCUAUAUCAACAAUGUAAAUAACUUUUUUUAAAACUUUCAGUUGUUUGGAAAGACUGGUUGUCAAAGUUAUUAGAAAAGUACUCACUAAUUUAUUUUUUUAAAUGUUCAUUGGUGAAUAUGUAUAUUUUCUUAAUUCUAUCAUGAUUCGGUUAAUUUAUAUUUCUUAAGGUAGGCAUUGAUUUUCUAUUUGGUAAAAAAAAAUACAAAAAUUUAGUGGAAUAUUUUAAUUCGAGACAUCUAAACUUUAUUAUUUUAUUAAAUGUCAUAUACUUUCUAUCAUGAAUGUCACGAAAAUAACCUCCGAAACUCAAUUUCUUGUGGCGUAAGUUCAUUUAAAAAAUUUUAAAUUUCAGCCCAUCCUAACAUCAUUUUCUAGCUCCACUCUUGUGUAUACGCACCAAAAAAAUUAAGAAAAACCUAUUUUCACUACUAUGAGACAUAGGGUCUAAAAAGAACAAGAAGUCAUCCAGUUAUUAAAGGUUUUUAGUCAAAAUACACCGUUUUGAAAAUAUUAUCUAAUAUGGACAUUAGUCUUCUAUAUAUUUUAAUUCCAAAUGAAGUGGGAAAAAUUGGCCAAGAAUAUUGAGAGUUAAAAAUUGGAUUUAUUUCACUUCAUAAUUUUAAUAAUGUUAAGUUAUAAAUAAAUAAAAUUUUAAGACAUAUUUUUCUAAUAAAAUUAAAUAUAGAGCAAGUUACCCAUUUUAAUAAUAACAUCUAUUUAUGGUCAAUAAGUAUUUUUUAACUUAUAAGUAUAAUUAAUAAAUGAAAAAAAAUUUAAAUUUUAAUUACUUUUAAGAUAAUAAUAAUUAUUAUUAUUAUUAUUAUUAUUAUGUCCCUCACCAUAUUUUACACGUAUGGUCAAUUUCAUUAGAUAAUUUUCUUGCUCAUAAGCCUACUAACAUGGAAAUGCUUUCUGAUGUGAAGAGGUUAAAAUAUCAAUUAAUCCAAUUCUGUCAUCUCAUUUGGGUUUUAUUUCUUUAUACUACUGCAGCAAAAAUAAAGUUGUUUUUGGCCUUUUACCUACAAUCUUAAAUUUUAAAAGUUUUACUAUUUUGAGCAAUAAAUUUAGAAGUGGGCUAAUUCUAAAAUUUGGUCUAUUUAAGAAAUUAGGCUGGAAGUGGUCAAAUACUCAAAUAUUAGAGAAAGUGAAUAGUGGGUUAAUUCUAAAUUUGGGCCUAAAUAUAACUUUUUAAGAAAAACGUUACAAAGCAAAAUAGGAAAUGGCCCAAUCCGCCCCUGGUUAUAACUUUAAUAAAACGUUGCUAUAUUGACUAUUGAGGCAUUAGACUCGAUUAUUCUUAUAUGGAGUUCGUAUUUGGAGGCAAAGAUAGGUUGGUUUAUGCAGUUGGGGGGCCAUUGUCACAAUGCUAUUUAUUGAUUAACGUUUAUUUUUGUCUGUUUAUGUGGUAAUAGAAUCCUUGUCAAAAUUUAUUGAUUAAUAAUAUUUAUCACUAUUGGUAUUGUUUACCCACCCCUCAGUCACUACGAACACCCAUAAUCAGUGCAAUGAGAUGUGUCUAUUUAUCCAUCUCUUCACUCGAAAUGGGAGCAGGUCGUACGGGCCAAUCCGCCCCUGGUUAUAACUUUAAUAAAACGUUGCUAUAUUGACUAUUGAGGCAUUAGACUCGAUUAUUCUUAUAUGGAGUUCGUAUUUGGAGGCAAAGAUUGGUUGGUUUAUGCAGUUGGGGGGCCAUUGUCACAAUGCUAUUUAUUGAUUAACGUUUAUUUUUGUCUGUUUAUGUGGUAAUAGAAUCCUUGUCAAAAUUUAUUGAUUAAUAAUAUUUAUCACUAUUGGUAUUGUUUACCCACCCCUCAGUCACUACGAACACCCAUAAUCAGUGCAAUGGAAUGUGUCUAUUUAUCCAUCUCUUGACUCGAAAUGGGAGCAGGUCGUAAACUCCAUCUCAUUGCCUAACAGACUUGUGGUCAUAUAUAGCCUUGUUCCAGUUUAUUUCAUAUAUUGAAUUAUGUUGCUUUUCAAGUAGGAUUAAUCCAUCUCACAAUAAAACUCUAUCGAAAUCUUGUUAAGAGCACUACAGUAUGCAACACAUUUUAAUUGCAAUAAAGGUCUUAAACAUCUACAAUUAAUAUUGAUGAUUGGUGGGUCCGACGCCUAUUUGGCUUCUUUUAUUGACAUAGAUCAUGUCUUGAAUCCACUAAAGUUACAUAAGGCAAGGCGUAUCAAGAUAUCUUUCACUUCGUGAUUGCAAAGCUAAUGUAAUUUCCAUCAAAACCUCGGGAGUAUGUAAUACGUUGAUCAACUCGUGAAAAUUUAAGUCAUUGGAUUGGACUUAAUUUUCAUAAUACAUUAUUGCUAGACUUAAUCCCAGAGCUUCUUAUCACAGAUAUCACCUUGAAUCACUAGUUCUUGUUUAUAUUACGACCAAAACCAGUAGUAUCUUUCACAUACGUUUCAAGGGUUAUGUCUUAAAAGACAAUGCAAGAACCAUAAUUGAACUAGUACUGUGUCUGUGUAUACACAUAUGAAUGCCUGUGUAUGAUCUUAGUCUACCAGCUUGCAUCGCUCUUCCCUUGGUUUCCUCCGUACAAACGGAAGAGACUGAAAGCAGAAAUGGCAGAGAGAAGCACCAUAACAAGGCUUGCAAUGACAGCACUGGCAAUGCCUUCCCCAAUUUGAUUACAGAAUUUCCCAUACCAGUUGCAAACCUUUAUCCACUGCAGUUCACUCUGCCCCAUCUAGGAAAAUACAGCAGAUUGAGCAGCUGCUGCAACCGCAGACAAAGUCAAGUACGCCAUUAUCCGCACAAGUACGUUAAUUUCAGAUGUUAGGAAACGAGCAAGAAUAAAACUGGACGUCCAGGCCCCUGGACGUCCAGGCCCCUGGACGUCCAGGCGCCUAUUUGGCGCCCCCUAUUGGGGGGUCGUCUGACAGUGACAGGCGACCCCCAGUACAAACGGAAGAGACUGAAAGCAGAAAUGGCAGAGAGAAGCACCAUACCAAGGCUUGCAAUGACAGCACUGGCAAUGCCUUCCCCAAUUUGAUUACAGAAUUUCCCAUACCAGUUGCAAACCUUUAUCCACUGCAGUUCACUCUGCCCCAUCUUGGAAAAUACAGCAGAUCGAGCAGCUGCUGCAACCGCAGACAAAGUCAAGUAUGCCAUUAUCUGCACAAGUACGUUAAUUUCAGAUGUUAGGAAACGAGCAAUAUACAUAGAGGUUUAUAGUGGUUUACUCUUAACGUCGCAUCUCUUUUGCACCCAAAGAAAUAGUCUCCUAAAAAUUAUAAUACAUAUAUGGCAUAGUCAAUCUACUGCAAUAAUAUUUGUGACUCGCAAUGAAAAGGAUAAUUGAACAAUAAGAUAAGGCUCCACUUAAUCCGUGAAAUGGACCACUCAUUGUAAAUACAGAGAAGGAUUGAACUGUAAACUUUCCCCCAUCUCAGUACUCUGCCUAAAUUGUAUGGCCCCUUGAAGUUUAGAGAAGGAUUGAACACAUUUAAUGCAGGAUGAUAUGCUUCAUUCAAAUUACUCGUAAACUUUGGCACUAAAAUUAUCUAAUUUUCCAGUUGCCAAUCCCCUAUUCCAAAUAGGAAGACAUCUGAAAGAAAUCACCUUUUUGUGUCUAUUACAUAAAAAUCAGUUUUCUUGGAGUGUGUGGAUCUUAAAUGAAUCUGUCUGUUUGCUUAUUAUUACUCUGGAACAGGGCUUGAUCUUAAAUUAUAAGUAUCAACAUGCCCUAUGGUUAUGAAGUCAAAGACUCGUGACAGAUACAGACAGACUGAAGAAAUUAAGCUGUAGAAGAGUGAUAUUUGGUACCUGAUCUCCAGAGAAAAUGACCCAAGCCAAGGGCUUGUUAAAGAGCACACUUCCUCUAAUCAUACUCAAAACACACCUCAAAACUUGGAUCACGGAAUAGGCAGCAGCUAACCCACUGGCUAUUACCAAGAAUCUGUACACUCAAACAUAGGGAAAUCAUAAUUUAAUUAACAACCCAUUUUUGGAUCAGGGCUUAAUCUAUAAUGAGAGAGAGAGAGAUCUAGAUCUUACACAAGGGCUUUCAUGUCUGUAAAUUUAGCCUUCUUUUGUAUAGUAAAGAUCACUUUAACCUGAGAGUCGGUUCCAAUAAGAACAGCAGCAAGAAUGGCUAGACCACAUACCAAACACCUUAAACUCAGCUCUGCAACCCUAACUCUCCUAUCAAUUACCUUCAAAUUACUUCCAUGAACAUUAUUAAUACUAGUUCCAACACCAAGAUAACUCAUAUUUACUCCUAUUACCGAAGUAGGAAGAGAACCCACAAAAUAUAUAAGCACAAGGUUCACCUACCUACCACAUUCCACCACUUAUGAACACCUAAUCAGUAUACUUUUUUCUUCUGUCGAGUAUUUUUUUUUUUUUUAAUGGAAUGGGAGAGAGGACGAAUGUUCAAUCUUAUCGUUUGAGGAAUAGUGGAAAUUAUGAACCAUAUUUUCCUACAUAGUGAAAGAGUUGGUGUGGAUGAAUGUUUGACAAUUGCACAAGAGUAGAGUUGGUAAAAUGAUUGAAGUGAACACAUUUGGAACGCGAUUUUGUGCUCUGGUGGGCCAUUGCGGGUACACGUUUACACCUUUGUAAUAAUAAUCCUCUCCUAAAAUAAUUUCUUAUGCAAACUAAUCUCUCAACCAUAUGGUAUAGAUUCAAAAUUUGAUGAUAAUAAAGUGUAAUUUAUUGUUAGAUCAUUACCUAACCAUGAUAUUUACUUCAUGUUUGACAAAGUUUUUUUGACAUUAUAAGUUGAUAUUUUCAUAAAAUGUGAGAUUAAAAAAUGAAUAAAAAUUGUGGAUUCAAUCAAAUAUGAAAUUAAAAAUAAAGUUUGAAUUUGAAUAACUUAGAAUCUUAGAAGAACUUUGCCAAACAUGGACUAAAUCAAAUACUUCUCUCCAAAAAUGUAAAAUACAAAAAUAUAAAUUUGAGCACUUACAAAAAGGAUAAAUUUCCAAUAUUAUUUUUUUGCUCGGAGACAAAAAAUUAUGUGAUAUCAAUUAAUGAUAUCAGAACACCUAGACCAGUUCUUAGCGCCAAAGCUCUAAAAAUUUUCACAUUGUUAACAAUGAACUACAUCUUAAGAAUUCUGAAGCUGAUAUCACAUAAAAUGAUUCUAUUAUUGGUAUUUCUGCUUAGUUACGUUCAAGAUUUAGGGCGCAAAUGGCUUGAAAUCCUGCCUGGUUUUUAUCAGCAAUUUUUUUAAUAGUGGGAAAAUAAUAUUUAACAACUAACAUUCGACUGAGCUUAUACUCAGAAUUCAUGAUAUAUUAAUCGGGAAUUUAGUAUGAGAGUUUUGCUAAUGCUUUUACAUAAAAAUCAAAACAUUCUUGGGACAAGACAAGAAGCCCCGCCCGGUUCAAGAAUUGGUGAUCAGGGAAGAUACUCAAACUUGCACGAACCAUGACCUGUCAGUAUGGAAAAAAAAAAAUUAUAUAAAAUGUUGCUUAUGAACAUCUAUCACAUGAAAAAAUACCAAGCACAUGGGAUUCACCAUAUUUUCAAGAAAACGAAGAUCUAGAUUUCGGAAAGUUUAGGCUUCUUUGUUGGCAAGUUCAUAUCAAGACAUUUUUUUUACAUGUAAAGUCUCAACAUUUAAAAGUUCUGAGUUCAAGUUUCUCCACUGUACCUAAAAAAUUAUAUACUUGCCAACCGCACACAUGAGGAGCAUAGUGAAAACAACUUAAAUAACUAAACUCUAACCUCUUGAGCUUAUUGAAGAAGUUGUCCUACAUGUGGACGAGAAUAUUUGUUUGCUUACUUGGAUUUUCAGCGGUUAAAAUUGCAGCAGAAUUGAAGUAGCAACUUCCUCCUUUAUGCUUGAACUUCUGAUAGUAGCUAUUGAAUGCAUAAGAAGCAUGAUCCUUUACUGUAUUUGGAAUAUGGCAAGCUUGGUUUGCCUGUAUCUUACUGCACUCUGCACCAUUGCUACAGGCCCAACCAAGAGCCCUCUGCAGUUCAUCAUCUGGUGUUUGCUCAUCUGCUAUGCACCAGUCCGCGAACUGUCCCUCUAACAUCAACCAAAAAAAAAACGUAAAGCGAAGUUAGAUGACGUGUAAAUGAAAAUCCAGGCACUCAUUCCGAUGCAGCCAACGAGAAGUUAAAUUUCAGCACGACAGAAUUCCGACACAACCCAGGGUAAUUAAUUCCUACGACAACAGAGCAAAUUAUAAAUCUAGCAAGGACGCGUAAUGUACAGAUCUAGAUAUGUGCUUCGCAAGUAACACAGUUCAAUGUUUACCAGAAUUCCACGAUAAAGAUAAGAAGAAGAUCAAAGCUAAUAGAAUCUUCAUCACGGCUGACGGCAUCGACCUGAACUUGUAUCAACUCGUAGACUUUAGAAGGAUGACACCAAGAAGUUCCUGGAUUUUUACAGAGUCUUUGCACACAGCAAGAAAUAUAUAAACCUUCUCCAGAUCCAAGAACAACAGCUUCAGAUGUAAUCCACUUGUAAUACCAGUAAUAUCCUUUCUUUACAAAGUGAAUACUGUUCACCAAAAAGAUUAGUAGCAAUAGGAACAAAAUGAAAUUUAAUAAUGAAGAAAUAUAUAUAUAUCAGGUCGGACGGAAAAUUUUGUUUGUACAUAAUUAUUGCAUAUAAUAGUGUCUAUAAUGUGAUGUGGCAAUCAUCCGAUUAUUAACGUGCGUGUGUGAGAUUUGAAUUAAAGGUUGGAUCCAGUGCUACAUAUAAUUAUAAACAUCAUUAUAUAAACAAUUAUAUACAUAUAACACUUUCCCAGGUUGGACUUGUUAUAAAAUUCGACGAGAUACACUAUAAAGAGGGGAAAAAGAAAAGAUAAAUCUGCGUGGAUAUUUUAAUUUCUGCUUUUUUAACUGGUAAACUUGUCAGGGCAGAUGAGUCAAUACAUAUAAAGAUGGAUAGCCUAUGAUAUGAUUUGCUGUCAACAGAGAGCAUCAAGAUUUUCCUCCUCCUGAAGGAAUCAUAAAAGGGUAACAAGAUUCUUCUGUUUCGCUUUUCCAAAUUGAUUUUGCACUUUUGUUUCUCUACAAGAUCUGAAGAGAUUUUAUUUUAAUCCCGUUUUAGAUCUAGUAAUUAAUGUGAAUGAAAAGAUUCUCUGGUUAAUGACCCACAAAUUAUCCUUUUUACUGUAUAAGUCAACUUUCUAUAUCAUGUGAUGUCUGGUUUAGGCUCGGUACUGCCCCAUCGGGAAAUUAAAAAAAAAAAAAAUUGCAAUCCACACCAAGACGAUCACAAAGUUUGCAUAGCUAUAACAGAUAAUAGAUCAUUGACACAAAGUAUCCUAAACGUAGUCUUCAAGUAACUUAAAUCAUUUAUAUCGUUCCACUUUUAAAAUUUGAGCAUUCAAAUCGAUUAUUCUUUGAGCUUUCUGUUUGAUUCUGUCCAUUUAUUUUGUUAAAUAAAUAGGUGGGGGCUUCGCAUAUGAUGUCAAAAAUACAAUCUUGCGCUUAAAAAAUUUAAAUAAACAAAGAAACGAUAUUAAAAAAGGCAAAAUAGAAAUAUAAAAACAAAACAAAGGAAACAAAAAUUAAAGAUAAAAUAUAAAUUAAAAAAAAAAUCUCUAUCUUCUCCAAACUCCGUUCCUGUCCAAAAGUGGUCAAGAAAACACUAAAAAAAUAAUAAGAAAUAAAUAAAUAAGAAAUCACAAUUGAAGUCGAAGAAAAAUUUCGCCAAAUGCUGAUGCAGAAACAAGAAACAGGGACCCAAAGAUAUAAACAAUGACAAUCAUGAGUAUAAGAUGAAAAUAAUUCUAUAUAUACAUUAUGGUGUUCAUAAGAGUAUUCAUAAUGUACACGUCGAAUUCCAUGAUUGGAGGGAUGAAAAAUUUAUUUUUCAACUCCCUAAUUAUAUUAUUCCACUUGUACAUUAUGAAUACCCUUAUGGACACCAUAAUGUACAUAAGAUAAACACUCGUAAAAAAUUCUAUCAACUUCUUGUUUGACAAAUAAACUAUGCAAAAAAUAGUUGGUGGCGAUUGUCAAUGCUCUUGAUAUGUUCAAUGCAGGAAAUUCCACCAAAGAGUGACUGCAUUCUGGAAGAUCUAAACCAUCCAUGUUCCCACAUAAUUCAUCUGUCAGCUUAUGAGUAAGUUAAUAAAUGUAGAUAUAGCUAAUUAAAAAAAAACCUUUAAAAAAUCAGCAAGUGAAGAAUGCAUCUCUUCAAAAAUUGUGUCCUAUGAAGAGGUUUCAACAAAUCCUAUUAAUAUUUGUCAUUUAGCAUCCAAUAAAGCUGAUUUCCUAACAAAAAUUAGGGCAAGAGAUAACAUGAUUAUGUCCAAAUAAAAAACACAAUUACGUACAUCAUGUGAGCAUGUGCAAAUACAGAAAUAUCUGCACACACACACACACACAUAGGAGCGUGCAGGUGUGAGGGGUGGUUUGACGAUGGGGCAAAGCAGAAAAUUUAAAGUUGCAAAAGCACAAGCGAUUCAAUUUCCUUUAGAAAUUAGAAUUAUUAUUCUUCUAUAGGUAAUUUCAUUCUAGAUUUAUUUAUCAUGGAUUUUAUACAAAUCACGUAAAACAAAGUGCAAGCAACUGGCAUGCAGCUCAAGUUCCAAAUAGACCAAUGCUUCGUUCUAACAUAGUGAUGUAUUACAUCAAAAGAGGUUACAAAAACAUCAACAAUGUAGUUCUUUGUGAGUGAGGCAUGAAUAGAAGGAUGUGAUUUUGGUAAAUCUCAUGGAAAAAGGGUGUCCUUCUACACUAUGAAUGGCCAAAACACCAGAAAAGUAGAGCCUCAGAUUUUAUAUCUUUACUCUUUGUGUCAAACAAUGGUGUAGAUAGGUGGAGGAGGGUUAAACAAUUUAUCAUUCCAAAUAUAUUAGGAUAUCAUGGUCCACUGGGGUGUUGGGAACCUGAAUCCUACGUCGAAAAUAUGGGCUUCCUUUGGUUUAUAAAGGCUUGGAUUCUCCAACCUCAACGGCCAGCUUUUGAAUCUGGCUCUUCCAUGCUCUAUUACAAUGUGCCCAAACCAAACUAAUUUUUCCAUCAUAGCAAGUCGUUGUUCAGUCAUUCAGUUCUAAAUGGCAAGAUGUUAGCUUCACUCUUCAGUUACUUGGAAUAGUUAAUGUACCUUAAGUUAUUACUUAUAACCCAUUUCUAAUCUCACCCAUUCUCCAUUUUUUAAUCUUUUUUGUUUUUUUGUUUUGUUUUUUUUGACAGAAUUCAGCAGUAUAGAUUCUUUAACAGAAAAGCAAACAUCGUAUGACGACAUUCCAAUAAAAUGAGACAUAAAUGGCUAAAACAAGAAAAGGCAAAAAAUAAAAACUUACCCACUUCUUGAAUUAAUUAAUACAACGUAUCCCUAAAUUUCUCUCUCUCUCAAGUCCGAGAUCAAAUGGAGAUCAAUGGAGGAUCAAACUAAUUUAACGGUUGUGGAUUUUGGGAAGACAAAGAUUAGCGCUAGGUUUCAAGAUUUGAUGAGAGAAGAGAAGACGUGGGGUUGGGGAAGAAAGAGGGGAGAGAAGAAGCCAGUAUUCACAUGAAUUGAGACAGAUGGCUUUAUGAAGAAAAACCGGCCAAAUUUGAUCCAGGCAUGUGGCGGAUUCACAUGUAUACACGCAUAUUUCUGUCCGAAUCCGAAAUUACAGUAGCCUGGAAUACAUUCAGCAUUCUGUAUGUAUUUUGUUGACCCCAAAAAAUGUUGUCAACAGAUGUCGGUCCCACUCGCGCACACGUGGGUGAAUGUCCAACACGCUAAGACACGGGGACGGUCUAAAAUGAGCGGUUCAAAGGGCGUGGGAGUAGCCCAGCGACGCGGGACGAAGACGUUUGAAAUUCGACGGGUUGUUCGUGAUUCGAUUGUACAAUAAUUACCAAUCGGUAUUCAUCUAUGUAUAUGUAAAUGUGUAUAAACUCGAUUUGUAUAUUACAAGUAAAUGAGAGAGAGUUGAAUAAAGUGUAGUUCUUUAUAUUAAUUCUUGCAUUGGUCUUUUGAUGUUAUACAAGGGAAGUAUUUAUAGUGAUACAUGUGAAAUGGGAGCCUUUGGAUGAGGUGGCACGUUGCCUCAUCUUUUUGAUUCAAACAUCUUAUCCUAGGAAGGGGGCUUGACUUACUAGCUUGCUGCGCAUUUAUUGCUUAUGCAGAGCCUCCAUACUAGUGACAAGAUUUGACCUUUAUGCUUAUGACAAACGUUCCAUCAAUCAUUCGAAUGAGAUCUUUGUACAGAUGAUUUCUUGGGAGAAGUGAACAUGGAGGAAACUCCCCUGUUCUUCGGAGGCUCCUGCAUCAGUUUCGGGGCUUCGGCCAUUUCACACAAUACUUCCGCUUGAGGGCUUCAGCUACCUUCAACUAGCUUUAGCAUCAUGACUUCGGUGAAAGGCGCCUCGACUAUUGGACUUCGGCUUGAAGGGCAUUGCCCAACUCGGCUGGAGUGCCACGUGGUUCGGCCUGAGUGGGCCAUUGGCCCAGGUGGAUUGACCAAGUGUGACAACAAGCAACAAUAGUCCCCCAAGUCCAAGUAUGAUCAUUUAUGUAAUGCGUGGACUUUAAUGAAGUAAAAAUUGAAAGAAUUUUUUGAACUCCAAAUAAUAGUCCCCGAAGUCCAAGUGUAUAUAUUUAUAUUAGAGUUGGAAUUAGAAAUGUGUUGAAAUUGAAGACGAAAAUGAGGUGGUUUGAGAAAUCGAACCUGCGAGGCUUGAUGGCUAAAUGUUGAAGUUGAAGCCGAGGUGGUUGGGAAAUCGAACUGCGAGGCUUGAUGGCUGAAUGUUGAAGUUGAAGCCGAGGUGGUUGGAAAACCGAACCUGCGAGGCUUGAUGGUUGAAUGUUGAAGUUAAAGCCGAGGUGGUUGGAAAAUCGAACCUACGAGGCUUGAUGGCUGAAUGUUGAAGUUGAAGUCGAGGUUCAAUGGUAAUGAUUAUACCUCGAUGGCUACGCCAAUGAUUUGAUAUUUUGUGCUUGUUUUCGAUGAAAAGACGGCAGACCCGUACGACUUCCAAGGCGCCUGCUGCCGUCGAAUUAAAAACACAAUUAUGAGGACAGCUGGAGGUUCUAGAAGCAGACGCUUGAAUCUGGGGACGGGGUGACUGGAAUGCACGCUUGAAUCUGAGGCGUAGGUUUGAAAAAUCGUUUGAAUUCAACGCCUCGAAUUUGUUCUUCAGUGAGGGUUCAGAUUGACUGAGAUUCGAUCUGACGGCUGGGGCUCAUCCUGGACCUCUAUAAAAGGUAAGAGAAUCCCAUUUUUUAGGACUUUUGAAACUUUGCAAUUUGAUUCUCUCUCAAAUUCCUGAAUCUUUUCGGCGUCAAGGCUGCUCGUUUUUUUAUUUUUCGGCUUAUCUCCGUUCGUGUAGUGUUCUUCCCUUAAGUAUCAUUCGCAGAAGAAUCUCUUUUUUGUUGCAUUAAUUUUGUGAGAUGGAGUCCACCUCGGGUAGGGAGUUGGUGACGGUUGCGUCGUUAGAUUAUGAGGUCAGUCAGAGGGGGGAUGCCGAGGCUGAUAGUUAUGCCAUGACCGAGGACCUAGUAGAUUAUACUGAAGAGUGGGGGGCAUCUAGGGUGCCCUCAAGUAUGACGUGGAAAAGGUUAGGAGAGAUACAGUGUCCCUCAUACCAUAGAAAUGCUAGUACCCAAGCCAAAUGAGCGAGCCUACUAUCCAAGGCCCAGAUGCGUGGCAGUCAGUGAAUACCUGUUUAAGGCAGGUAUGCGUCUUCCUCUGCACCCCUUCUUUAGGGCAGUGUUGAGGAACUUUAUGUUGUCGUCGACCCAGGUUCUGCCAAAUGGGUGGAGCCAGUUGGUCGGCUCGUACUUUUUGUGGAAAGAGGUGUCACUUGGGGAGGACAUGCCUCUUCAUAUAUUCAUGUCCCUUUUUCAGCCCAGGAUCAUAGGGAAAGAGUCCAGGGAGUGGUAUUACCUUACACCUUGGGGGGCUCACGCACCUUUGUGGUGGGACUGCCUUCCUCCAUUAAGGGAUGGAAGGAGUCCUGGUUCUGGGUACGGGGAAAAUGGCAGGCAGUGGAGGGGGACAAGGCCCUUUCUUGCACAGUGCUGACCCAGUACUACGAAGCUCGUGAGUCUCCCAGCCCCUGCUUGUACUUCUGAAUUGAACACUUAGAAAAUUUCUAACUGUUGGGGCUUCCAUUGCAGAUUGUAGUACGAGGUUCGAGCUCAGUACAGAAGAGUACGAGGUGAUAGAGGACAUCUACAAGAGGCCUCAGAAACUUCGUCAUUUUGACCAUCUGAUUGACAGGAGUCGCUAUUUCUUGGAUUUUGGACUGAUGGCAUCCAGAGGUAUGAGGCUCCCAUAGUUGUGAAUUUCCUUGUCAUUUUGAUUGGAUACUGAUGUGCCGACCUGACGUUCUUUUACAGAUAAAUUCAAGAGAAAUGAGUACCCGGCUCCAGACAUGGCUACAAUUCUGAAGGCCACCACCACCGUCAAGGCUAGGGCCUUGAAGCUGGGGUCUAGUGGGGCCAAGGAGGUCCGAGGCAAGGUGGAACGCCUUUCCAAGGACAGUACUCCAAAGGCUUUCGAAAAGGGAGCUUCUCAGAGGCAGGAGAGGCCAAAAGAGCCUCGUGGGAAAGAGAAGGUCCCAAAGGAGGCAAAGAGGAGGAAGCUGAUGCACGUUACUAGCUCGUCCGGGAAAUUUGGGACAUCAGUGUCCCAUGAGGCCAAAUCAACAGGCGAGCCAAAACUGCUCACAUCUGCCUCCAAAGCCAUCAAGUUAGAAAUGGUCAGAGAGGCAGAGGCUGAGGCUGAGGAGGCCAAGGAGGAGGCUGCGAGGAGGGCUGCUGAGGCUACCGAGAAGGAGGCAGCUAAACAAAAGCCUGUUUGGGAAAAGGGGAAGUCUCCGAGCUUCCUAACUGGAAGGGAGGAGACCUUGGCCCCAGCCUUAGUGGAGGCUCUUCCCCAGGAGGUCCGAAGUGCCACGGAGAACUUUUACCGUUUCUAGACGGACAGGUGGCAGUUGCAUGCCUCCUCCUGCGAUGCCACCGACCUGACGAGGGCGUUGGUAAGCCAAAGUGUCAAGACUUUUGGCCUCGCUCUUGAAUGCAGGGAGGCCCUGAGUGAUUUUCAGACAAGGACUAGGUCUUCGGAGGAGAAGACGGCCUCCCUUGCAGAGGAAUUGAAGGCGGCUAAGGCCGAGGUGGAAGAAGCCAGGGCCCAAAAACUCGAAGAAAUGGCCAAGUUGGAGUCUGCCUUGGCCCAGAUUGAGCCUUGAAGAAGGAGGUCCACGAGUCACAGUGUAAGGUGGCCUCCUUUACAAAGAAGGUGGAGGUCUCCAAUGAGCACCAGAAGGUGACCGCCAAGACCCUGGAGAAGGCAAAUCUCUCUUUGACGGGUGCCCAAGAAGCUUACCAUUUCUUGGAAACCCAAAUCAAGUGGUAUGUGGAUGAUGCAUCCCAUGCCAGAGAGGAGGCCCAACAGGCGAGGGAAGAGGUGGUGCAGGAGUACGUUGCCAACUUCCACAACACAGACGAGUAUAAGAGCUUCAGUGCGUACUGGAGAAACUUUGCCUAUGCUGAGGUGAUGGAGCGGGCAGAGAAACUGUAUCCCAAUUUGGAUCUGACUCAACUCAGGUCUGAAUUCGUGGAUGAGGCACCUUAGACCCCUGCUGAGGACGUGCAGGGUAAUGAAGCAGCUGAGACAGGGGAGACAAAUGUCGAUACUCAAGCUGCUGAAGCCCCAAGUACAGAAGCACCUCCCCCAUCUACCCAAGCUUAGAUUAGUUUUCUUUUCAGUCUUUUGAAUGUAAUGGUCUGAGGCCCACCUUUGUAAUCUUUAUUGAAGAUCAAUAUGAUGCCUUUUUGAUUCAUUGUUGUUUCUUUGUCCAAGUGUACGCGCCUCGUUAAACAAAUGAACUUAAAAGUUGAUAGAAGCACUAACUAAAUAACUUUAACUUGGUACCUUAACUUCAAUCACUUUAAACAACUGGAUUGAACAACUGUAUGAGCCUUGGACUUAAGCAAAUGAGCUUUACUUAAGCAUAAUGACUGUAUGAGCUUCGGACUUAAGCAAAUGAAUUUUACUUAAGCACAACUGUGUGAGCCUCGGACUUAAGCGAGCGUCGAGUUUAAGCAAAUGAACUUUAUUUAAGCAUAACUGUAUGGGCCUCGGAAUGCACGUGAGGUGGCUUCUCCCGUUGGUGUUCAGCCUGGCCAAAGGGAGACAUGUGCUAGCGCCUCGGAGUUUAAGCGAGGUAGCCCAGAGGUGGGGCGCAAGCCUCUCCUCCGAGGUGACGACGCAUCCCAGACAUGGUGGAUGGUGCAGCCAUGUUGAGGCUUCUCCCGUUGGCGUUCAGCCUGGCCAAAGGGAGGCAUGUGUUAGCGCCUCGGAGUUCAAGCGAGGUGGCCCGGAGGUGGGGCGCGAGCCUCUCCUCCGAGGUGACGACGCAUCCCUGACAUGGUGGAUGGUGUAGUCAUGUUGAGGCUUCUCUCCUUGACGUUCAGCCUGGCCAAAGAGAGGCAUGUGCUAGUGCCUCGGAGUUCAAGCAAGGUGGCCCAGAGGUGGGGCGCGAGCCUCUCCUCUGAGGUGUCGAGGUAAUACAACAAGUUAAUUUAAUCACCGAAUUUUAUUGAACCAUGAAAAUGUUACAAGGGCUAGGAAAGGUCAUCCAGCAAGAUAGUACAUUUAUUGGUAAUAGAUUCUGAGGUGUUCAAUGUUCCAUGGACGGGGUUGUGCCUUGCCGUUCAUGUCUUUAAUCUAGUAAGUCCCAGGUCAAACCUCUUCUCUGAUUUUGUAUAGACCUUCCCAGUUUGGGCUAAGGGAACCGGAACCAGGUUCUUUUGAGGAAAGGAAGACCCUCCUAAGUACAAGGUCGUUGAUUCGGAAUGACCUCUUCUUGACUUUUGAGUUGAAGUACCUUUUCAUCUUUCUCUGAUAUGUGCCGAGUUUCAAUUGGGAGUCAUCUCUUCUUUCUUUGAUGAAGUCGAGGUCGAGCCUCCGAAGCUCAUCGUUAGUUAUCUCGCUGAAGUGCAGACGUCUUGGGGAUGGAAGUCCGACCUCCACGGGGCUCAUAGCCUCUGUUCCAAAUGUCAUGAAGAAGGGGAUUUCUCCUGUUGGGGUCCUGGUGGUGGUUUGGAUCGCCCAAAGGACUUGGGCCAGCUCAUCAACCCAGGCCCCUUUUGAUAUAUCAAGCUUCCUUUUCAAGACGUGCUUGAUCGUCUUGUUCACGGCCUCAACUUGGCCAUUUACUUGUGGGUGGUGAGGCGUGAAGAAGUGCUUCUUUAUGUCGAGCUCUUCGCAUAAUUCUCUAACCUUCUUGUUAUCAAACUGUCUGUCAUUGUCUGAGACAAUUGAACGGGGAAUUUCGAAUUGGCGAAUAAUAUUUUUCCAUAAGAACUUGGAGGUAUUGGCUUCAGUGAUUUUUGCCAGUGGUUCGGCGUCGACCCACUUCGUGAAGUAAUCAAUAGCCACAAUUGCAAAACUUGCCCCUCCUCUACCUUUAGGUAAGGAACCUAUGAGGUCCAUACCCCAUUUUGAGAAAGGCCAGGGGUUGGAAACGACGGUCAAAUCCUGCGAUGGUUGUCUCUGCACAGGAGAGAAGCACUGGCAUUUAUUGCAUUUUCGUACAAAUUCGAGGGCGUCCCACUUUAGAGUAGGCCAGUAGUAUCCCUGCCUCAAUAUUUUUUGUGCCAGAGAUAGACCUCCAGAGUGGUUGCCGGAAAUGCCCUCGUGGAUUUCUCUUAAUAUGUAGGUAGCCUCUUCUCCUCCGACGCACCGUAGGAGUGGGGAGGAGAAGCUCCUCUUGUAGAGAAUGUCAUCAAUGAAAAGGAAAUGGACUGACCUCUUUCUUAGCUUGUAAGCCUCAUUCUUGUUAGUUGGCAGUACUUGGUCUUUGAGGUAUUCUAUGAUUGGCUGCAUCCAAGUGGGAGUUUCGGCGAUCCACAUUACUGUAGGGACAUCGAUCGAAGGUAGGAGGAGGUGCUCAAUAGGUACUACUGUGAGUAGCUCUGAGUCCUUGCUACUAGCCAGCUUCGAGAAUGCAUCCGCAUGCGCAUUUUCGAUGCGGGGAUCUGGAUCAGCUCAAACUUUUCGAAAGAUGGGAUGAGGUCAGCACCAUUUUCAGAUAGGAGGCCAUCGUUUUGUCUAUGGCUGAGAAGUUACCAUUGACUUGGCUAACAACUAGCUGGGAGUCACUACUGAUGAGUAGCCUCUUUACUUGCAUUUCUGUGGCCAGCCUGAGGCUAGCAAGAAGUGCCUCAUAUUCUGCUACGUUAUUGGUAGCGUUGAAUCCGAACCUUACUGCUGAGGUGAGUUUAUAACCUUCGGGGCUGAUGAGGACAACCCCAGCACCUGAGCCGACAUCUCCAACUGACCCAUCGACGAAGAGAUUCCACGUGGGUGGCUCGACGGGUUCCAUGAUUUCAUCCACCUCGAAUAGGUUGGCGAAUUCAGCCACGAACUCAGCCAAGGCUUGCCUUUUUAUGGCUGCCCUUGCCUUGAACACAAGGUCAAAUUCACUUAGUUCCACUGCCCACUUCAAUAACCUUCUUGAGGCAUCGGGCUUUUGGAGUACCUGCCUCAGGAGGAAGUUUGUCAGUAUAUGGAUGGUGUGAGCUUGGAAGUAGGGUCUCAAUUUCCUGGAGGCCGUGAUCAAGGCUAAAGCAAGCUUCUCCAUAUCGGGGUAACGGGUUUUCGACGAUAUGAGCGCUUUACUGGUGUAGUAUACAGGGAGUUGGGUAGACCCUUCUUUCCGUAUCAAAACCGAGCUGACAGCCUCAUUGGAGACAGCCAAAUACAGUUGUAGGAUAUCAUCGGGCUUCGAUUUGGAGAGGAUGGGGGCCUGUCCCAGGUGCAUUUUCAGGCAUUGGAAGGCCUCUUCACAUUCCUCAGUCCACUGAAAUUUCUUCCCAGUCUUCAGUAAUUUGAAAAAUGGGAGGCAUUUGUCGGUAGCUUUGGAGACGAAGCGGCUAAGUGCGGCCACUCGCCCGGUAAGACUUUGCACCUCCUUUGGCUUUUGGGGGGACCUCAUUUUGCAUAGAGCCUCAAUCUUUUCGGUGUUGGCCUCAAUUCCUCGUUGGUUGACCAUGUACCCCAAGAAUUUGCCGGAUGCUACCGCAAAGGCGCAUUUGAGGGGGUUUAGUCUCAUCCAAUACCUUCUUAGGAUUUGGAAAGUGUUGUUGAGGUGCGUCAUGUGGUCCUCGGCCUCCAAACUUUUUACCAGCAUGUCUACAUAAUUUCAAUCACACAUUCUUCAAUAAAAUAAUAUUAUACGCAAAUUAAAAACUUUUCAUUAUUUUCUAACCACACAUUUUCCAUCAGUACACCAUUCAAAAAUAUAUUUUUAUUGAAAUAAUAUGGCUCAAACAAGGACUUAUUAAUAACAAGAAUCGAAUUUUAGCUUACAAACUCUGUAUCUUCAUGAUCUUUGGCAACAACUCUCUCUCUUAGGAAUUGAUUAAGUUCUUGUUUGGGCUCCAUUAAAAUAGAUUUUGAAAAAAUAAAAAUGAAAAUUAGACUUACGUGUGACAUGAUUUUAUUAAAGAACGCGUAGUUAAAAAAUAAGAAAGAAAAAGUACAUUUUUUUUCUAAAAUGGAACCCAAACAAAGGCUAAAUGAUGCGCUCAUAGGGUUAAGAAUAUAAUUAAUUUAAUCAAUGGUCACUAAAAUUUACUAUACAUUACUAUUCGCUCAUUGAAAUUUAAAAGGUUACCUUUUGCUCAAUAAACUUUGCUAUAGAUUAUAAGUUGUUCACCAAAAUUUAAAAGAUUAUUUAUUACUCACUCAAAUUUAAACAAAGUUAUACAUUAAUCACUCAUAUAAUUUCCAUAAGUGUCACCUAUUGUAAAGUUCAGUGAGUAACGAGUAACGAGUAACUUUAUCCAAACUUAAGUGGGCAACGAGUUACCUUUUAAAUUUCGAUGAGUAAGUAGUAAUAUAUAGCAAAGUUGAUUGAGCAACGGGUAACUAUUUAAAGAUCGAUGAGCAAGUAGUAACGUAUAGUAAAGUUCACUAACUAUUCAUUGAAUUAUCUCAUUAAAAGAAUAUGAUAAGACAAAAGCCAAGAAAAAUAAGAAUACACCAAAAUAUUGUUGGUUCUUUCUUGUAUUAUUAGCUUGGUCCAUCUUUACUCGAUCAGUUACCUAAAAAAAAAAAGGUUAAACCCCAAUCUUGAGGGCCCCCACCACCCCGUCUCUAGAGCUUUGUGAAGGAGGUAAAUCGCUAGAUGUGUCCCAAUAGGCCAGGGAACAAGAGCUGCUUGUACAUUGCGCCUACAAGGAAUCCAAUUUCAUGUCUCGAGAAUCGAAUUCCCACACUGCGGCUGCCAGCAAUGCAUGAGAUAACUUCACUCCUGUCCUUUGCACUACUGGACUAUGCCCCGGGGGCGAUCAGUUACCAAAUAUUAUGCAACAUUGCUAGAGUGCCCUACUUACUAGAAAAUGAGGAUGAAUACAGACACGAAAUAUAAUAGCUUGAGUUUUUUUACAGUAGACUUUCACUUGAUAAGUGAUGGGAAAUGAUUUUCUAUGAAAUGUUAGCUGGAGUUUGUUACACCUUGAAAUCUACGAGGUUUAAGUAUCAACAUGGCAACGAAUCUCACAUAGGCUCCCAACGGUGCAACACAUGGCAGAUCUAUGCAUUCUUAGCUGUGUUUAGAGAAGGCAUGUAACUCACCAGUCCUUAUCUUCGCCAUUAUUGUCAUCCUUAUAGUAUUUGCACAACAAUGCCUUUCAACGAAGGCAUUGCUAGUCACAUCAACUCCUUAAUGCAGAAUGAUAAGAGCGAAACAGUUAGGUGACCGGUGGAUGAAGGUGCAUGUGACAUUCGAUUCUAAUUUUGGCGUACUUCGAGUAAGACGUGCUGGAUAAGGAAAUUGCCUUAUCAAUUCCUAAAAAUCAGUACAUAAUCCUUGGGGAUCAAGAAAGAUUUUGGGGAAUCAAUAUCUACAAGAAAAUCCAAUCGCACAAAAAAAUGAACUCGUGGAAGGAAAAAUACCAUAAUUUGACCAGCAUCAAACGAGCCAAUGAUAGUGUGACACAUGGAUUUUUAUUUUUUUUGUUCGGGUGGUUGGUGUGGGUAUGCAUAGCUUAACGUAAGAAACCAAUGUAUACAAUUAUCAAAGUUCAAAGCCUCGUAUGAAUAACCAGAGCCUGAUCUUGAGAGACUAUUAUUAUGCAUUUACCUAUGUGGUAAGUUACAUGACUACCAGUUAAACAAAAUGCCAAGCAAGCAUUUUAUCUUCGUAGGCAAAUAUAUUUGAGUGUGUUGCCUUCUCUAUCUUCUAGGCCUAGGCAGUAAGGCCACAUUCCACCGCCUCGCCCACUUUCAUUUUCAAGGCAUUGAGCCUCAUUGACACUCUUCUUGAGAUGACAUAACGUUCAACAAAACUUAUCACCGCCUUUCGGAGGCAAUCGAAGAGAUCUAACCUUUAGCUAUAACGAAGCGGACCUCUUGAGUCCGAGGAGAUUGAAGUCAACUCAUGUUUCCUUAGGACUUGUGUAAAAUGUAAUCUGAUACGUUGAAUUAUAUGUGAUUUGAUUGAUGCGACAUUUCUACAAAAAUAAUGACUGGUAACAUGGUCAAAUUCCUCCUCAUUUGCCUAAGAUAGGGUAUUGAAAGUCACAUGCCUAUAAUGACUAUAAUGUGAUAUUGUUGAGCUUAAGAGUGGGAGCAAUUCGAAUCGAUUUGGUUUCGAAUAGAGCCACACCGGACAAAGUACCAAUGAAAAUAUUAGAAAUGAAACCAUUGGUUCUAUAUCUAACUAUAGAAUCGAGCCGGUCAGCCCAAUUUGGUUCUUUAUAUUAAAAUUUUUAUCAAAAUAAAGUAUUAACUACUUUCAAUUAAAAAGAGAUGAAAUAGAGUUAACUAAAUAAGGCAACAAACAAAAAUACACUUCAAUGCUCAAGAUGAAUUGAUAAGAGAAUAAAAAGGAUAAUUUAUUAAACACAAUAUAAACUGUAAAAUUUAGAUAAAAAAAUGCAUGUAGUAUUUGUAAUCAAAUUAACCCCAAAGGGCAGAUCUUGAUUCUAAUGAUUGAACACUUUGAAAACAACAAAAAAUUUAAGUUCUUACGAAAGAUUGAGUUAAAAAUACACUUUUUUUUUUAUUGGAUUUGAAUUAAAUCUCUAAUUUUUUGUAAGAUAUUUAUAAAAUUAUUUAGAUUUAGAUGUACCCAUUAAAUAUUAUUGUAAAAGAAAGCAGAAGAAGAAGUGUGUAGAUAGUGAAAUUUUAGGCUCCCUCCCCUCUUAGCUAACCACCAUCAACCCCAUUUUUCACUUGUGCAGUAUAUCAAUAAAAAGAGAAACUAGGGCGAACCGAAUUCACUAUUGGUUAUUAAUGCAGUGCCAAGAAUCGAACCGAAACCGAUCACUCCAUUUAAUAAGGGAACCGGAAUUGAACCGAUUGGCUAUAUCGGGUUCCAUCGGCUAUGGAAAAAAAUGCUCACUAGUUAAGCUUCACAUGAGCUAUUAAGAUUAUACCAUGUGUGUAAAGUAUCCAAUAGAAUAGACCUCAUCUCUAUCUUUCUUGUUUAUAAAUACUCACACAUUGUGUCACUUGAAGAUAAUUGAAAAUUUGCAAUUAUCACUUUAGAAAUUCAAAUUCAGCUCCCGCCCCAUCCUUCUUUCGCGUUUCUCCUAUAUCCAAUUUAAUUUAUAUAUGACUUCAGUUUUUGAGUGCACAUGAUCGUGGAUCUCCGCCCCCUCUGCCCUUCGAACCUGCGAUCUUGCACCUCUAACAUGUGUACAAGUGUGUAGUAAUGAGCACGUGAGAAGAGAGAAAGUAGAAAUUUGUUGAUGUUUGAGUUCCAUCUAGGGAUCAAAAAUACUUUUUGACAAAUAUGGACUGAAUAGAAGACACAAGUUUUUUGUUCAUUAUCAUGUUUACUUUAUCCUAAAAAAUACGAAACUAGUAAUUUUUAAAUUCAAAAUUUUGUGGAAAAAAUGGUAAAAACAUCGAGUUUUACUCGAGACAAAGAAUCUGAAGAAUGUUAUGUUCACACUGCGAUAAGGACAUUGAUUGAAUAAAGAGAGAGGUGGGCACUACUCAAAUGAUGUUCCUUCUUGAUGUUAAUUGAUUGUUAGGGACAUUUCUUAUGAAUUCACAUUGACUUACUGUUUUAAAUUACUUUUUACGCGUCUGAUGUAGUAAGCUCUUAUUUGGUUUCACUAGAAAAGUUGAUAAAAAAAAUUUAAACGAAAAGGUUAACAAUUAAUUUUAACCACAAAUUAAUGAAAUCCACAACUUUUAUCAACAUUUCCAAUUACAAAUUCUAUCAACUUUUAUCAAAAUAUAAUAAAAUUUUAAUAUUUAGGAUAAAAAAACUAAACAGGGACUAGAUAUUAUUGAUUAGUGCAAUAAAUAAAAUUUUAAUCUCUAUUAUCUUUUUAAAUAUAUUCAAUUUAAGUUAUCUUAUUAAUUUCUUACUAAUCAGAAAUCACUCCUAAUACUGGCAGAAUUUUCGACCACAUUUUAAAAAUAAAAUUAAGGUUGCCAAUGUCAUGCAUUUCGUCAUGGUUUGAGAAAGUAAGUAGAACCACGAAUUGAGGAUAUUUUUAGGCAUGAGGUUCAAAAUAUCCAAAAAGUCUCACUGUCACGAUGUAAAUAAAACAACAAAAUUCAAAACCCUUUUAAGGGGUAAUGGAAACCGUCUCCUAUACUCCCUAUCUUUGUCCUAACUAACGCGGAAACAAUAUACUUUUAUUUUAAUAAAUUAAGAAUCGUCAACUUCAUUAAUUUUUGAUUUACAGUUUUAAGAUUGUGUAACUCUUACAUAUAUAAUAUUUUUGUCAUUCUUUUACUUUCAUCUCAAUUGAAGUCACAUUUAGCCCCCCUUUGGCUCCCAUUACAUUACAUUCUAUUUCUCUCUCUCUUGUUUUCAACCACAUAAUCUUUCAUAAUAUAAUAUUACACGUAAAUCAAAAACUUUUUUUUCAACCACUCAUUUUUCAAAAAAAUACUAUUCCACCCAUUUUCAUUUUUCGAAAAUGAGGGCCAAAUAGGGGCUUACUUUUUGGCCUAAAUACUUAUUUAUUUUAGUACAACUACAGAUACCCUUUUACUAAUAUCAAACUUGAAGAGGCCCAUAAUGAAAGGCUAAUGGUGUGGACUGUGGGGGUGCGGGAGUAGACUAUAAAAUUCAGGAUUUUUAGAAAGGUCUUGCAAAAUUGAACCAGGUCUAAUCUUGGUCAAUUAGUUGCCUAAAAUUAGGCAUGACAAAUUGAUAGCUGGGCUAGGGAAAUUGUGCGUAUAUGGUUGACGGAUAAAAAGGAUUAAUUUAAAUGAGUUUAAUAUAUAAACUUGAAGAACGGUUAGCAUUCUUGAUUAUGACAAAUCUAUUACAAAGAUAUAAUUAACUAUGAUCGAUAUGAUUGAAGGAAAAGACUGACACGAUAAAAAUGUAAAUCAAGGAUUGAGCAUGUUUAACAAGGUUAUAUGUUCUACAACAAUUGACCUUGAUGAAGCAUCGUAUUCAACUUUCUGACUAAGCAACUUAACUUCGUCUUAGACGUGUAUAUUUUUUUAGUGUUUAAGAUUCUCACACACUUAGUCGGUGAAUUUGAUUAUGUGCUGAGGAAGAAGUAGAAUAGACGUUUUAAUAUGUACAUUAUGUUUAUCAAUAAUGUUUGAAAAAUGGAUAUGAAGAUACCAAGAAUGCCUUUAGGAUAAGAGGAAUGAGAGAAUCCAGAAAGAAAUAUCAACAAGUUGUUGUGCCAACAAAGUGGAUUUUCUGAGUUCAUUUGAUUGAGCACGGACGAAAUCUAAAUCCAAAGGGUUCCCUUGAAAAGAAGAAAGAAAAGAGUGAAGCCAAUAGAUUUGAUUUGCCUUAUCGAAGGCCUAUGAGAAGGUGGCCUUGCCAACUAGGUUAAGAUUUCCUAUAACUAUCGCCAACUAGACUCGCUGGUUAAUAUGUCCCCUUAAACAGUGUGAAGUUGAUAGCAUGAUUAUCACUUUACAACUUUUUGUUCUUAAAGUGGAGGAGGAUUUUCAUGAACUUCUAUCCAUUCAUUGGACUUGACAGUGCCAUAAGCUUAUGGACCAAAGGCAUCUUGAUGAGUGGAUGACUUCUUGUUUACACCCCACACAGCCACCCCAGUUUUUCCUUGGCUUGAUUUUCAGUUUCUGAAAGUGGAAUUGUGGGGCAACUUUAGAAUCCACGCUACAUUGUGGCAUCGCAUGCACCUUUGAUAGGAAUGGAUUUGCGGGCAUUUGGAAUGUCUAAAUAGUUAUAGGAAAUUGGUGUUUUCUGGGUUGAAGUCUGUUGCCAAGAGAAAGAGUAACCAUCUGGUUUGAGCUUGUCAUUAGGUUUGGUGCAAAGAAUAGUGCAUUUUGUGAAUGAGAAGAGGGCACCAUGUGGUUAUCAUUGAGGUUUUCCUGGUCAAACAAGGGCCGAAUAUGAACCUAAUAAAUCAGAAUAAUAAAGGAUUUUAUGCUCCGAUGCAUAUGAAAUUUUCCAAAGAAGAGAAUAUGCAUUUUUAGGACAUGAAAAACUUACAAAUAGAAGUAAAUAAAAUUGGGAAGGAUAAAAAGGAUUGAAAUUGAAAUACAUGUGGCUCUUUUAACCUGACCUACCUGUGAAGGGACCUAAGUGCGAGACUAGAGGGAAAUAGUAGCCAAACUCAUCGUUGGCAAGUGAGCAGAGGACCUCUAGUAGGCCGCGCCUCCAACACUUUUGCACGUGAGUUGAGUACCAAUUGUAGGCCUCGCCUCUACUUGCACAAAUGCAUUAAAGCUCGCCAAGCUAGGUGAGCUAGGCACUUUGGAUACAGCCUACCUCACAUGCCUAACUUAACUCGUCAAUGACUUGGUAAAGGAUCCAAGGAACUCUAAAUAGGCUUCAGAAAGAGAAUCUUUGAUAAAGAUCGUUCCUUCAAUUUAGCAAUAAAUUAGAUUGCGACUAACUUAGCUUGAAGCAUGGCUUGCUGUUUUGAGGCUUGAUACUACUCUUGGGAACAUUGAUACAUCGACUUUCAAGCAUCUCGUAAUUGAGCGGUGCUACCAUCAACAAAUCUAACAUGGACAAUGAUUGUUGAACAUGGAUAGAAUGAGAGUUGAACUCCUCUCUCUCUCUUUCCCUUAAAGCCCUUGUUUGAGCCCCAUUUUUGUGAAGAAAAUGAAUUUUUGAAUAUUGUAUUGAUGGGAAAUGUGUGGUUAAAAAAUAAGGAAAAAAUUUUUAUUUGUGAAUAAUAUUAUUUUAUUGAAGAAAGUGUAGUUAAAAUGAUGUCAAAUCAAUGUUGAAGAAUAUAUUUUGGUUGAAAAAUGGGGCUCAAGCAAGGGCAAAAGCUCGUGGGUUUGGUGUAGUGAAAAAGAAAAAGAAGCUUUAGUUUCUGAAUAGGGCAAGCAUACCUAGGAAAUCGAGAUUGGGAUACCAGUCGCCUACAACAUGAACCAUGUCAAGGAAAAUUGAGAGGGGGAAAAAAAGGAAAGAAAAAAACACAAGUAACAAAAUAUUACCAUUAAAGGAAAUAGACAUAAAAAAGGUAAAACUAGGCUAUUCCCCGUCUCUUUCUGCUAGUUGGUCCAUGUUAUCUAAGUCCUCAAUGCCAUUACUUGCUGAUUCAGUGUUAAGAUUUGAAGUUCCAUAUUAAAAUGUCAACCUUAUUAAGAGAGUAGUUCAAAUUCUUAUAAGUUGGUCUAUGUUUUCAUCUUCAUUCGAUAUGAAAUUUUAUCCUUUAACAUGCCCAUACAAAAUGGUUGUUCGUUUGAGCAGACCAAUCUUGAAAUUCGUGUGUUCAUUUUUUGUUGAGUUUAAAUUGGAUCGAAUUGCACAUUUAAGUUUAAUGGGUUUUGAUGCUAUGUUAAAAUUUAGGGUUCAAUCUUAAAAUGUCAACCUUAUUAAAAGAAGUAACUCAAAUCUUAAUAAAUUAGUUUAUAUUUUCAUCUUUAUUAGUUGUGAAAUUUAUUGCUUAACAUUCAUAAGGAAGAGAGGAGCCUUCUUAUCGAUGAACCCCAAGUGUCCUUUCACGGGGCUUCAUCCGAGCUGUUGCCCACCAUGGCUUGACCUCCUUGCUCAAUAAAGCUCUUGGACUAUCUUCAAAGUGCACAUCAAUCAGAACAGCAACAUGAUUUAACAUAUUUCAUAGCCAAUUUAGAAGAUUAAUAGUGGCUACACAUAGAUUGACACACACACACACAUAUAUGAAUAAUUACUUUUAUCAUUGACAUUUGAAAAUGGAAGCAUAUGCGGCAAAUAUGAAAGUACUAGAUAAGUGCAAAUCAACGGAAAGUGAUUUUAAAUUUUUAAUACAAGCUCAAUUGAUGGUGGAGAAAAAUGAAAAGAUAGCAUUGUUUAUGUACGGUUCGUGCAUUUCUUUAAAGAAAUUGAUUAAAAGCUCUUAAAUGACUUGCCAUUUCCAGCAGGUCGAGCAUGCUUUUAUUUUUAAGUAACUUUUUCGUAAAAAUGUUUGAGCUUUUCCUAGAAGUUGUGUGUUUAUUUUGGAAUGAUUAUUUCAAACUUCAAACACUUAUUUUAUAAAAGUUAAUCAUUCAAACACUUAUUUUAUAGAAGUUAAUCUUUACUUGUUUCAAAUGUAUGUUCAUUUACAUAAUCUUUAUAACUCCUUUGUGGUCGAACGAUUUGGGCUUGGUAUUGAAGUAGAUGGUGGUUGAUUGUUGCGGAAGCUCUCUCAAAAGGAUCUUCAAACAGUGGUUUUCCAGGCUCAGCCCAACGUACCUUUUUCUACCAACAACCAAUCCAAACGGCUCCAAACUACAACCAAUUGAUUCACCUUGGUUGCUAUUCAAUCUUACCCACGUAGCACAAGAAAGGAUGAUGAUUUAUCGCCACAAAGGCUAAGAGAAAACACUACAAAGAUAUACUAAAAAAAAGAUCUCACCACACUUAUCCUAUCCCAUUCCGUGUCGCUCACACCUCGAGAACAUAUCUUCUCUCAUCGCCCACCAAGCUCACUAGACAGAUCACUCAACUCAUGUCUAACUGGUAAGUCACAAUAGAUCCUAAGUCCACGGGAUAAUCCUCUAUCUCCACAUCACUUCUCCCAACCUACGUGGAUAAUGGGUCUCCACCUAACAGAAGUGAUAGAAGUGUCUCUCUCACACUCCACCUAAUCAGGGUCUCUUCCAGAUAAAGGAUCCUAGACAUUUGAUCACAUCUCCACUCGUGAUCCAAAUAUCACACUCUACAUCCCUCGUGCAUAUCAUCAAUGCAACUCUAAGCAUCUAUACUCCACCUUACCAAAAGACAUCCAACUCACUGCUAAUGCAUCUCAAACUCACUAUGGCAAAACAACACCUUUCAGUAACCACAAAUGUUACUCCAAUCACCAAAUCUCCAAAAAAUUCACAAAGAAAAUGGCGAAGGCGGCACUCACAAAGAGAAAUCGAAGAAAGAGUCGGUUACUUCACAACACUCACAAAGAUAAAGAAAGUAACUUUAACAUGGCUGCCUCACAUAAUCUCACAAACCACACAGGCUCACAAAGAUAAAGGAGAUAAACGGCUGCCCAACUUUCUUCUCACUACCACACUCUCACACCAUUCACAGAGCAAGUAGAGUACGCCACAAAACUUAACCCACUAUGCAUGAAAACAUAUUACACAAAGUAAUAAGUCACUCUAGUUCAUGCAAUUACACACAUCAAACAUAUUGAAAGUGUAAAAUCAACAUUACAACAGAAUUAAGUGAUCACAUACAUACAGAAAGGAUUACACACAGAUGCAAUGCAGUAAUCCUGUUUAUUUUCUCAAUAAACAUCACUAGGAUCACUACUCGACACUAAAGUCGCAUUCGCCUUGUCUCUAUCAUCAUCUUUCCUUUUAUUAUCAUCCUAGGACAAUCUUUUUCAACUAUGUCCAAAUUUUACCACAGUUAAAAUAUAUGUUAUUUUUUGCAUUUACCUUAGACCCAUAUUUGCCAAUAAUGCCAAAUAAUGACCACAAGUAAAGUAUGAAUAUAAUUUACAUAGAAUAGUCCAGUAAACAUUCCUAAGGUCACAUGCAAUUCUAAUAAUGCAGAAAAAAUUGACAAAAAAUUCACAAAGAAUUUAAGGCAAAUAAUUAAUAAAUAAUUUUUAGGUCUAACAACAGGCAAUGGUUACCCCUUCAUAGUAACCCCAAACCUAAUGUCACCCCACACGAUGACCUCUAAUGUAAAAAACAAAUAACUAACAUACACAUUUAUUUUAACUACAAAAAUAAAAAGCAAAGAAUACGAUAUCGAGCAGACACGUCUGAAGGUCCGUAAAUUAUGAGACAUGCGAAUCUAACACUUUAGGACCACCACUAUUCGUCCUAAAGUCUCUGGAAAUUGCAGCAAUCAAGAAAUCACGAUCGAGUUCCGAACGUCCGAAGAAUAACGCUAUCCAGAUUCUUCUGCAUACCCUGAAACAAAAAACUUUCAACACGAAAAAUAUUAGAAAUAAUAUGAGGAACAAAUUGCCAAAAAAUGGUCUACGCGCCCGCACGUGCCUGUAGAAGCCUCUGCACGUGAUGUUCACGCGCCUCCGACACGAGUCGUCGCCGUCCACACGCGCCUGACCGUCGUGAUCGCCUCCACCUGCACGUUAUAUCUGUGGUCUCCGUUUCCCCAAAGUCCUUCUGGAUUGGUCAGAAAACACGAAAAAUGGAGACUGGCUUUAACAGUUUUUGGACAACUUAUUCAAUCUUAUUUCUGCUGCGUUUCUGCCUAUUUUCUGGACGAUUUCUGGUAGAUUUCACGAGCCAAAACCUUCACCUUGAAGCUCUGAUACCAAUUGUUGUGGAAGCUUUCUCAAAUGGAUUUUCAAACAGUGGUUUUCCAGGCUCGGCCCAACGUACCUUUCUCUACCAACAACCAAUCCAAACGGCUCCAAACCACAACCAAUUGAUUCAUCUUGGUUGCUAUUCAAUCUUACCCACGUAGGACAAGAAAGGAUGAUGAUUUAUCGCCACAAAGGCUAAGAGAAGACACUACAAAAGUAUACUAUGAAAGAACCACCAAUUGCACACGUUAUACCAGCAUUCUGGACACUUCUGGACACCUUUUUUCUCACACAAAAGGGGGCAGCCGGGAUUCUCUUGUUUCUUCUCUCAAAAUCACACAAUCAUCAUAUCAAAGUGGCUAGGGUUAUAGCCAAAUAUAUACUCUAGGGUUAGGCUUUAAGUUGGGCCAUUAAAGGAGUAAACGGACCAAGAUUCAAGUCAUUCAUAAGGAAUACAAUUGGGCCGGGUGUAACUCAUGGACUUGGUUGUUGGACUUAUUUCAUUUAUCGGCCUAUACCUAUGAAAUAAUAUUAACUCACAUUAACAUCAUAACUCGAGAUUUAUUGGAUAUCAAAAACCCAACAUUGAUAAAGGAAUCCUUGAUCAUAAUUUCCAGUAUUCAUACAACGUCCAACAUGAAACUUGUGAUUGGUAGUUUUGUCCUUUAUCCAAGUUUAGCAACUAAAAAAAAAAAAAAUUUCAUGGGCAAAUAUUUACUCAUUCAAUCUCUAUUUCAUUUGUAGGGCUCGUUCGUGACUUCUCCCAAUAGAUGAAUUAAUCUUCGGUUCAUUUCGUCAUCCCAACUAGUGAAUCAUUAAUAUUCAUUUUUUCAAUAAAAUCUUUUGCAUGCACAGGAUCCAUCGUUCUCAUCGCUUCGUACUUAAUGAUUAGGUCCGAAUGGGUUAAUGAUAGUUGAUUGGUAUAUUCUGUGAAUUUGAAUAUUGCUCAUAAUAAUGGGUUUUGCUAUAUGAUCGACAGGCACCGGCCAAUAGAGUCAAAGAAGAUUAAUCCUAUAACAAUUGGGCCUUAUGAAUAUGCCCCCAUAGGUUCUUUAAUGUUGAUUUGUUGGGCUGGACAAUUGUGUUUGAGCUGUUAGAUACAAUAUCAGGCUUUAGUCGUACAGAAAAGCCCACUAAGUAAUAUCUACUAUUGGGCUUUCUUCCAUAAAUAAUUACAUUGUGGGUCCAAUCCAUUGGCAUGAGAUUACCAGAAGUCCAUCAAGGAGAUAAUAGGCACAAACUCCAAAACUCAAUGGUCAACCUCAACCAGCUCUCUUAAAAAAAAAAUUGGCCCCAGCUACUAAUCAUGUUAGGGAAAAUUUUAUAACUAAAAGAUUAAUUAUGAUUCAUUUUAAAAUUAAGAGAUAAGAUUUAAAAUUUCAAAAAUAAGAUAUUAAUUAAAAUUUAUUUAUGAAAUAAUAAAUUAAGAAUAUAUUUUAUUAAGCCCCUGUUCGUUUGCCAUUUCUUCCUACAUUUUAGAAGAAAUCAAGCCGUCUAUGGGCCCCACCAAGCCGUAAAAUUUGAUUACGAAUUUCAAGAAGCCAACGGCUAGAAAAUGCAUUCCCAUUUGCUGAAAAUGGGAAACAAACGUAGGCUAAAUAAAAUAUACGAAUAUCACAAUUAUACAAUUUAUGGUCAAAAUUACGUACUUACAGGUUACAACUUAUUUUUUAGUCACAUAUCAUCAAUUUAAUUGGUCAAAAAUUAAAAAAUUUAUAGAUCAUAAUUUAUUUAUUGAUCACAAAUCAUAAAUUUUAUAAAUCACAAUUUAAAAGCAAUUAUAAGCUUUUCCUCGUGUACAACUUCUUGAAAUGCACCUUUUACGGUGCAUGGUCUUUAAUUUUAAAUUUACCUAACCUAGUUAAGAAGCCUUAAAUGACUAUUGGUUAGGUUGUCAAAUAAAAAUUGAUAGGGCUUGCUAUGAGCCAGCUCAUGACAACAACUUGAUAGACAUGAACAUGUACUCUCCUCACAUGGUAUCCUUCUUGCAAAAGGAAAAGCACUGGCCCUCUCUUUUCAUUAUGCGGAGAAAGACACUUUGGAUGAUUUCACAAUGCUGAUGUCAUAUUAGAUGUGUUUUCUUCAAGAUAAUUUUUUUUUUAAAAAAAAUAUUUAUUUAGUUUAUAUCUUUAGAUGAAAUAAGAGAAUAUAAAGAUCUUGAGUUUUAAUUUUAAAUAAUGAUAUAAAAUUAAGACCCAUUUGACAAGGUUUUUGCUUUUGUUUCUGAUUCUUUUAAAAAAAAAGAAGAAGAAGAAUUAUAUCCUUGUUUGAGCUCCAUUUUUGUGAAGAAAAUGAAUUUUUGAAUAGUGUAGUGAUGAGAAAUGUGUGGUUAAAAAAUAAGAAAAAGUUUUUAAUUUACGUUUAAUAUUAUUUUAUCGAAAAAUGUGUAGUUGAAAUAUGUCAAAUCACUGUUGAAGAAUGUAUUUUGGUUGAAAAAUGGGGCUCAAACAAGGAUUCACACCACAAUUUUUAUUUCUUACAACACAUUUUAAUUACAAUUAAGGUUCCUAAUCUUUGCUCAUUAUAACAUUUAUGCCCCUAAUAACUAUUUACGUCAUUCAUAUCCUCAAACUUUUCAUUAGUUAAUACAUUUUGUCCAAAAGUUUGAUGAAAUAGUGUAAAACAACUUAUUUUCCCAUCAUAUUGUAUUUGAUAACACUUUCCUCUAAAAGCUCUUUUAAUCGGACAAAAUUUUUUUAGAAAAUUAUUCAAAUAUAUUCAAAAGCAAUUUCUUAGUUAAGAAGUAGCUUUCCAAACACUCUACCAAGGAUCAUAAUUAUGUAUAAAUUCCUAUUCAAUACAAUGACAUGAUUCAUAUUGUAUCAACAUGGUACCAUAAUUUAUCCUUCUCUCUCUCCCAAGUCUAUUUCAUCUUGGUUAAUUAUCAACAGCGUCAACUUAUUUUUCUGAAUAUUAAAUCUACUCAUGGCUGAGAAGGUAUGAAUAUUUUUAAGCUCUGUGUUUAUUUCUACUUCUAUUAUAUGAACAUGGCUUUGGAUUUUUCUACACAAAAUAUUAUUCAUAUUUAAAUUUUGAAGCUACUGCUUUUGUCUUCCACAUACUAUCUUCAUCAUUUUUUUCCCAUCAGGUUACUGAGAUGGUGCUAAAGGUUGAUCUUGAUCUCCAAUGUCAUUCCUGCUACAAGAAAAUCAAAAAAAUUCUUUGCAAAAUUCCUCGUAAGUCUUUGAAUUCGUCCAUAUUAUGAUUGAACAAAAACAAACAUUAUUCAUUUUCGUGUUGUCGACUUGUUUGGAUAAGAACUGACUUAUUUUUUUGAUGUAAAACUUAAUGGGACGAAAGAAAUUAGGGGGCAGAUAUAUGAUGACAAGCAAAAUACAGUGACAAUCGAUGUAGUAUGCUGUAGCCCAGAAAAAAUUCGCGACAAAUUGUGCUGCAAAGGUGGAAAGGUUAUCAAGAGUAUUGAAAUAAAAGAGCCCAAAAAGAACAAGAAGCCCGACAAAAGUCCAGAGGAAAACCCCGGGGGCCCUACGAAGACCGAAGUGAGCAAACCACCUGAGCAACCGCCUCCACCACCCGUGAAUAAGCCCGAAUCAAUUCCACUUCAUCCACCAGCACGGACCUGUUGUGGACCAUGUUCAGAAGGUCAUGGUGGGGGUCCAUGCUACCGUGGGUACCCAUCUUUUCCACCGCGUUACGACGGUUGUUAUGGUUAUGGGUACUGGUGUAGGUGUGGAUGUGGGUGUGGGAGUUGGAGGGGGUGCCAGUGCCACCUGAGAAAGUGUAUUUGUGAUUGUUACAUAGAAGAAACCCCCUCUGCUGAAUGCAAGAUUAUGUAACAAGUAAUUUGGGAUAGUUUUCCAUUUUUUACCAUGAUUGGGUUGUCAGCAAAUUUUCAGUCAAUUUGAGGCAUUGGUCUAAAACCUAGAUGGUGACCGAUGUUGGUGUCUUGGUACUAUGUUUAUCAUGUGGGGUACCCAACUUUAAGAUGAGUUGUAUGAAUAUCACUUAUCUUCAAGUUAGUACAAUAAUGUCAUGUAACCCCCCCAUCAAAUUUAACGUCUAGUCAACUUAUUAUGUUAGUUGUGCAAGUAAAUCAAAACGAUUUAAUUGUACCAAAUUGACAGUGAAUAACAUGAAUGCAGCUUUGCUUAAAGUUGGGUGAAUGGCAACGCAUUUAACUUCUAUGCUUAUAGAUUUGUCAGUUUGUUAAUGAUUUAGAUUGAUUGUAUUUUUCAUAUAUUUAGCCCAUGUUUGGUAUAAAGUCAAUCACUUUUUAGUAUAUUUUAAUAAAAAUUGAUGGGUUGUGUGGUUGAAAAGUUGUAGAUCCCAUAAAAUAUAUGAUAAAAUCAAUUGUUAACUUCGGCUAAAAUUUUAAUCCAAUCAAAUUGGGGUUUUAUAUAGUUGUGUCACAAGUUGUGCCAUAUAUAUUAGGCCAUGUUUGGUCUAGAUUAGAAGUGGAUUAAAAUUUUAAGUCAAAAUCAUUAAUUAAUUUUAAGUUUUAACCACACACUUCAUAGGAUCAACAUGUUUUCAACCACACAUUUUAUCAACUAAAUUUACUAAAAAUUUGAUUUUAAACUGCACCAAACAAAGGCUAAUUUUACAUAGUGAUGUCAAAAAAGGUGAGAAAGUUUGGGUCCUGCCAAAUUUUCUUAAUGACUCGAUACUUUAUAGAUUUUGCUAAAAUAUUACAACCGAACAAACUGCAAUCUUUAACAAUAUAUUUCAUAGGAUUUACAACUUUUCAAUUACGAUUUCAUCAGUUUUUAUUAAAAUUUUCUAGAUUUUUAUCAAAAGCUUUAUCAAAUAGCAUCUUAAUCUUGUUUCUCAUGAAAAAUAUAUUCUAGAUGUUAGGUGCUUCAAGACUAUGUACUUGUUUGAUAGAAAUUUAAAAUCGAAUUUUUAGUGGAUCGAUUUUAAUAAAAUUUGAUGAAAUUUGUAGUUGAAAAAUUGUGAAUUUCAUACAAUAUAUGUUUAAAAUUAAUUAUUAAUUAAAAUCAAUAUUUUAAUCCCACCAAACAAGACAAAAUAUUUUCUUGACUCUUUUUUUUUUACAUACAAAUGAAGCCUUCCUAAUCUUUUAGUGACAAGUUUGUCUGUAGAGAUGAGGGUUAAUAUUGGACGAUAGAGAUGGUUUUGACAAGUGUGAUAGGUAGGUAUUUGACCACAACCGCAGCAAUGAUGGUAUUACCAACUAUUAUAACUACAUAUUCUGUAGUUAUAACUACAUAUUACAACUAUUAACUACCUAUCACACACACACACACAUAUUGGUUUGAGUUAAAAAAAUUGAUAAAAAUUUAAGUUAAAAUCAAUAAUUUAUUUUAAUUACACAUUUAAUGAGAUACAUUAUUUUUAUCAUCUUUUUAACAAUACAUUUCAUCAAAUUUUGUUAAGAUCUAUGAAAAAUCUGUUUUUUUAUCAAAAUGAAACGGGGGCUUAAAAUCAGUUAAGAAAAGUUCCUUUUUACCAUGUUUAAUUCAUUGAAAUAUUUACUGGAACUGAAUUUUUGGGGUUUACAGUUCAAUUUUACUUGUCUAUGUUUCCAAUUUUGUGAAAAUUAUUAAUAGAAUAUUAUUGAUUAUUAACGAGGCUCUAAAAAAGUUGAAAAAAUAAUAUUGAAAACAGAUGAGUAAUAUAAUUUUUAACUACGCCAUGUUAUGAUUACAAUGAAGGUCUUAAUUUUUGUUCAUUUUUGUGUUUAUAUCUCAAACUCCUUUUUCAUUGUAUUUAAUCUUAACUUUAUAUUAUUAGCACAUCUUGUUCUCGUUGAUGGUCAAAAAAUAUGUUAGGAGAAAGUAAAUUUACUCUCUGUACUUUUAAAUAAGCAAGAUCAAUAACAAAUACAAUAGUCUGACAAAAUACUUUCCUCACAUUAACAUGAUAUUUGGACAAAAAACGUUUUUGGAGAUAAAGUGUUUUAAUUAAUUGAAAUUAAACAUAAAAACACAUCAAAAAAGGUUGAAGAUAUAAUUGUAAAAAUAAGAAAAAUUUGAGGACCUUCAUUGCAAUUACAAUUCGAUGCAGUUAAAAAGUUGUGGUAUGAAUAUAAUUAUCAUUUUACUUAUAUCUAUAGGUUUUCUUCUUUUUUUUUUUAUUAAAUAAAGAAAUUGUUGUAAAGUCAGAAAAUCUUGUAUAUCUACAAAAGUAAGAUCCAAUGCAAAUAUGCAAUACAAAUGACACUGCUUCAAGUCAAAGUUAAAUAAUAUAAAUAUUCAAGUCUAUCAAACUUAGCCUCUAUUUGGUCCUCGUUAUUUCAAAUUAUACCUUUUGAAAUAGUAACGUGUGGUUAAAAAAAAAAUUCGAUUUACGGGUAAUAUUAUUUUAUAGAAGAUUGUAUGAUUGAAAAUAAGAAAGAGAAAAAUAUAUUUUUGGGAUAAUGAGAGCCAAAUGGGGACUUACUUGAAUAAAACCACAUACUGUGGAUUUACUUUGAGCGAAUAUACAAUAUCUUGUUCAUUUACCCAUAACUAGAAGAUUAAUAUCACGGUGGUUCGACAAAAUCUUCAUACAUUGACUUUUUCGGAAGUCACCUUGUUGAUAUCCUCCUACAACAAGGUAGGUCACUUGGUGGGGUUUCUUUGAGACAAAGAAACAAUAAUAAGGCUUUAUAUAUAUACACACACACACACAUAUACAUACAUACUUCAACAGGCUCUUUACAUUUAAUACUACCAAAAAUAUUUAUUAUUUGUCCUGUGUUUUAUUUUAACGAGCUUCCAUCCAAAUUAUUAUGUUGUUUUUCUCCAUUAAAAAUUGCAAUAUGUAAUAUCUCGAAUAUACAUACAAUAUAUUAUGAGGCAUAAAUGCAAGUUUCGAGAUUUUAGGGUAACUUAAUAUUUUUACCAUUUUCUAAGGACCUAGUGUUAAUAUUCUUAAUAAUUGGAUAUAUAUGAGUUUUACAUGAAUUUGAAUUUUAAUAUUAUUUUGGAUAUAUAUUGAAUUAUUAUUUAAUUAUCUGAUAUAAAAGUAUUUAGAUAAAACUUUAAAUUUGCAUAAAUCCACACUGGAAUCUUAUCCUCAUCUAGUUAGAAUUUUCUUAAAUUUGAAUUUCAUGAUAAAUUUGUUUGUUGAAAGGUCAAUUUAAAUUUGAAUUAAGAGUCCUAUUAGAAUUUUAAUUAAGUAACAAUCAUUAUCUAAUGACAUCUAUAAUUAUCCUCUUGUCGCACUUUAAUUCAGACAAAUUAAAGAAGGGAGAGAGAAAAGAAAAAGAAAAGGAGAGAGAGAGAAAGAAAGAACUAGAAAGGAAAGUGAGAGAGAAAAGAAAGGAAAAGAAAAGAAAAAGUUUUUUGGUGCGAUUCACUCGUAAGAAUUUUCACUCUUAAAUAGUUUAAGUAUAUGAGAAAUUUAACGAACAAGGUAUGGAUUUCUCUAAAUGCUAAAUGAUUUUGUGUUUUCAUUUUUUAAUGUUAUAAGAUAAGUAUUUUAUGUGCUAUUACGUUAUCAAAGUUAAAGAAAAAUAUUAUGGAUAAUACCAUGGGGUAUUAUUAUGUAGAUUUACACAAAAACUAGCCAUGGGACUACAUACCAUAAGUGGAGGUUGAGAAUGAGUAUGACUUAAAGUGAAAAUGAGACGAUCAUGUUUCUAUCCCAUUAGAAAAUUAUGUUAUGUACGUAUUUUACUCUUUUUUCAUAUAUAUAUCAAAUUGUGAAAAAUACUAAUAUGAAAUAUGUAAUGAGUGUAUCUAUAUGCGCAUUCCAUAUUAAAAAUAUUUUAAGAUACUUGAUUGAUCGAGGUUGGAGAACGAGACUGCUGACGAUAUUGAUGCCACUAGAUCAAGAAUUUUAUUUCCUUUCAAUAUUUAUUAUUUAGUUUAAAAUUAUUUAGCAAUCAGACAUUUAUUUUCAAAAUCAAUGGAUUUAUAUUUCAUUAGUGGAUUGUAUUUAUUUGACAUAUUACAAGGUAACAAUAAAACUUAUUUUAUUCUGCAAAGUUCUUCAAUUUUUUUGUAUUACAAUGUGUCAAUCAACUUUUAUAAUAACUAAAGGAAUUAUUUGAAUAACCUACAGAACAUAGGUUUCGGGCAUUAUAGUAUGGUAUCAGAACUCAGGCAAUUUUUCCUGCAUACGUUGUGAAAUUAAAAUUUUAUAUUUCUUUAUAUGUUAAAAUUUUAUAUAAGUUUUGAUCCACACAACAUUUGAAUCAGCAUUAUCAACUUCUAACCACGAUCUAAGGUAUGAAAUUACUUUAGUUUUAAAAUUAACAAGUGAUUGCUUGACCUUGAUAUAUUCUCUUUGUAAAAAGUUAAAUUGUCGUAUUUUAUAGAAACUUCAUGACUGUGCUAUUUGAUUUUACGGAAAAAAAUUCAUUUUUUGAGUUUUCUUUAUUUGCAUAUUUGUAGGAUUGAAAGACUUAGAAAAAAAGACCUAAAUUAUCUAAGGCAAGUUAGGGAUGUAGGUGAUGCACUAGUAACCCGUUCAUCACAUGAAAACCUUUUCAGUGGAACAUUAUUCAAAUCAAUAAGACGAAAAGUAAUAAUGAAACCCACUAUUUUAUUUUAUUUUUUUUAUGUAAAGCCCAUUUAGCAAAAUUUUAUUGGAAACAAUAAGAAUAUAUUGAACAAAAACAACACUAUUUAUACUCAAGUAUUCUUGUUGUCAACUAUAUCAGGUUAGUUGAAUUAACUUGAAUGACCUAUAAUAUACAAUCCCUAUAUUUAAGGUUUAGUUAACAAUUAAUUUAGCACGAGAAUUACUAACUGCUAUGCUAGGAAUGUCGUAGCAAGAACCACCUCAACAGCUUCGAGAUAGCCCUGGAUUGUCUUUGAUUAUAUAACAGUUUUACAAGAUGCACCCACUCGUGUUUGAAGGUGGCAUUGAUCCACUGGCUGCUGAAGAAUGGCGCUUCGCCAUUUUGAGCAUAUCUUCAGGUUUAUGGAAUGUACUGACGCACUAAAAAUUCUUUUUAUAGUAUUUACGAUGGAGAAAGGAGCAAGUCAUUGUUAGAAGAUGACUUCUGGAUCCCGUACCAAGGAGUAGCAGCGCAACUUUACAUGGGCACGAUUCAAACAGACAGUGCUUCAGAAGUACUUAGGGUUGGAUAUGGUCCGAUUCAAUUCAGUUCUCAAGAGAAUUGAAUUGAAUCGAAUCUGAAUUUUCUAUAUUUAGUAAGUGGAACCGUUCGGAUUUGGUUAUAUUAAUACCACACACAUAUACACCCUCUCUCUCUCUCUCUCUCUCUCUCUCUCUCUCUCUCUCUCUCUCUCUCUCUCUCACACACACACACACACACACAAACACUUGCACACACACUUUUUAAACAAUCAUUUAAAAUCUUUUUUUUUUAAAUUCUCGAUCAUUGUCCACCGUGAACAAUGACACGCACUAUUCACGUUUAAUUUUUUGUUUAACUUUAAAGUCUAAAUAAGCCUACAUAAAAUUUAUUGGUCUCUACUACCAAAUGUAACAACCCAAAUUUUAAUAUUUAAAUCAUUAUUAAAAGUUUCAUUUCAUAAUUAAAUAAACAUAUCAAAAAUCACAACAUGAAAAUUUUGGUUCCACCAAUAUUAAAUAAAACAUAUAGAAAAACAUAACCAAAUAAAACAUGUUCCAAAAUCUAAAUAACAAAAUCCACGUACUAAUAAAACUAAAAUAAAUGCUGAAAAUAAAAUUCAUAGUUAUGUUACACCGGAUUUUAUUUAUUAAGUCCAAUGAAUCCAAACACAAUGACCGCACCUUAUCGCCUGCAAACCAAUACUUGUUCUAACCUCUGAAAUACUUAAUAUGACAUAAAAAUAAUGGUGCAAUCUCGAAUAAAAAUAUUUGAUCACGCAUCAAAAAUAUCAUACUAUGAUCAUAAAUUUAGGGACCGAUAAUAACUCAAUACAUAUCACAUCUACGGUACUGAAUGACCAUAUCAUAUAUAUCAUAUCAUAUUUUUACCUUUCACAAGUAUAAUAAUUCGAUAACACGUAAAAACAAUUUAAACGGGAUAAAAACAAAUGCACCUCGUAAUCCUAACUCAUUAAAUCAAAUAACUUUUUUGCAAGAUAAAAUCCAAAAUCACGUUUCAAACUUUAUUUUCUGCCUCUGCUUCUAUGCUGUGCAUGUGUAUAUAUAUUUAUGUUGAAUUAAGCUUGGCGUACAGAUUUUACCUUACAGGUUCCCUACAGGUAAUUUAAAAAUGAUCAACUUGAUGGCCCACUUGUUGGUAAUAAAAAAAUGAGAAAAAUCAUAAUGGAGGGAAAGUAAAUGCAUCCCACGUGAAUACACUUUCAUUCCCCCCAAAAUAGCAAACAAUUGGUCUUGUGGUUCCCUUUUCCUUCCAACCUUGUAAUCCGGCAGAAACGACUGUAGCCACUACCGUCCGACCAGCAGAAAUAAGUUCCACCUCCGGCAGAUUUCGACUUCAUCUGAACGAGCGACAAAGGUCCAUCAUUGCACCCAUUUUCUCCACCUCAAACGAGCUACGUGAGCAAUUUCUGUAAAUCCACAAAUUGGGGAUGGGUGCCGGAAUAUCUUCUCCACCUCGAACUCUCUCUCACAUCCCUCAUGAGCUAAACUUCCAGCAGCGGUUCGAAAUGCCCAAAACCUUCCUGCCAUUUGCCCGUUUUCCACACAAGCCGUGAGUGACUUCUUGUCUUUGUGUUUGUCAUUUGCCCAUUUUCAUAUGAGAAUAUUAUUGAUAUUGUCAUUAAGUAUUAGCAAUGUGAAUAAAUUUUGUGAUAAAUUUGUUGUAACUUGGCAGCAAUGUUAAUAAACUUUGUGAUAAAUUUAUUGUAACUUGGCAGCAAGGUGAAUAAUUUUUGUGAUGAAUUUGAUGUAAUAUAAAUCUAUGAUGAAUUUGUUGUAAUAUAAAUUUGUGAUGACUUGGCAGCAAUGUGCAUAAUUUUUGUGAUGAAUUUGUUGUAAUAUAAAUCUGUUAUUACUUGACAGCAAUGUGUAGUGGGUGAAUAUGUAUAUAGAAACUGAAUUUAUUCAAAUGUGUUUAUUUACUAUAUUUGAUUUAUGUGACAUAACGUUACAAGUUAUAUUAUUGCUGACAGUAAAUUAUGAAAGACGUGGUCGAUAAUUCUUUGGCAGAAUCUGAAAAUGAGAAUGUUGUUGAAAAUACGAAUUUAGUGAAAAAAGAAGGUUUAGCAGAUGGGGACUCGAUUGUGCCGGAGAUGGGUAUGCAGUUCAACGAUGAAAAAGCAAUGUUUGAAUUCUACAAAAGAUAUGCAUACGAUGUAGGUUUUCCCAUUCGGAAGAGAAAUUCAAAAAAAGGAGAAGAUGGACUUUUAAGAUAUGUGACCUUUACAUGUAGUCGUGAAGGUCGAAGGAGUACAAAUGUUGUUGGUUCGUUGAAGCCUCAACCAACGACGUAGACGGAUUGUAAAGCUAGGAUCUCUGCUUCUUCAGAUGUUAAUGGAACUUGGAGAAUCAAUACAGUCAAUCUUGAGCACAAUCAUACAUGCAGCCCUUCAAAGUCCAGGUUUUAUCGUUGCAAUCGAAAAUUGCCUGCACAUGUGAAAAGGAAACUUGAAGUGAAUGACAUGGCAGGAAUAUCGUUGCAUAAAAGUUUCAACUCUGCAGUCGUUGAAGCUGGUGGAUAUGAGAAUUUGCCUUGUGUGGAAAAGGACUGUCGAAAUUAUAUUGAGCAAGUAAGAAGGUUGCGACUUGGAGAAGGUGAUACAGCCGCAAUACAAUCUUACUUUUCCAAAAUGCAAGCACAAUGUCCCGAAUUUUAUUUCAGUAUCGAUUUAGAUGAUGAGUCACAAUUGAAGAAUGUAUUUUGGGCUGAUAAUAAAUGCAGGCAGGCGUGUAGGAGUUCGGUGAUGUUGUCACCUUCGACACCACUUAUUUGACUAAUAAGUACGACAUGCCUUUCGCUCCUUUUGUUGAAGUUAACCAUCACGGUCAAUCUAGAUUGCUCGGUUGUGGUCUAUUGUCGAACGAGGACACAGAUACAUUUGUCUGGGUAUUUAAAACAUGGCUUGAGUGUAUGCAUGGUCAAGCACCCCAUGGAAUCAUUACAAACCAAGACAGGGCCAUGCAAAAUGCAAUUCAAAUUGUCUUUCCGAACACAAAGCAUAGAUGGUGUUUAUGGCACAUUUUGAAGAAAUUGUCGGAGAAGUUCGGGUACCAUGUUGACAAGAGAAACAUAUUUUCGACUAUACAUCGAUUGGUGUAUGAUUCGCAGACUGGUACAGAAUUUAAAGAAGGUUGGGGAUUGAUGAUUGAUGAGUAUGAGUUGCAUGAUAAUGACUGGUUGGCUGGACUGUAUAACAACAGAGCUCGUUGGGUUCCUUGCUUCUUAAAAACAACAUUCUGGGCUGCUAUGUCUACGACUCAGCGAAGUGAAAGUAUGAAUGCCUUCUUCGAUGGGUAUGUGCAUUCGAAGACCUCGCUUAAGCAGUUCGUUGAACAAUAUAAACAAGCACUAAGAAAUAAGGUUGAGAAGGAGUACCAAGCUGACUUCAAGUCAUACUCGCAAAUGGUACCAUGUGCGACAAAUUAUGAAAUGGAAAAAUAAUUUCAGUUGGUGUACACAAUGUCGAAGUUUCGGGAAGUACAGGAUGAGUUCACAGGGGAGGUAUAUUGUGAUCUCCUCGCUGCCUCGGAGGGAAGUUUGGGGACCACGUACGAAAUUUUAGAGGAUGUGCUGAUCGAACACAUACGGAAGAAAAAAAAGUGGUUCGUCUCUUUUCGGAGGGAUAGUAGUGAAAUUAUUUGUAGUUGCCACUCGUUCGAGUUCCGAGGGAUAAUGUGCAGGCAUGCAAUCGCAGUCUUGAUCUGUAACAAUGUGACAUCAAUGCCAGAAAGGUAUAUACUACGAAGGUGGAGAAAAGAUGUUAGUCGAGCGCACACAAGAGUAGCAGUGAACUAUGCUGACUUAGUUACUACUCAUGCACAGUUGAGAUAUGACGGUAUGUGUCAUGCUUUUUCGCAAUUGGCGGACCUCACUGCAGAUGACGAAGGGCGAUCACGUGCAAUAAUGGACUGGAUAAAAUACCAAUAUAAAGAGCUUACGAUGACCAAGUCGAGCAAUGGAAGUAAUGUUAUUUCGCAGCCUGCUGUUCACUUACCCUCCGAGAACAUUGAUUCUCAUAAAUCUGCAUGCAAGACUGUGAGGGAUCCUAUAUUGGUCAAGAGAAAGGGUGCACCGAAGAAACUUCGAACGAAAGGCCCGUUGGAGUCGAGGUCAAAGAAAAAAAAAGGUAUAUUUGUUUGUUGGCAUCGCAAUAGAAAUGGACCACAUUUUUGAAUUCUCAUUUAACUUUGAUAUAAAUGCAGGGAAAUUCGACUUCAAGCAAGGGAACACAUCGACGGACAUACCUACUAACAUCCUGGAGGUUGCACCCGAAGUUCAAGUAUCUCAACUAAACUAUUCCCUAUCGACCACGUUCUCCUAUUCACAAAUGUUGAUGGUUAGUAUUUUCAAUUCUCUAUUGCAAAGGAUGUUUACGUUUUAUUUACAUUAUUGCUGCAUAUAGGGUGAUGCCGAAAAUCAUUUAUUUACCCAACAAUGCCUAUCUUCGAAUGUUAUGCCACCAUCGUCACGUGAUAUUAUAUUUCAUUCACAAGGUAAAUAAAUGUUCAAAUUUCUUAAUAAUUCAUUCUUGUAUAAUUUCAUUACAAGUUUUAAUGUUCGUUGCAUACGGCAGGUCAUGGAAUGCCCUACUACUAUCCACAUUUACCAGAACAAGGUGGCAGCGGCUUGUGAAAAGGUUAAGCGUCCACCAUUGACUUCGCAUAUAGAAAUGGGAGAAUUUAACAUGAAUGACUUAGUUGUUACUUUUGUAGGGAGGGAAACAUCAUAUGUAGUGGCCGAAGGGAUCUCAACUAAGUUGUUAGAAGGAUUGACGGACCAUUUUCAUAGGAUAAUAAUGGCUGGACCGUAGGCCAUGUUUUUGUUUUUUGUAAAGCAUUUUGCUUGGCGGGCACUUUUUAUUUGGUGGCAAAGAUUCAGGAAUAGACUUUGGUAUCUAUUCUAUUAGGCAUUGAUGAGAGUAACUAUGUGAUAGUCAAGUCCGCUGGAAUACUAGUGGAAUAACUUUUAUAUUAUUUUGACAUCUGCUGCUUGGUGAGUUCUGUGGGCUUGUUAUUAUUGGGCAUGGGCAUUUAAAGCUGCGAAAGCAGUGUGUAAACAAAAGAUGUUUUAAUGUUGCGUUAAUCUAUCUUGGAGUUGAAUUUGAAAAAAAUUCUAUAUUAUGUGAUUUAUAUGUGAAUUAUAUUUUUUGGUUGUCUCAAUAAACAUAGCAAAGGAAGGCUCGACUUACUUUCUCCCAUGGUGCAAAACAACUGUAUGCUUAUUCCUAAGAUGGUUGUUGUUGCUACCUCAAAGUUGAAUAUGAAGUUCUUGGGAGUAUGUUGGAGGUUUUCAAAACCACAUUACAUAGAAGGCUACAGUAAUAAAAUUGAUAGACUGACGAGCCACAUUUUUCUUCAACCUCUGAUGAAUGAGCCACUAAAUAAAUUGAAGAAAAUUCUACCAUCAAUUUGAACCAUAAAAAUUAAUUAACAGAAACAAAAGCUAUUCCUAACUAUCAUGGUUAACCAUCAUUAUUUUCCUUGUGGUAUCAAAAUGAGUGGGACGGUCCAUUUACUGUUCGAAUUCACAACAAAAUAUAUACAAAUUAAAGGACAAAAACACUGAAUUAUCUGGGCUACAGCACUCAACAUACAAGUAGGCAUUUUUAUUUAUCUGGGCUACAGCUACAAUUGCUAACCAAACUACAGCAACGUAACAAAAUUACAACUUGCAGAGCGGUUGACAUAGAAGUAGACUGGGGUCACAUACUUCACAAGUCGCAAAACACUUAACAUAAUUGUGACCUAUUAUCACGAAGCUAAUAUAAAGUUCCCUCUUAGUAUUCUUACGUCAACAAACAUAACUCAACUUGACCCAUUCGAACAACGACGCCAAUUAAGCCAGCCUCUUCCCUUUUGCAUUCCCAGAUGCACCACAUUUUUCUUUACGGAUAGUCACGUUCACAGCAAUAUGGAGCUCUUCGUCAUCAUUUAACCGCACUUGAGAUUGGAACGUGCGGGUCAUAUCUUCAAUUGCUUCCAUUACCAUUGGGGUAGUCGAGGUAGCACUAACGCUACUACAUUCACCUCGUGCUUGACCUUCUUCGUACCAUAUCCAAAAUCCACAUUUCUGACUGCAACACUUGAAUAAUCUGCCUUUGUUACAAGUUUCUUUCUCCACCUCAAAGCACUUUUGAUAUCCAUGCUCACACAACGGACAGUGCACUUUGAUAGGGCAUUGGACAAAUAAGUGUGCCUUGCUUCUACAACUAUGGCACACACCUGAAUUCUUCCCUAGCAUUCUACUAUGCAAAUCAACCUGCCAUCACCAAUCAAUUGGCAAUAUGAAUUACAUUACAUAAAUAAUGUAUAAAUUACAAAAGACACACCGCCGCGACAUAACAAUAGGCCCAACCUCUUUGAACAUUAUAAACAACUACAUGCAGGGAAUAUUGGAUUUUUUACUUCACAUUUGCUCUUCCUAUUUGAAGACAAUUAAUUUACAUUCCAUAACAGGACUCCGAUAAGUCUAGAUUUUCAAGAACGUUAUCCAUCAGACGAGGCACAGCACGGUUACAUUAACAAUAACGACAGAGCACUGGGUAUAAUGCAUUCACAUUUCUCCCUUCCUAUUUUUGUUUGCUAUUUGUCUUUCAUGCCAAUCAAUUAGCACUUUUUCAGAAGAACCAUAUAAAUGACAACAGGAAGAUGAAAUUAAACUACUACCUGAAUGAGAGUAGAUGGUCGUCAUCGAACUUGUUCAACAACAGAGAGAGUUCAGGGGAUCGUCAACUUGUUCGAUGCCUUUCAAAGACUGGGAAAGUGCUUGGGGAUUAUAGGACAGAAACGAUUCUAAAGCCUGCAGCCUGUGAAGAAGAACACAGUGAUGGUGGCAAAUUCGGCUACAUCGAGGUCAUUCAACGCCGGCUUCUAAGAUGCAUUCUUCUGGGAGAAGACAACCUCAUGACCAAAAAACGUUGAUGGGCUGCCGGAGAUGGAGGCGAAUCAGCCGACGCUCACUUGUGGAUGUGAAGUGAAGAGGCGAGACAAUCGAGCUUGGUCAGGUGCGGUAUCGACCGCGCUUGGUGUAUAGGGUUUGAAAUUGGGGAUUAUAGGAGAGAGUGUGAAAGAAAAUGCUGAAUUAUUGACUGAUUUUUGCUCAUUUUCUCGUUCUUUUUUCUGGGAGAAUUUACUCACUUUCCACGCAAGCCUGUAAAACGCCUGUAGGAUCGACCCUGUACACCAAGCGCGUUCGAUGUAUGUUUGUGUCCCCUCCACCAUCAUGUUAUACAUAUAUAUGUACUUAGGCAAUAGUGACCUAGACCCUAGGGGGUUGGUGAUAGUGGGAAACGUGUAGGAUAAGGUAAUAAUUAAAAAUUUUAAAUUAAACUUUAUCAUGGUAGGAUUCAUACACGUUGAGGAAAUAGAAUAUUUAAAUUCAUAUUUAACUUAAUUAAUUACAAAUUAAGGUAAUAUCUUUCAAAUUCGAUAACUUGGGCUUCGCUUAUUCAAAUUAACUUUUUUCUCGAGCCUAAUAUACAUGAUUUAACACGAGCUAUCUAACGAGCCCAAUAUUGAUAUACUUAUCAUUGCUCUAUCAAAAUCUAAUUAUUUGACCAAAAAAAUUGAAUUUAAUACAUAUAUGAUUUUAGUCCCCCCAAUAUUCCAAAAUAUAAAAUGUAGCAUAUAGAAUAAUUAAAUUUUAUUCUGUGAAUUUGUUUAGAGCUUUACAUCUUCGAUAACCAAAGAAAAUUUCGAUGACGGAAUUUUAUUAAUAGGCGGAGGAUGUAAUACUCCAAACAUACUCACAAUAUAUUAAAAGGCAUAAAUGCAAGUUUUGAAAUUUUAGACUAGUUUAACAACUUUACAAUUUUCGGAACUUGUAUUAAUAUUCCUAAUAAUUUGAUGUGCACGAGUUUUACACAAAUUUAAAAUUUAAUAUUAUUUUGUAUAGCUGUUAAAUUAUUAUUGAAUUAUCUUAUAUAAAAGUAUUUAGAUAAAAAUUGAAAUUUGCAUAUAUCCACAUUGAAAUCUUAUCCUCAUGUAGUUAGAAUUUUCUUAAAUUCGAAUUUCAUGAUAAAUUUGUUUGUUGAAAGACCAGUCUAAAUUUAAAUUAAGAGUCCUAUUAGAAUCUAAUUGAGUAAUUAUCGUUAUCUAAUCACAUCUAUAAUUACCCUCCUGUUACACUUCAAUUCUCGCAAAUUUAGAGAGAAAAAGAACAUAAGAGAGAAAAGAAAGAAGAGAGAGAGAGAGAGAAAUUGUGAAAAACGGAGAAGAAGAACAAAAAGAGAAAGAAGAAAGAAAAUAAAAAGUUCGAGAUUUGUUCGCAAGAAUUUUCAGUCCUACCUAGCUCAAGUAUACAAGAAAUUUAAUGAAUAAGGUAUGAAUUUCUCUAAAUGCUAAGUGAUUGUGUUUUCACUUUUUAUUUUUUUAAGUUACGUAUUUUAUGUGUUAUUAUAUGAUCCAAAUUAAAUAAUGAUAUUGUGGAUAAUACCAUAAGGUAUUAUUUUUUAGAUCUAUACACAAACCAACCAUAAGGCUCAAUACUCUUAAGUGGAUAUUUGAGAUUGGAUAUGACUUAAGCAAGAAUGAUAUGGUCAAGUUUCUAUCCUACUAGAAAAUUAUGUUAUGUACAUAUUGUAUUUGCAUUUUAUAUUAAAUUGUAAAAAUACUAACAUGAAAUCUAUAUUGGGUAUAUUCAUAUGCUCAUACCAUUUAAAAUAUUUUCAAAUACUCCAUUCAUCGAAGUUGGAAGUUGAGACUUCUGAUAGAGUCCGUGCCACUGAAUCAAGAAUUUUAUUUUAGUUCAAUAUUUAGUAUUUUGAUUAAAAUUAUUUUGCAAUUAGACUUUUAUUUUCAAAAUUGAUGGAUUUAUAUUUCAUUAGUGGAUUGAAUUUAUUUGAUAUAUUAUGAGACAAUAAAAUGGUUUAUUAUUUUUUGAAUUACAAUGUGUCAAUCAAAUUUUAUAAUGGCUAAAUAAUUUAUCUGAGCAACUUUUGGGACAUAAGUUUCUGGGGGUUACAAAAUUUUUUGAAUGUAAUAUAGAGUGGAAUGACUUUUUAAAUUUAGAGUGUCAAACUCACUCUCUAUUUUAAAAGCAUCUUCAAGAAGCUCUUUAAAAAUAAGAUACUCUAUAUUUUAAAGAGUCAAUUUUUAAAAUUAUGAGCAUCUUCAAGAGACUAUUUAAAUGCAAGAUCAUCUCUAUUUUAAAGAGUCACCUUUUAAAAUUAUGCUCUAAGAAACUCUUUAAAUUAACAUUUUAAUUUAAAUAGUGAGUUUGACUCUCCAAAUUUGAGAUAUUUUCAAUGUAGGAAAAUUAUAUAAUAAUUUGAAGAGGAGCUAGUCAAAAUAAAUGAUAGAAAAAAUAAUAAAUAUUUGUUUGGAAUAGUAAAAUUUAAUGUUAAAUAUAAAGAGCACGUUGAAAUAUUUUAAAAAAUUUACUCUUUAAAUUUAUAAAUGCUUUCUAAAUUAUAGAAUAUACUUCUUAAAAAUAUAGAAUCUAUUGGAGAUACUAGAACUCUCCAAAUUUAAAAAGCUAAACUCACUUCAUAUAAUUAAAUGCAUUCAAAAUAUUUUAAUAUUCAAUGGAGAAAAAUAAUAUAAUAAUUUGGAGGAAAGUAAUGAAAACACAAGAAAUGGAAAAAUAAUAAAUAGUUUUUGGGAAUAAUAAAAAUAACUGUUAAAUAUAAAAAGCUUAUUGAAGUACUUAAAAUUUUACUCUCUAAAUUUAUAUAUACUCUUUAAAUUGCAAAAUAUACCCUUUAAAAAUAAAUGGUCUAUUGAAGAUGCUCUACAAUGUUUAAAAAAUUUCUAAGAAUAUAAUUUUAUGAGUUAACUCUUUAAAAUAGAGAGUAUUUUAUAUUUAAAUAGCCUUUUUAAAAAUGCUUUUACGAGGCCCAAAGGAAAAGGGUACUAGUAAGAGUUGUUGAUAGCCCAAGCUAACACCCUAAUGUCCAUCUUAGGAUUGGGUAAUAUUUCGCCGGACAGAUCUAUGCUCAUUUUUAUUUAUUUAUAAAUUAAUGAUUUUUAUACCCUUCUCAAAUGGAGGCUUAAUUAAAAAAUAAUAAAUAAACAAAAAAAAAAGAACAAAAAUGGAAAAUAAUAAAGCCACUUAUCUUCUCUACCUCUGCCCUUGUUGCCCAAAUGUCAUUGGCCACCACCAUCAUUACCUCCAAUCCCAAGUCAAGCUCGCAUACUCGACUCUUUCACCAUCUCCACAUCAACAACUGAUAAGUGCAUUUUAUGCACUUAUUUAGACCAUAUUAUUAAGUUUUUAUGUCAUGAAAGUGUUAAUUGUUACUUAACUUGAGUAAUUUUUCGUUUAUUUCAGUGAUGGACCAGUUCCUAAGCAAUUGGAAAAGAAAAAAGGGGGAAAUCCAAAGUAUGAGGACUAAAUUGCAACAUUUCAAUAGUUGAUUCGGAUCACAAAAUGAAGAUUAAAGAUGUUGUGGGUUCAAUUGGAUGCAAAUGAAAGUCAAAUAGUUGAAAUUGCAAGAGAAAGAGCUUGAAAGAAUUAAAAAUCGACUUCGGGGGCUAAAAUGCAACAUAUAGAAGAAAUUUUGCCUGGGCGACAGCCCAGUUAUAAAAACAGGGCGAUCGCCUCAUAUGUUUUUCUUAUUAUUGAGAAGCAAAUGUUAGCCUGGGCGACAGCCCGGGUUUUGCCUGAGCGACAGCCUAGGCCAACCGCGGCGAAAAUUUUCUGAUUUCUUUUUCUGAUUAAAACUCUUAUGAAAACAAAUCUUAGGAGUCUUUUAAAGCCCUAGGGACGUCCAAAAAUAGAGAGGACACAUUAUACAUUAUUUUGGGAGGAUCUGAAGAGGAAGAAGAAGGAAGAACAAGAAGAUUCAAUCCAAGAUUCAGUAUCUCACUUCAAGAAUUCAAUAGGGUGAUGUCUUUUCUUGAUUCUUGUUGUUAUGUUCUUCUUUCCAUUAUGUUAGGCUAGAAAAAUCUAUACUAGGAGAUCGAUGAACCUUGUAAUGUGAUAUUUAAUUCUUUGUUCCAUAUUUUGACACUAAAACAUAUAUUGAUUGGUUUGAAUGAUUUAUAUGCAUUUAAUUGCUUCCAUGAUUAUAGGUCCGUAAUUAUGUGAGUUUUGGUGGUUUGUUUCAUCUAUUCGAAAGAAGAGGAAUGAAUUCGACAAGGUAUAAAUCAUCAUAAGAUUCGAUAGAAGAUAGAAAUAUACCUCUAUGCUUUGCGUAUAUCUCUAAGUACUUACAAAACUACGUGCAUUCUCAUAUAUUUGCAUCCGUCAUAAAGAUAUAGGCUAGUGGUGUAUGAGAAUAGGUUCAAUUCAUCUCGAGAGAGAGUGUUGGAUAUAUUUAGGAGUAUUGAUUCUUCAAAAUGUCAUCAUGUUGUCAAAGUGUGGAAUUAAGGUUAAAUUGAGCAUUGCUUGGGGAUUCAUGAUCCUAGUGGGCUUUUAUAUCCAUCGAGUACACCAACUUGCAAUCAACACAUUUACUUCACAUUUUAGUUCAUUCAAAUUAUACAUAUUUGCAUAUUUAAUCCAAGUAAUGUUAAUUUAAGUCACUAAAAUUCACGUUUGACAAAUCAGUUUCGGUUAAGACCAAGUUAGGUAAAAUUAAACUAAUUAAUCUCUGUGGGAUGAUAUUCGGACUCAAUUGAUCCUCUUUAUUACUUGUUAAUGAACCAUACACUUGCGAUGAUUUAAAUCGAAAGAAAAUAUUUCGUGAACAAGUUUUUAGCGUCGUUGCUGGGGAUUGAGUUUUAGUUUGACUUCAUUUAUUUUGGCACUAAUUUGAACUUCUACUUGUAUUUUUGUAUUUUUUUUAGUUUCUUUUUUCGUUUAUUUUGUCUUUGUUUUAUUUUUGAAUUCGAUCUAUCUCUUUAGUGUCUAAGUGCUACUCUUAUUUUUUCUCUCAGAUUUGCAUGCUAAGAUUGACCGGAAGAGAAUUGAUUCCGGUCGAUCCUGAAAUUGAGCGCACUUUUCAUCGACUACAAAGAAAGAACCGAGAAGCAAAAUUGCAAAUGGCUAAUGAACUGAACAAUCCUAUUAUCCUAACCAAUGAAGGAGAGGCAGUGAACGAAGGAAAUGAGAUUUUGGGCAACUUCUUGACUCCUCAAGUGAUUCAAAACCAGUCCAGUAUUGUGUAUCCACCAUUUGGACGACCCAACUUUCAAUUAAAGACGAAUGUGAUACAACUAUUCCAGAAUAGGCAUCAAUUUUAUGGCAGAGCCGAAGAAAAUCCACAUACACACAUAUCUCGAUUCUUGGAUGUGUGUCAACACUUUAGAUAUCAAGGAAUCUCGGACAAUGCUAUUAGGCUAAGGUGUUUUUCACACACCUUGUGGGACAAGGCACUUGAAUGGUUGGAUUUGCUUCUUAUUACAAGCAUCACUACUUGGAACGACCUGGCUCACAAAUUUUGCACGAAGUGCUUCUCACCAGCCAAGAUAACUAAAAUGAGACACGAAAUAUCCAUUUUUAGCCAUUGAAAAUUCGAAUCAUUUGAAGAAGCCUGGAACAGAUUCAAGAAUAUGCUCCGGAAGUGCCCUCAACAUGGGUAUGACAAAAGGACCCAAAUUCGAUUUUUUAUGCGGGGUUACUUCCGUACCACAAAAGCAUGAUGGACUCGGCAUCAGAUGGCUCAAUAUCCACACGAACAGUUGAUCGGGCACUAGAAUUAUUUGAGAAAAUGACAACUACUUCAGUGAUGUGGGCAUCUGAGCUGGUAACUCAGAAGAAACCUCCGGGUGUUUAUAAGGUCGAUACUUAUUCAACCAUAUCUGCGACUCAUUGUUUCACAAGGUAGAAAGCAUAUCACAAACAACACAAAAUAAGAAGAUUAGAUGUGAAGAAUUCGGAGCUGAGCAUAAAAUAUCAGAGUGUCCAAUUUUAAUGCAAGGAGUUGAGCAGGCAGGUUUUGCACAAUGGAGGCAACCCCAAUAGAACAAUCAAUAUGGGGAAACAUACAAUAAUAGUUGGAAGAAGCAUCCCAAUUUCUCUUGGAGCAACCAGAAUUAGAAUAGGCCGCAGGGUCAAUUUCAACAGCAAGAGAAAAAGCCUCAAUUGGAAUACAUGUUCGGGAAAUUCAUGGAGAGGACCAAUCAAUACAUGGAGAAAAUUGAAAUCACUCUGCAAAACUAGAAUGCUGCCAUCAAAAACUUGGAAACUCAAAUGGGACAGAUGACCAUUGCUUUUACUGGAAGAACACAGGGAAAUUUGCCAAGUAACACGAAAAUCAACCCAAAAGAGCAUGCCAAGGCCAUCACAACUCAAAGUGGAGUGUAGCUACCUGAUAUAUAUGUCAAAAAGCCUAUCAAGAACAAAGAGAAUACACCUUCUGUAGAAGAAGAAACUGUGGAGCAGGAUGAACAACCAAACACAUCUACCGCAAAGGAAAGCUUAGAAAAAGCUAGGAAUAAAGCAACAGUUACAGUAAACCCAUAUGAACCUUCAAUUCCAUUUCCACAAAGGUUGAAGAAACACAAAAGGGAGCAACAGUACAAGAAAUUUCUGGAAGUCUUCAAGAAGCUCCACAUCAACAUCCCGUUCCCCAAUACAUUAGUCCAGAUGCCCAGCUAUGCUAAAUUCCCAAAGGAUGUCCUAUCUAAUAAAUGCAAGCUGGAGGAACAUGAGACGGUAAUAUUGAUAGAAGAUUGCAGCGUAAGAAUUCAGAAAAAGCUUCCACCAAAAUUGAAAGAUCCAGGGAGUUUCACAGUCCCUUAUACUAUUGGUGAAGUUUAUUUUGAUAAAGCUUUAUGUGACCUUGGUGCAAGUAUUAAUCUUAUGCCUUUAUCUGUUUCUAGGAAACUCGAUUUGGGUGAGGCUAAGGCAACUACUAUGACGCUGUAAUUGGCUGACAGGUCAUUGACGCAUAUCAGAGGAAUAAUAGAGGACAUGCUUAUCAAGGCUGAAAAUUCAUCUUUCCUGCUGAUUUCCUCAUCUUGGACAUGGAAGAAGACAAAGACAUUCCGUUGAUAUUAGACAGACCAUUCUUGGCUACGGACAGUGCUUUAAUUGACGUUCAAAGGGGGCAGCUAAUUUUGAGACUUGGAGAAGAACAUAUCUCAUUUAAAGUCUUCAAGGCUAUGAAACUUCCUACAGAGUCAGAUAGUUGCUUCCAAAUUGAUGUGGUCGACAAGGUGCUUCAAGACACGUUUCGACUUCAACGUUCAAAAGAUGCUUAUGAGGCAUGCAUUGCACAGUCUUAAUCAAUUCACACAGAUUUUGUAGAGAUUGAAACAUGUGCAAGCUUCUUGGAGACUAAUUCGCCCUACACAAGGAAAAGGCACUUUGAGGAACUUGGAGUUGGAUCCAAAAAACCACUACCAUCCAUUCAGCAUCCACCUCUAUUGGAACUAAAGCAAUUGGCGCCACAUCUUCGAUACGCAUAUUUGGGGGACUCUUGUACACUCCCAGUGUUUAUCUCGAACGCCGUCAGUGAAGUGGAGGAAGAAAAAUUGCUUAGAGUGCUUCGGGAAAACAAGACGGCGAUUGGUUGGACCAUAGCAGAUAUCAAAGGGAUCAGUCAUUCACUCUGUAUGCACAAGAUUCUCAUGGAGGAUAAUUUUCGAUCGAAUAUUGAAGGUCAAAGAAGGUUGAAUCCGAACAUGAAAGAAGUGGUCAAGGUAGAGGUACUUAAAUUACUGGAUGCAGGAAUUAUAUACCCAAUCUCAAAUAGUACAUAGAUUAGCCUAGUUCAAUUUGUGUCGAAGAAGGGUAGAAUCACAGUGGUGUCUAACGAGAAGAAUGAGCUAAUUCCCACCAAAACAGUGACAGGAUGGAGGGUUUGCAUCGAUUAUUGCAAACUCAAUGCAACUAUAAGGAAGGAUCAUUUUUCACUCCCGUUUAUUGAUCAGAUGCUAGAGAGACUGGCGGGGCAUUCACAUUACUGUUUCUUUGAUGAAUAUUCAGGGUACAAUCAGAUACCAGUUACACCAGAUGAUCAAGAAAAGAUCACCUUCACUUGUCCCUAUGGUACUUUUGCAUACCGUAGGAUACCUUUUGGUAUUUGCAACGCUCCUACAACAUUCCAGCGAUGCAUGAUGGCGAUAUUCUCCGAUAUGGUGGAAAAAUUCAUUGAGAUAUUCAUGGAUGACUUCUCAGUUUUCGGAUCGUCAUUUGAUGAGUGCUUGAAGCACUUGAAUUUGGUAUUACAGAGAUGUAGGGGGACUAAUCUGGUUUUGAAUUGGGAGAAAUGCCACUUUAUGGUCUAGGAAGGGAUUGUACUUGGGCAUCGAGUGUCAUCGAAGGGAAUUAAGGUGGACAAAGUGAAGAUUCAAGUUAUUGAAAAUCUACCGCCACCAAUGGGGUUCGUAGUUUCUUGGGACAUGCUGGGUUUUAGAGGAGAUUCAUCAAAGACUUCUCGAAAAUCACUAAACCACUAUGCAAUAUGUUGAUAAAAGACAUACCGUUUGAGUUUAAUGAGGAGUGCCUAACAACUUUCAAUACAUUGAAGGCGAAACUUACAACAACACCGAUAAUUGUAGCACCGGAUUGAGAACUGUCAUUUAAGCUAAUGUGUGAUGCCAACGAUCAUGCCAUAGGAGCUGUUUUGGGGCAGUGACGAAAUAAGGUUUUUCACGUGAUUUACUAUGCAAGCAGAACCUUAAAUGAUGCACAAAUCAACUAUGCCACCAUUGAGAAGGAGCUCUUGGCCGUGGUUUUUGCAUUCAACAAAUUCAGAUCAUAUCUCGUGGGGUCUAAAGUUGUAGUGUACACAGAUCAUGCCGCACUGAAGUAUUUGAUGACAAAGAAGGAUGCAAAGUUAAGACUGAUCCACUGGGUAUUACUCUUGCAAGAAUUUGACAUCGAAAUCAAGACAAAAAAGGGAGUGAUAAUGUGGUGACUGAUCACUUGUCUUGAUUGGAGUUCGAAGAAUCGAAGGAAUCAGUGGACAUCAACGAGAUUUUUCCCGAUGAGUAAAUAUUCAGUAUUGAAGAAGCACCUUGGUAUGCCGAUAUUGUAAACUAUUUGGCCAAAUCCAUUCCACCACUAGAUUAUUCAAGUCAUCAGAGGAAAAAGUUCUUCUCGGAGUUAAAAUACUACUUCUGGGAAGAUCGUAUUCUCUACAGGCACAGGGCAAAUCAGAUUGUUAAGAAAUGUGUACCUGAAGAAGUACCGAAGAUUCUUGAGCAUUGCCAUUCAUCCUCAUAUGCGGGACACUUUGGAGCUUCAAAGACUGCUGCGAAGAUUCUACAGUCGGGGUUUUACUAGUCUACAUUAUUCAGAGACACCUUUGAAUUUGUAAAGAUGUGUGAUAGGUACCAGUGCAUUGGGAAUAUCUCGCGGCGAAAUGAAAUGCCAUUAAACAAUAUAUUGGAGGUUGAGAUAUUUGAUGUUUGGGAGGAUCGACUUCAUGGGGCCGUUUCUCCCAUCGUUCUCCAAUGAAUACAUACUGGUGGCUGUUGAUUACAUAUCGAAGUGGGUGGAAGCCGUUGCAUUGCCUACCAAUGAUGCGAAGGUGAUAAUUGAUUUCCUGAAGAAGUACAUUUUCAUUCGCUUUGGCACACGGAGAGCUAUAAUCAGUGAUGGGGACAAACACUUCUGCAAUCGUCAAUUUGAACAGUUGUUGAGUAAAUAUGGCGUAAAACAUCGUGUAGCUACUCCAUAUCACCCUCAGACUAGCGGAAAAGUUGAAGUGUCCAAUAGGCAAUUGAAGAGGAUACUUGAGGUAACAGUGAAUUCAUCUUGAAAUGAUUGGUCUAAAAAGCUGGAUGACGCAUUGUGGGCUUAUAGGACAUUCAAGACACUGAUAGGUAUGUCUCUGUAUCUCCUGGUUUUUGAAAAAGCGUGCCACCUGCCACUAGAGAUAGAACAUUGGGCAUAUUGGGCUAUGAAACAAUUGAACAUGGAUUUGAAGGCAGUCGGUGAAAAGCGUUUACUGCAGCUUAAUGAAUUAGAUGAAUUCAAGAUGGAAGCAUAUGAAAACUCAAGGCUCUACAAAGAACGAACCAAAAAGUGGCAUGAUUUGCACAUUUAGAGGCGAGAAUUUAAAGUGGGGCAGAAAGUGUUAUUGUACAACUCGAGACUAAAGCUCUUCACGGGAAAAUUAAGGACAUGGUGGUCGGGUCCUUAUACUGUCACAAAGGUUUUACCAUAUGGAGCUAUAGAAGUCAGCCAUGAAACUAAGGGUACCUUCACAGUAAAUGGGCAAAGGCUAAAACACUACUGGAGAGGUGACUUCCCCAAGUAAAAGUCCAAUGUUCAACUCGGGACACCAGAAUAAAGCAGCUAUGGGAAAGUUGAGCUAUCGACUAUAAACUAGCGCUGUGUGGGAGGCAACCCACUGUAUCCUUUUAACUUAUUUCGUUUUAUUUUUGCUUUAGCUUAGGAGCCUUUCAAUUUCACGUUCACAUUUUCUUUUUGUUUUUUUAUAGUUAGGUCAUCGAUCAUCCAUGCAUGUCAAAAUAGUCUAAACACUACCCCCACAAGAUGCCCUAUGCAUCGAGCAUGAGUUGUGAUUGAUUUGAGUGUUUUGGGUAUGAUAAUCACGCAUUUCGAGGCAUAAUGUUGUUUUUCAAAAAAAAUUCAGGGUUAUGGUGUGAUUUCAAUUCAAAAACUGAUUUUGGCACUAAGUCUAUGGCCGGCACAUACCCCAAGUUGAGUACCAUAUUUUCAAAAUUUUUAGGGUAUGUGAGAGGCCAGAUUAAUUCUCCAAUCGAAAACCACCUUUUGGGACAUAUUUGAUUAAAGUCGUGUGUGUGGAAUCAAAUGUAUUUAAAAAAAAAAAAAGGGAGGGGGGCUCCGCGAGGCUAGAUGAGUGCUCAGCUUUAUAAGCCGGGUGCUCGCCCGGCUGCGUUAAAGGCCAACAGGCCAUUAACUGCAGCCGCCCAGUUCAAAAAAAUACAGUUUUUAUAAAAACUCACGCACACACAAACACGAAAUUCGCAACUCACGGCAUAAGAUCGACACUACACACACAAGAACUCAUCUAACACACAAGAUUGGUUGGACAAUUCAAUCCAUUGCAUUCAACUCCUUCAAGGUAUGCACUCUUCUCCUAUCUCUUCUCUUCACAUUUUGAGCCGACAAUUUCAUUUGGAUUUCCUAGGCAUAUUAAGGAGUUUGUGAUGAAAUCAAUAGUGGUUUAAUAGGUUUGUGUUGUGAUGAAGACAAAAAGCAAAUGGGGCUUUGAUUCAAACAUUACUCUCUUGCAACCUUAGAAAAAUUAAGUGCCUUCAAGUUAUUUGAUAAAUUGCCUAAUAAGAGAUUAUUGGGUGAGUAGGGAGAGUCUAGUAAUUGGAAGCAAUGAUACAUGUUGUAGAUUGUUUUUGGUGUUGAGAUUCACAGAAUUGCAUUAGAAAACGCCAAAAUUUUGAAUUGCAUACCCUAAGCACCAUGGAUACACAUCAACAACCUUACGAUACAAACUUUUUGUUUAGGGAAUUUGAGAUGUAUUAUAUUCAUUUAUUUUAUACAUAUCCUAUUUAAUGACAUUUUCUCACGCAUGGCACAUGUUGUUACAUUUUGGCACAUGAUAAUUGGCAUAGUUUGGGGGUAUUCUCCACUUCACCUUACUCAUUUGUUUGUUACCUAUAUACUUACAUUUUCUAUAUUCAUAUGUACGUAUAGAAUGCCACCAAAAAGGAAGGCCACAACUCAUGAGAAAGGAAAGUCUAAAGUUGGCAAAACCUCAACCCGAUGCCAACGGGCAACAUAAAAUCUAGUUGACAGGGAUAUUCCACGGUUUGUGACUGUUAAGACUCGUGAAAAUUUUAACACAAAGUGGAAAGAUAAGAAAUUUUAUCGAGAACGGCGGGUCAUACUUAGCGAUUUUGGAGGAACGUUACUGGAGAGAAUCAUACACCAUUGUGGGUAGGACAAAGUUAUUGAUACACCUCACGCGGCAUUUCCUACAUUGGUAAAGGAAUUUUUCACCAAUUACAAUGCUGAUAUUGAUAACCCAAAAUCUCCUCAUAGAAGUCAAACAUGGGUUAGAGGAAAAUGGAUUCGGUUCAGCCCAACAACAAUUGACAGGUACUAUAGGUUGAAUCACACUCAUGUAGAGCCAUUACUAGAGGAACAAGACAUGGCACUGGUAGCACAUUUUCUGUAUGUUAGGGAAGUUGAUUGGCCACUUAAUUCAUUUCAUUUCCUGCAUAACGAACUAACUCUAGAGCUCAAACUCUUGCACAUCAUCUUCUGCACAAACAUUUACCCUACAUCCCAACAGACGAGAUUCAAUGAAGAAAGGGCAAGGUUACUUUAUCAUAUGGCAAGAGUGCGUAAGUUUGACCUGGGAGCCUAUAUAUAUACCUUCAUACGAGAGUUUACCUCUUCCAUAGAUAUUCAGCGAGGUAUUAUGUUUCCUCGCUUGAUCAGUGGGAUUUCUCUAGCAGCCGGGGUACCAUUGUUGCCAAGAGAAGAGAGUGUAGCUCCAGAUGCAUUAAGUAGAAGAGUAAUUGAAAAUUCAAAGGCUAGAUUGAGAGGAGCAGAGAGAGUACAUCGUCUCGAACUGGGUCCUAAUGAACCCCAGCAAGUCCUAGAUGCUGAUAUAGUCCUUCUCAGUAGACAGUUGUCACAGAUGCAGGCAACUGAAGUGGAGCUGGGUAGAUCUGUUGGCACCAUGACAAAUGCUUUGGAGGCAAUGCAGCGAAUGCAGCUAGAUAUGCAGAGGGAGUUACAAAGAGUAAGUGUACAAGUGUGAGGGUUCCAGCUAAGUGAUGACCGGACACGUUAUGAUCAAAGAACACUCACUUAUGCUUAUGGUCAAGUGAAUGAGCAGAUGAUGCGUUUUGGGAGUCAACUGGAGACAAUUGAUUGUAAUGUACACCAAAUAGCAAGAACCGUCGAAUCUCUUCGAACCACGAGUUCAUCUAGCCAGGCAGACCAACCUGACAACUCUACUCAUCCGCAUCCACCCUCGGGGAGUAUUUGAUCCUUUACUCUUUAUUUUUGCGUACUUUUGCUUUUUCAUUGGGGACAAUAUAAUAUUUUGUUUGAGGGUGGGGUAAAUGCUAGGACACAUAUGCUACUCAUUUUGACGAGUCCUUAAAUUGCUAAUUGGGUUUGUAUAACUAUUUAAGAAAAAAAAUAUUAUUUACUAUUGCCCAGUAUAGCGUUGAAUGACUUACUGCCUAUGAUGAUAUUAGUUCAAAUUAAGUAUGCCUUUAGCUAGGUUACUGGAGAACACGAUAACACGUGCAAUUAUUUGAGUACUUAUCCAUGUUAGAUUGAAUUAUUUAAGUGCAUAACCAUUUUGACUUAUCAUUUGCAUUAGGGGCAUAAUUUGAUCGAGUGAAUUUAAUUGUUGAUGUUGUUGAUCUAGUUUCGAAUAAAAUUCCCAAAACCUUUAUAUAGAAACCAAACUGGGUGAGAUGGUUAGUGCUUGUCGUCAUAGAAAUGUGAUGGUUUGGAGUUCCAGGAUCCCAACUAUAGUUAAAGGAGUUUGAGUUAAAAAGUCUAAAAUGGGUACUAAUCAUAUAAAAUAAAAAAAUAUAAAUAAAAAAAUAAAAAAAUCAAAUGUCAUACAUCUUCUACUUCUCUUUGUAGCAUUUUUGACUCGAGUGAUUAAGCCUGUAAGGGUAUUUUAAAACCUGGUGCCCUAAAGUCAGUUGACUUAGGAGUCAUCGGCCUAAAACUCGCUACAAGAGUCGUUUAGAAAGCUUAAUGGAGAGAGGUAUUGCAUGGGAGAUGUUUAAAAAAAAUAGAUUCUCUUAAAAAAUUGAUACAUCUUCUAACUUUCUUCGAAGCCUUUAUAACUCGAGCAAGUAAGCAUGUAAGGGUGUUUUAAAACCUGAUGCCCUAAAAUCAGCUGGCUUGGGAGUCAUUGGUCUAAAGCUCGCUAAAGAAGUUAUUUAGAAAGCUUAAUGGAGAAUAGUAUUGCACAGGAGAUGUUAGAAAAAGAAAAGUGCCCAAUCAGGACUUUAAGAUUUGAACUCUAGAGACUGGCGGUGUGAUUUUGAGAAAACUUACCACCUCAAUUCUAGGUUGGCAAGUAUCUAACUUUGAUCACUUUGUGGGGGAAAAAUGAAGGAUAAUAAUUUUAGAAAUCCCCAUGUGCUAAAAAUACCUCGGGAUUGGAGAGAAAAGCAUAAGGAGUGAUUCUACACGAGAGGUGUAAGGAAAAAUGACCACAAGAGGGUUGGGAUUGCAAAAUAAAUCAAUGACACUUGAUUGAUUAUGUUCUAGUAUGAGUGUGAGUUCAAGGUUGGCCAAUCGCACCCACACUAAGUUCAGCAUCGUAUAAGUAAAAAUUUAUUUUAAAUGUUGUUUGAAACUUUCUAAAGUGUAACUUAAAUUCGAACCUGAGGCAUGCGAUAAGCUGUUCAUUAUUGAGUCCAACAUUUGUGACCUAUGUGCAACUAGUAAUAUGAUCUAUGCUUGAGUUUUGUUUUGUUCGGGGACGAACAAAGGUUUUAGUUUGGGGGUGUUUGAUAAGUGCAUUUUGUGCACUUAUUUAGACCAUAUUAUUAAGUUUUUAUGUCAUGAAAGUGUUAUUUGACACUUAACUUGAGUAAUUUUUCGUUUAUUUUAGUGAUGGACCGUUUCCUAAGCAAUUGGAAAAGGAAAAAAGGGGGGGAAUUCAAAGUAUGAGGACUAAAUUGCAACAUUUCAAUAGUUGAUUCAGAUCACAAAAUGAAAAUUAAAGAUGUUGUGGGUUCAAUUGGAUGCAAAUGAAAGUCAAAGAGUUGAAAUUGCAAGAGAAAGAGCUUGAAAGAAUAAAAAAUCGACUUCGGGGGCUAAAAUACAACAUAUGAAAGAAAUUUUGCCUAGGCGACAGCCUACUUAUAAAAAUCGGGCGAUCGCCCCAUAUGUUUUUCUUAUUAUUGAGAAGAAAAUGUUGGCCUGGGUGAUAGCUUGGGUUUUGCGUGAGCAACAGCCCAGGCCAAUUGCAGCAAGAAUUUUCUGGUUUCCUUUUCUGAUUAAAACUCUUAUGGAAACAAAUCUUAGGAACCUUUUAAAGCCCUAGGGACGUCCAAAAAUAGAAAGGACGAAUUAUACAUUAUUUUGGGAGGAUUUGAAGAGAAGGAAGAAGGAAGAACAAAAAGAUUCAAGGUCUCACUUCAAGAAUUCAAUAGGGCGAUGUCUUUUUUUAAUUCUUGUUGUUAUGUUCUUCUUCCCAUUAUGCUAGGCUAGAAAAAUCUAUACCAGGAGAUCGAUGAACCUCGUAAUGUGAUAUUUAAUUCUUUGUUCCGCAUUUUGACACUAAAACACGUAUUGAUUGUUUUGAAUGAUUUAUAUGCAUUUAAUUGCUUCCAUGAUUAUGGGCCGGUAAUUGUGUGAGUUUUGGUGGUUUGUUUUAUCUAUUUAAAAGAAGAGGAAUGAAUUCAACAAGGUAUAAAUCAUCGUAGGGCCUGAUAGGGGAUAUAAAUAUACCCCUAUGCUUUGUGUGAAUCUCUAAGUACUCACAAAACUAUAUGCAUUCUCAUAUAUUUGCAUUCAUCAUAGAGAUAUAGGCUGGUAGCGUAUGAGAAUAGGUUCAGUUCAUCUCGAGAGAGUGUGUUAGAUAGAUUAAGGAGAUCAUGUUGUCAAAGUGUGGAAUUAAAGUUAAAUUGAGCAUUGUUUGGGAAUUCGUGAUCCUAAUGCACUUUUAUAUUUAUUGAGUACACCAACUUGCAAUCAACAUAUUCACUUCGCAUUUUAGUUCAUUCAAAUAAUACAUAUUUGCAUAUUUAAUCCAAGUAAGGUUAAUUUAAGUCACUACAAUUCACGUUUGACAAAUCAGUUUUGGUUAAGGUCAAGUUAGGUAAAAUUAAACUAAUUAGUCUCUUUGGGAUGAUGUUCGGACUCAAUUGAUCUACUUUAUUACUUGUUAACGAAUCGUACACUUGCAGUGAUUUAAAUCGAAAGAAAAUAUUUCGUGAACAACAACCAUAUACCGACACAAAGAAAAUACCAUCUCUAAUUCAACAUGGACGAGAGCACCAUCUCUUCAAGAUCCUCGAGGCUCGCCAAUUUAGACGAACAAAUAUGGAUGAUAUUAUAAGUGAGGUAUCAUGUAGAGUAGCCAUGCUUUCUGUUACAUCUUGUCAUUUUAACAAUAAAGUUGGGGUUUAAUUACCUCAUCAUUGUGGCUGAAGACCAAUCUGUAACUUGAUCAUAGAUUGGGGACUAAGCAAUAUUAGAAAAAACAUUUAGAUAAUCAAAACAUUCCACAGGAUAAGGCCCAUGCCCGCCAUCCUCCCUUAACCCCUCAACCCUCUGCCACCGGCAAAACCCAGGAAAAACACAUAUCGAAAAACUAGUGUAAAUUAAUUAAUGGUCACUAUACUUUGCUAAAGGUUACUACUUGAUCAUCAAAAUUUAAAAGGUUAUUCUUUGUUUACUCUAAUUUGAACAAAAUUUUCCAUCAAUCACUCGUAUCAUUUCCAUUAUUGUUAUUUAUAUCAAAGUUUAGUGAGGAACUAAUAACCUUAGCUAAAUUUAUGUUAGCAACAAGUAACAUUUUAAAUUCAGUGAGCAAGUAUUAACUCAUAGCAAAGUUCAAUGAGCAACGAGUAUGACCUCGUUUGAUACACAUUAAUGUAAAAAUAAGAAUGAAAAAUAUAGCCGUUAUGGAUCACACACAAGAGAUAGAAAUUCAAAUUUGGUGGCUUAAUGUGAUGGAUAAUGAUCAUAUUUUUCAUUUUAAUGAAGAAAAAAUGGGAAACAAAAAAGGGCUAACUUUUAAAAGAUCGUUGAGCAAGUAGUAACAUAUAACAAAGUUCAAUGACCAUUGUUAUCUAUUAAAUCUUGUCAUUUUAACAAUAAAGUUAGGGUUUGUUUACCUCAUUUUUGUGGUUGAGGACCAAUCUGUAACUUGAUCAUAGAUUGGGGACUAACAAAAAUUAAAAGAAACAUUUAGGGUCGUUUAAUUGUAAGGAUGAAAUUUGGAUGAAAAGAAAAUGAAUUUCAAGGAAUUGAAUUGCUUAGAAUUUGUUUUAUUGGAGAUUGACAAUUAAAUGUGUUUGAUUUGUAUAAUUUUCCACCUGAAAAAUGUCGAAAUGUUUUAUCUUUUGAUGUUCAUUUGACUUUAUUUUUUUAUUAAAAUUGUCAACUAAAAGGACAAAAUUUGUUACAAUUGAGAAUAGAAUUUGUUCCAAUUGUAAAAAAAUUUAAAAAAAAAAAAGGAAAAGAAAAAAAAGUGCCUGCAAAUCCAAACGAUUUUCCACAAAACUAUGAAAUUGGCACAUGUGUGGAGAGAAGUUGGGAAACAAAUUCCAUGAAAAUUUUUAACAAUCAAACAAUACAAAUUAAAUGAAAAUGAAAAUGAAAAAUCAAGGCUAUCAAACAUGACCUUGCACAAGGCCCCGUGCCCGCCCUCGUCCCUUUACCUCUCAGCUCUCGGUGAUCGGCAAAACCCAUGAAAACAUACACACCGAAAAACUAUAGCGAGUGAAAAGAGCAACAAUGGCUUACAAUCUCAGUGCUUCACCAUUUACUUCACUUUCUCAUGGCACCAAUCUCUUUUGCAACUCAAUGUCUCCUCCACACCUCCUUCAACUCAGUCUCAGACCGUAAAAAACCCGUCGAUUUUCGCCUCAAAUUUCGUCCCCGGAAACCCCCUUUUCAUAUUUCCAAUGUCUCUUUACAAGAACGAGAGCACGCCGCAAUUUCAGAAGAUUCACACAGCCCAACUAAAAAAACCAAUUCUUUGACAAAAUCCUACAUCUGGGUCGAUCCCAAGAGCCACAGAGCAUCGAAAUUAAGGCAGAAGUCCUAUGAUUUCAGGUAUUCUUCUUUAGUUAAAAUUUCGAAAUCUUUGGAUUCUUGUUCCCCGUUAGAAGAAGAUAUAGUGAAUAUAUUGGAAAGCUUUGGGACUAAAAUUGUGAAACAAGAUGCUGUGAUUGUAUUGAACUACAUGUCGAACCUGGAAACUGCGCUAUUGGUGCUUAAGUAUUUUCAAGAAUGGUUGAAAUUGAGUGAAGAAUUUAUUUUGUAUAAUGUUACUUUGAAUGUUUUUAGGAAAUAUAGGGAUUUCGAUGGCGCAGAAAAUUUAUUUAAUCAAAUGCUUGAGAGAGGGGUUAAGCCUGAUAAUGUUACUUUCUCAACCAUAAUUAGCUGUGCUAGGGUGUGUUCUUUGCCUGAAAAGGCUGUUGAAUUGUUUGAAAAAAUGUCAUCUUUUUGGAUGUGAACCUGAUGUGGUGACUUACUAUGAUUGACGAAUAUGGGAAGGCAGGGAAUGUGGAUAUGGCUAUGAGUUUGUAUGAUCGUGCAAGGACUGAGAAAUGGUGUGUUGGCGUUGUCACCAUCUCAACGUUGGUUAAGAUUUAUGCGGCAUCCGUGAAUUUUGAUGGGUGCUUGAACGUUUUUACGCUGAAUUGGGAGGGCCAGACUCCAAGAGCUAGCUAAUGAGGUUGGAAAAUCCAAGCCAAUAUAAACCAUACAAAGGAAGCUUACACUUUCGAUGUGGGAUUCAGGUGCCCAUAUACCCCAAUGGGAACCAUGACAAACCACCGUGCUUCCGACUUAACAUUCACGUCGAGCAGGUGCCCAUACACCCUAAGUGGUAACCGAGAUCAGAAGAGAUGAUGCUUGCUCUGGUACCAUUAUCAUGCUCAAUUGGGAGAGUUAGCCCUAAAAACUAGCCAAUGAGGUUGGAGAACCCAAACCAAUAUAAACUACGUAAAGAAAGCUUACACUUUCGAUGUGAAAUUCAGAUGUCCUUAGACCCCAAUGGAUACCAUGACACACACAAAGGAAGCUUACACUUUCAAUGUGGGAUUCAGGUACCCAUACACCCCAAUGGGAACCAUGACAAACUUGUACGAGGAAAUGAAGGCACUAGGAGUUAAGCCUAAUUUGGCUUUGUAUAACAAUUUACUGGAUGCUAUGGGAAGAGCAAAGAGGGCAUGGCAAGCACGCGAAGAAUAUCUACAAGGAGAUGGUGAAUAAUAUGAUCGAUCCAAGUUGGGGUAGUUAUGCCACAUUGAUUAGGGCAUAUUGUAGGCUUGGUAUGGUGAUGACACACUUAAUGUUUACAGGGAGAUGAAGGAGAUGGGCAUGGAGUUUAUCGUUUUUUUAUAUAAUACUAUUUUGUAUAUGUGUGCUGAUGUAGGACAUGCAGAGGAAGCCGUUGAAAUUUUUGAGGAUAUGAAGAGUUCAGGACCUGCAUGCCUGACAGUUGGACAUUUUCUUCUUUGAUUACAAUUCAUUCCUGGAGUGGGAAAGUUAACCAGGCAGAGGCUACCGUGAAUGAAAUGGUGGAAGCUGGGUUUGAGCCUAACAUCUUUGUCUCGACCUCACUCAUCCAGUGUUAAGGGAAAGCUGGCCAAAUAGAUGAUAUUGUAAGGAUAUUUAAUUGGUUGCUAGAGCUAAGUGUAACUCCAGAUGAGCGAUUCUGCGGUUGUCUUCUUAAUGUAAUGACUCAAGCACCAAAAGAAGAACUUUCUAAGUUGAUGGGUUGCAUUGAGAGGACUAAUGCGAAGCUUGGUCGUGUGGUCAAAAUCCUCACAGAUGAAGAUAAUUUUGAAGGAGAAAUCUUCAAGAAGGAAGCUGGUGAACUCUUUGAAUGUAUUGGUAAUGAUGUAAGAAAGGCCUAUUGCAGUUGUUUAAUUGAUUUCUGUGUCAACCUUAAUCAUUUGGAGAGAGCUUGUCAGUUGUUAGACCUUGGGCUCGCACGUGGAAUAUAUGCUGAUGUACAGUCUAGACCUCUAACCCAGUGGUCUUUGCACUUGAAGAGCCUCUCUCUAGGGGCGGCUUUAACUGCACUGCACAUCUGGGUGAAUGACUUAUCGAGAACAUUCGAAGAUGGGGAAGAACUUCCAUCAUUGCUUGGGAUCAACACAGGGCAUGGGAAACAUAAAUACUCUGAGAAAGGAUUGGCAGGUGUUUUUGAAUCCCAUCUGAAGGAGCUAAAUGCUCCAUUUCAUGAGGCACCAGACUAAGGUUGGUUGGUUUUUGACGAUGAAGGUUGCAGCCACAUCUUCGUUGAAGUCUAGAAGUUCCCAGGAGGCAGUUGCUGCUUAGGUGGAGUUCUUAGCCUUUUUGUUGAUACAUGACACCUCAAAUUAUUGUUUCUCUGGCCUUGUGCAAUUAUGCUUAGUCUACAAUAGAGAAUUUUCUUCUUCUUCUUCAUUUUUUUUUUAUUUUUAUUAUUUUAUUUUUUUUGGUCACGUGGAUUGGCUUAUACUGAUUGUUUCAUGAUUGUUUCGCCCUUCUAAGAUAGUUUCAUGAUUGUAUACGAGUUCAUUGAAUGCCUGCAUUUGUAUGAUGGCAUGGUUUUGACCAGAAUGCACAUUUUCUUGGAUAAUUCAAAAUUUUGUCCCGGCUUCAAUUUUUAUGCUCAUUUUCCAGUUCGGUUGCUAAUUUGUAGCCAGAUCCGUUGAUAACCCUUCAUUAAUAUGUUGUUGAGUUGGGAGAAAAUGAUGGACCAUAAAAGAAAAAGAUUGAAGAAGAAUCUCUCAAAACCAGUUCACAUUCAGGUGAGAACAAAUAUGAUAGCAAGGAGUUGACAUUUUUGACAUACCAUGUGCACUUUGGGUGGAAGGUUCAAUAAACAUAUUUCGUCAACUAUAGAGAAUGUCAAAUAUUAAACAAACUGUCAGGUGCUUUGCAGUUUUUUUUUUUUUUUUUUUUAAAGAGAUGAGGGUGGUGUAAGCAACAUUAUAUAUGUGUAGUUUUCCUAAAUUCAACAUCCAUGCAAAAUGGGAAACUUCGUAGCAUCUCAGAUGAAAAUCGGAGAAUAUGGAGGAGAAAAGGAACUUGACGCCACGUCGCCAAGAAGAAGGCAGGACGUUUUUGGCUUUGCAAGGCUCUUUUUUCUCUGCGUGCAAAGUCAGAAUUGCCACAGAUGACACUAUACUGCCGCCCUCUAACACCACCAAAAGUGGCAAAGGAAGGCCAGAGAGUAAGAAUGGUAGACACUAAGAAGCAGUUGGAGCUGCUGAUCAUUAGUACAAAAAAUCUCAAAUCGAGGCAAAUUGCACUUCGAUCCUCAUCUUUAGCUACCAUUCCAGAGUUGUAGUAUUGUUUAAACAGCGUGGAAGGUUUUUUCUUUCAGUUUAUUAUUUCAUUUGCUCCCCGAUUUCUGGUGGAACUGUACAUGUGAACAAACAGGAAGAGUAUCCACUUUUGGAUGAAUUUAGAGGUGUUCAUUUCUGCUAUAAUAUGUACCCUCCGAAGAAUUCUACGAAAAAGGGAGGUGGGGGGGGGGGGUUCCUACUUAAUCAAGUUACCUCAAACGCCCCCACCAAGCCCCGAGGUUCUAUCUGUAUUUUUAUGUCAAUCAUGUUUGAAUGAAGAGAUCUCUUCAAAGGCUAUCGAUUAUACAAAUGCAAAUGUUUCAGAAUUUUGCAGUUUCUUAGUUGAUGAUGUCAAUGAGGAAUACAUUCAACUUUUAUACUGCAAAUGUCUCAGAAUUAGUCACUAAUAGUUAAGUUGUAGCACUGUCUGUUUCCCCUGUUUAGGGAUUCCAACAAUUUUCGGGUUCUUGAAUUUAACAUAUGCUCAACCAUUCGGAAUAUAGAUUAUAAUUACUUAUUUGAAUUAUUUACAAGAGCUUUUCAGUUGGAUUGAAUAUCAUCCCUUUGAAUCUUAGCUGAAAAUAACUCCCAAAUUCAUCCUCUAAAACGCUUGACAAUCCCACUUACAAAUCAAUUGAAAACAUUAUUUCUUCUAACUUGAAUCACUCAUAUUCUGUGCAUAACUGGUAUGAUACACCUACUGAUUUCCAAGCUCAUUCUCUCUCUCUCUCUCUCUCUCUCUCUCUCUCUCUCUCAAAAUGCAUCUACAGGAGGCACUUAGGACCUGAAACAAUUCGCAAAAAUAGUAAAUAUCUCAUGAGUGGAUAUAAUCAUACAAAUUUGGAUCAAUGGAAAAGUACACAGGGAACGGCCAAAGGGUUGGUGGGACAGAGACGAAAUGCUAACCUUCUUGAGGAGUUUGUUUUUCUUGUCUUGUCAUCCACCUUAGCUGAUACUGAAUCAGUCUCUCUUAUUGCAGCUUCUCUCUUUGUUUUCUUAGACUCAAUUUGUAUUGCUUUUGACAGGGUUUCUAUCUUCUUCAUGAGCAUCUGUAAAUAACUCAAAUAUACUAGUUAAACAAUGGAAGAAGCACACUGCAGGUGCCUUGGGGUUGGGCGGAGUUGCCAAUAGGUACUUUACCUUGAUUUCUUCAUCCUUAGCAUUCAAAGAGCUAUCUUUAAACUCACAAUACUUCCUCAAAUUCAUAACCUCUUUCUGAAGCUUAUCAUACAGAAAUCCUGAUACCACAUCAUCACUAUUGCUGUUAGCACUAUCCGCAUUCUUCGUCUCUCCAUUGCUGCCAACUAUACUUUUUGCGUUCACCAUGUCUCCAAUUUCAUUGCUGUUAUACUUCUCAAGAUUCACAGUAGUAAUUUUAUUCAUAUCUGCGUUCUCCUUUUCGCUGUCUAUGAAUUUAUUCCUAGAAGCCCACAUACUCUUUUUCAGCAAAGUCUCUCCCGUAGGAUCUCUCCUUUUUGUACCAUCACCUGGCUUCAUUUCUCCUUUAGCAGUCAAAGUUUGUUUCUCGUCUCCUGGCAUUGAUGAGCUUUUGUUGAUAGUGGAACCCCUUGGUUGUGAUGUAGAUCUCUUUCUCAUUCGGGUAUUACUCGCUAGGAUCCCAAAAAAGUGCUUGGUCUUUUCAGUUUUCGGGCAUCCACCGUUUGCAUUAGGAUUGACUGAGAAACAUGACAUAUGCUUUAAGCCUUCUUCCAGUGUCUUCAGCCUCAAAUUCAACUUAUCCUGGAGAAAAUGAUUUUAACAUCUUCAAUUUACUUAAUCAAGAAGCAAGAAGCACAACAUGUCUUAUAGUAUAGUAGAGAAUACAAGUUUUAACCUUGAGUUGUGCUUCAGCCUUUGCCGUUCUCUCUGAAAUCGCCAGCUUGUCUCUUAACCGUUGCAUUUCUGCCUACAAUGUAUAAAUCCAAUAAUUAAUAAAAAACUGAAAACUCAUUUUAGAUUUUUCGUUUGAAUUGUAAAGUUUUUGAUGUGCAGAUAAGGAAAAGUGAUCGAGCAUCUGAGAUUGGGACACCGGUCGAUACCUGCAACAGCCUUCUCUCUUCCAGCCAUUGCUUGACCGGCAUUACUUUGUCAUUCUCGUCUUUCCACUCGUUAGCCACAACAGUUGCUACUCGGUUUGCUGAAACCUUUAUUCUUGCUAGUUCUCUUUCCAGUGUCCUCUUUUCCUCCUAUGAAGUUUCAUAGAAAUAAGAUCAGUUGAUAUAAAAUACAUGUCUAAUUGUGACUACCUUGUGUUUGGUAAAUUAUUAACUGUAAGAGACACAAACAUUCAGAAAACGUUAAACAAGUUCUACAUUUAACUCCGAAAUCUGUCGUUUGUAAUCACAAAUAGUGUUGGCUGCUGCUCCACCAGCAAGAAUGGCCUCCUCAAGCUCCUGAAUAGUUUGGCUGAGCUUUUCAACCUCUAAAACUUUUUGCCUAUUUGUCUUAUCAAGUAUUUUGUUCUCCUCCUGUGCAUGAAAUUCCGUUAGUUAUCUCCAAAAACAUUUCAUUGAUUAACCUCGUAAAAAUUCAGUCUGAAAAUUUACCUGGCAGAUUUCAAUUUGUCUUCUAAGCUCGAAGUUUUGAUUUUGAACCUCCUCCACUACAAGUGCCCUUUCUAGAGCACUUUUCAGUAUCCUUUCUGCUUCAAGCAGAGCCGCUUCUUUCGACUUGGUGAGACGAUCCAAAGCCCUCUUAUUUUCCUGCAGUGCUGCAACCUAAAAAGCUCCAAGGCAAUGAUAUCAGAUAAAAAGCAAGUCAGUUUUGCUCGUGUGUGUUUUUCAGCACAAGCGUAUGAUUCUAAAUUUCUAAUUCCCACUUUCUCUUCCACUUUCUCUUCCAUUUUAGGAAAUUUUUACAUCAAUUUAGUCGAAGGAGCAUCAGAAGAGUUUUCCUUCUAGAUCAAUGCUUAUCGUAUAAUUCAUUGAAUAGAAACUAUCUUUAAUCAUCCAUGUAUGCACCUCGUUCUUAUACUUCUUGAGUUCUGCCUCAAGAGGAGCAAUAACUGACUCAAUAGGAAUAGAAUCAUCGUCCUUUUGAUUCGCAUACACCCUCCUAAGAGUUGCUUCAGCUGCAUAUUGUGCACUCAAUGCCCCCCUCUUCUCAUAUGUGAGUUUCGUAGUUUCAAGAUUCUGCAUCAAUCCGACUCAAAAUAAGUACCUUCUCAGACAAUUCAGAUAAAGAUAUAUAAAUAUUGUUUCAUAGAAGAGAGACUAUAUCACACACCUUCUGUUCAAGAAGGUUUUCAGCGACUCUGAGCUUCUCUUCAAAUCUUUUUAAUUCACUUCCAAUCUAGAAAAACAAAUAGCAUAUAUAGAAAACAUAUCAUGGCAACUAUAUUCGAUAUUUUUGUGCGUCAAAGCUGAAUUCAUUUUGUAUUAUUUUUUGUUUUAAUAAUAAGAUGAGGAAAAUAUUUUUCGAAUACCUCGUCUAAAGCCUUGUCCUUUAAGACUUCUGUUGCUCUCAGUGCUUUGAUUUCAUUUUGGGCCUCUCCCAACUCCUGAUCCUUCUCUGAAAUUGUGAGACAAAUUUAUCGUUCUUAUCAUCGUGAUUGCAGAUUGUAAUCGUAAAACAAGCUUGUCGCCAUCCAAGUAGGAAUUUAGCGGAGGAGAAUAUAACCAAUAACCAGUAAGAUGUUCAAUAUUAUCAGUGAACCUACAAUCCAGGACACCUUUCCUUGCCAGGAGAAAAUAUGCAGAAGAUGGCAAAUGUAUGUACAUUGAUGAAUAGAGAACCUGUUGCGAAAUUUUAGUGUACAAAACCAGCUAAGAAAGGUCUAAACUACCCCAAUGCAUCAACACCACUAGCAGGGUGUUCUUACUAGAAAUUCUGGACAUAUACAGAGCUAUGAAACUAUGUUUUAGGUGUCAGAUUAAUGACUAUAUUGCUCAAUAUAAUAAGUUAAUUUGCUUUCUCAAAAUUUAACAUAAUAUAUCUACAAACAAAGUGCGAAAUUCAUUUUUUUCUCUAAUAUAUGUUCCAAGUACUUGAUUCAAAUUUUGAGGAAUUUGGAAAGUCCCCUUCGAUAAACAGAAUUCCCUUACCUUCUGUCUUAAUCCUAAGCUGAUGAUACUGCCGAAGAACGUAAAGUUGAACCGGUAUUCAUAAAUAAGAAGAGGCAUUAACCGCGAGUUACAGGUGACAACUCGAGCCUUAUCAAAUACAUGGUAAAUUUUUGUGUGACAUCCUCUUAUUUAGUCAUCUAUUUAAAUUCCCACAGUAAUUAGCAUAUUCACUGAAUAAAACAGCAAAAUAAUUGCACUUUUAUAGUGGAAUUUACUAAAACAAUUCCCGUUAUGGUAUCAUAGUGUGCAAAAGUCUUGAGUCCAUGUAUCACUGCCACCCAUUUAUAAGAAAUCGUGCAUGUCCACACACGAGGCAGCAUGUUGAAGCCAAUUUAAAUAAAUAAAAUUAUUUCGUCUUUAACAGCUUAUGCUAUUAGUUCACCAGUUAUGAUCAGUUACCUUUGAGUUGGUUUUGCAAUCUGGUGAGCUCUAAAACGACAGGGUCGGGACGAGAAAGAGGGACUUCUCCUCCACCAAUUUCCUCCAAGCCAUGCAUUUUCUGGGCUCUGUUUAUGGCAAAGUAAUUCAUUUACUUUGGUUUUUUCUUGCCACUUUUGAUAGUGAAAGGGCUAUGUAGAGCAUGAACAACCACAUAUAUGUUUGUUGUUCUCACUCAAACCUUUAAUUCCUAUAUGAAUAUUUAUUCCAUGAUACCUAUUUAGCUCAUGUGUACAGUUUUUAAAAGAUCAUGACCUUCAACAUGCCAUACGACGGAAGAACAACACAAUGGUGCCUAAAUUCAUAAGCUUAGUUACAUAAAAAGGAAGACACAACAAAUAUUAGCCCAAAGGCUAGGAAACAUUUCUACCUGAGUAUGGUUUAAUCAGUAUCCUAUCACUGUUUAAUCGACAUAUGUAUUCGCUAUUUAAUUGAGACUUAAACAUGUAUAAAUAAUACGUAUAUCAGUAAAAAAUGUGAUAGAAAAUGCUGAAUGCUAUAUGCCGAGAGUAUUAAAAAAUUUCUCGAUAAACAAAAAGAAAAGGAAAAGGUGGCAGAAACGGGAACGGGGAAACCCAACCUUGCUAGGAUUUAUUGGGCCCAUGAAGCUGCCAACACAAACCAGAAGGCAACAAAAUGUCGAGUUACAGCAAGAACGUAAAGUCUAAUACAGCUAAAGUAAAGGUCAGCCCAAAGAACAUCAUAAAACCGGCCCAAUUGAGAUGAGCGGCCCACUUCAAUCUAUUGUUCAGUAGCAAUUUGGCAUCUAAGUUUUAAAAUUAAACAAAUUGAUCUCCAACAUUUACUAUAAUUGCAAAACCAUCAAUAAUGGAAACUCUACAAAUCUGUAUUAAUUCAGCACGUGACUUUCUCGCAUCUAGAUUUUGCAUUUUACUUAGACUUGUGCCCAAAAAUUUAAAUGUCUCAUGUUUCAUUAAGGCAUGUCAUAAUUUAAUAAAAAUUUGGCGAAAUUUUGUUACUUGUAUAAUAUUGUUCAUCACCUUGUUGACUAAUGUUAAGCCGAUGGCAAAUAAAUCAAGUUCAAUGUAAGAUGUAAAUAAAUUGAAAUAAAAUUCAAAUUCAAUCUAGGAAGUGAAUGAAAUUCAAAUUUAAUUCGAAAAUAAUUUAUAGCGAUCCUAAAAAUUUUACACCAUACUUCAUGUAAAUUUGCUAAUAAAAUGGUGUAAAUUAUAUUGAAAAAUUUGUUUUGCAAAAAUAAUAAAAAUUAAUGAAAUAAUUAAAAAAAUUAAAAGAAAGACAAGUUAGACGUCUUUUUUAGAGAUAUAAGUUUGAUGCACGUUUAACUCUUUUCGAUAUCCGUUUGAACCAUUCGAUAUAACUAGCAUGCAGUUCCCGAAACGAGCUUCUAAAUGACGUAGGUGAUUUGUGUAUUCGACUAGAGUACNNNNNNNNNNNNNNNNNNNNNNNNNNNNNNNNNNNNNNNNNNNNNNNNNNNNNNNNNNNNNNNNNNNNNNNNNNNNNNNNNNNNNNNNNNNNNNNNNNNNNNNNNNNNNNNNNNNNNNNNNNNNNNNNNNNNNNNNNNNNNNNNNNNNNNNNNNNNNNNNNNNNNNNNNNNNNNNNNNNNNNNNNNNNNNNNNNNNNNNNNNNNNNNNNNNNNNNNNNNNNNNNNNNNNNNNNNNNNNNNNNNNNNNNNNNNNNNNNNNNNNNNNNNNNNNNNNNNNNNNNNNNNNNNNNNNNNNNNNNNNNNNNNNNNNNNNNNNNNNNNNNNNNNNNNNNNNNNNNNNNNNNNNNNNNNNNNNNNNNNNNNNNNNNNNNNNNNNNNNNNNNNNNNNNNNNNNNNNNNNNNNNNNNNNNNNNNNNNNNNNNNNNNNNNNNNNNNNNNNNNNNNNNNNNNNNNNNNNNNNNNNNNNNNNNNNNNNNNNNNNNNNNNNNNNNNNNNNNNNNNNNNNNNNNNNNNNNNNNNNNNNNNNNNNNNNNNNNNNNNNNNNNNNNNNNNNNNNNNNNNNNNNNNNNNNNNNNNNNNNNNNNNNNNNNNNNNNNNNNNNNNNNNNNNNNNNNNNNNNNNNNNNNNNNNNNNNNNNNNNNNNNNNNNNNNNNNNNNNNNNNNNNNNNNNNNNUUAAAUUAUGAGUUUAAUACAAAUUUUUAUAGUUAAAAUAGAAGGAAAAAUAGAAUUUGAGGAUGAAUUGGUUAAGAAAAGUGAAAAAAAUGGAACGGAGUUCAUCAAAAAUGGAGUUUUCAGGCAAUUCAGGCGACAACGACGUCAGCAUCUGAAUCGAGAUGACCCAAACGGCUGGGUCGUCCUGAUCCAGACGACCCAGACCGCCCAGACAUCUGGGCCGUCUGGAUCGAGACUGCCCAAACGACCCAGACUGCCUAGACGGUCUAGGCCGUCUGGAUCCAGAUCGCCCAGCCAUCUGAAUUCGGACGGCCCAGUCGUCUGGAUUAGCCCGUGCUAGCCUCUUUUUUUUUUUUUAAAUAUUGAAUUUAAUGGUUUAUAAAUAAAAUGAAUUAUGUAAAUUGUUUAUUUAAUAAGUAAAAUAAUUAAUUGUUUUUUUAUUUAAAAUAUAAAUAAUUUAAAUAAUGAAAUAAAUAUAAUAAAAAAUUGAAUAUUCAAUAAACAAUUAAAAUAAAUAGGAAAUUAAAAUAAAUAAUUAAAUGACGUAAAUAAAUAUGAAAUAAACAAUUAAAUAGAGUAAUUAAAUAUUAAACAAACAAUAUAUAUAACCAAUUAAAAUAAUUAAUGAAAUAUUUAAAUAAAAAUUUAAAUUAAAUAUUAAAUAAAUAAUUUAAUCAAUCAAUAUUUAAUUUAAUUGUUUAUUUAAAUUUUUAAGUAAUUUCUCUAAUUGUUUAUGUAUAUUAUUUGUUUAAUAUAUAAUUAUUUAUUUUUUACUUUAUUUUCUUAUUUAAAUAUUUCAUGAAUUAUGUUAAUUAUUUAUGUAUAUUUUUUAUUUAAGUAAAUAAUAAAUAACUAAUUGAAAUAAUAAACUAAUUGAAAUGAUAAAUAACUAAUUGAAAUAAAUUCAAUAAAGAAGUAAAUUAAAUGUUAAUUAAGCAAUAAAAAUAAUUACUUAACAUAAAUAACAAAUAAAUACAAAUAAUAAAAAAUAGUUUAAAUAAGUAAUUAAAUAUUAAAUAAAAAAUAGAAAUAAAUAAUUAACAUUUAAAUAUUAAAUAAAUAAUUUAAAUGAUAAAUAACUAAUUGAAAUAAAUUCAAUAAAGAAGUAAAUUAAAUAUUAAUUAAGCAAUAAAAAUAAUUACUUAACAUAAAUAACAAAUAAAUAUAAAAAAUAAAAAAUAAUUUAAAUAAGUAAUUAAAUAUUAAAUAAAAAAUUGAAAUAUAUAAUUAGCAUUUAAAUGUCAAAUAAAUAAUUUAAAUGAACAAUAAGUAUAAAAAAUAAAACAUAAGUAAUUUAAAUAAGUAAUUAAACAAUUUUAAUAAACAAUUGAAAUAAAUAAUUAACAUUUAAGUAAUAAAUAAUUAAUUUAAAUGAACCAUAAAUAUAAAUAAUAAAAAUAAGAGAUUAAAUAUUAAAUAAACAAUUGAAAUAAAUAUUUUACAUUUAAAACAAACAAUUAAACAUUCAAUUAACAAUUAAAAUAAAUAUUAAAUAAACAACUAAACAAUUAAAAUAAAUAAUUUAAAUACGCAUUUAAAUAAUGAAUAAAUAAUUUAAAUCAACAAUUUAAAUAAAUAAUUAACAAUUAAAUAUUAGAUAAACAAUUUAAAUGAAAAAAUAAGUAAUUAAAUAUUAAAUAAACAAUUGAAAUAAAUAAUUAACAUUUAAAAAGAACAAUUAAACAUUCAAUUCAAAAUUAAAAUAAAUAUUAAAUAAACAACUAAACAAUUAAAAUAAAUCAUUUAAAUACACAUUUAAAUAUUGAAUAAAUAAUUUAAAUGAACAAUUUAAAUAAAUAAUUAACAAUUAAAUACUCAAUAAACAAUUUAAAUAAGGAAAUAAAUAAUUUAAAUAAUUAAUUAACAAUUAAAUAUUCAAUAAACAAUUUAAAUAAGUAAAUAAACAAUUUAAUUUUCAAAUAUUAUGCUUUAUCCAUUGUUUUUCACACAAGCUCCAAACAUUUUAAAUUUUAUAGGAUGAAUUACAAUUUGGACGCCACCAUGAGACAGAUUCCCGACAAAGUUAUGUCAAACUGUAACUUUAUCAGUGUCGCAUUAGCCCUAAAUUUGUUGGAUGACAAGCACGCAGACCUGUUACGCCGAUCCUGCUUAUGACAGUAAUAAUUGGUAGAGGUGCCGGUGUUGGGGACGAAAUAAUUGUAAUAAUUGUAUAUAUAUUUUUUGUUUAUGAAAUAAUUGUAUAUCUAUAAUAUAUUAAGUAUCACAUUGAAGGAGAAUCAUUUUUUGGACGAUUCUAGCCUUAUUACAACUUAAUUAUUUCAAUAAUAUAUUCUUUUCGCUUUUCAAUGUGUACUUAAUUGAAUGUUAAUUAUUAUACAUGCGCGUAAAUAAAUAAUUGUCAAAUACAUUUAUGAACAUGGAAUUUAAUUAAUUUGAAUUAAUGAAUAUAGAAAAAGAAUAAUUUAUAUACAUUUAGAUAAAGAGUGUGUACUGAACUAACGUGAAAUUUAAAAAAGAAUAAUUUAUAUACAUUUAGACAAAAGACGCAUACAUGAACCAACACGAAAUUUAAUUAAUUUGAAUUAAUAGAUAUAGAAAAUAAUAAUUUAUAUACAUUUAGACAAAGGGUGUUAUAUCAUAAAUUAAAUGAAUAAUAUCAAAAAUUAAUAAGUGUGCAUGAACUUGAAUAAUUUAUCUACUCCAAUAGUAAUUGAUGAAUAAUUUAUUUACUCCUAAAAUAAUUGAACGGCCCACAAAACAUAUCAGGUGUACAUGAACUUGAAAUGAAAUAUCUAAAUAAGAAAUUAAAUUAAAUAUUAAUUUUUUGUUUAAUUAAGUGAUUAAAUAAAUAAUUAAACAACGUAAUUAAAUAUUAAAUAAAUAAUAUAAAUAACUAUGCCAGAGAGGACCCUCAAGUUGACAGACAAUGUCACGAGUUUGGAUAACACCCUGUACGAAACAUAUUAUUGACAAGAGAACUAGAUUGCUGUCACAACACAUUGUUUCUCCGUACGCGAUCGAGGCAUAGAGGAUAACAUAUGUUGACGGUACAUUGCCCAACCUCUUCUGUGAAAUCAACCCAGGUGAUUGUGAAGUCUUUGCAUUGAAGUUAGGCUGUAAAUGGAUCGGAUAUAUGGAUUGGAUUGCUCAAAUCCGAUCUGAUCUGUUAAUAAUAAUUAUCCUAUCCUAUCCGAUCCAAUAAUCCGAUGGAUAUUUGAAUGUUAAAUCCUUAUCCAAUUAACUAUGUUAUCGGAUAUCCGAUUCGAAAUUGAAAAAAUUAGAAAAAUAAAAUAUUUAUUUAUUUAUCAGAUCGGAAUGACCUAUAUCCAUAUUUGAUUGAUUUAGUUAACGGAUUAUCGGAUUUGAAUCUCGAUUGGGUUAUCGGAUUAAGACCUUAAAUCCAUCUUCCAUUAAUUUCAUCGGAUUCAGAUCAAAAUUCAAUCUAUCGAUUCAUUUAGUUAACGAAUUAUCGAAUUCGAAUCUCGAUUGGGUUAUCGAAUUGAGACCCUAAAUUCAUCUUCCAUUAAUUUCAUCGGAUUCGGAUCAAAAUUCAAUCAAUUGACAACCCUAAUUGAAGCACAUUGAAUUUUUAGCAUCGACUAUGGCAUAGAACUGAUAAACUAAACACACAUUAAAAUGCAAGCGUUCUUUUAUGUACAUUGUGAUCCGUAAUUGUAAUAAUUUCAAAUGUAAAUAUUUUUUUAAAACGUUUGUAAUAUUUUAGUUUUUAUGUAAUUGUAUAAUGAAUAACUAAUUACUCUUAAUUACAUAUAUAACACACUAUAAAUAAAGAAAAUUGAGGAAAUCAGUAACACACUAUAAAUAGAGAGUUUAUAGGAUUUAAAUAGAUAUUACACAUCUAUUUGGUAGAAAGUAACAUACUAUAAUCGGGAACUUCUCACUCGACUUCAUUUAGUAGAAGAAAUAUAAUUUCAGCAUUCUUGAAUAAUGUUCGAUGUAUUGAAAAUGUGACCGUGCCUAAAGUUCGACUCUCAUCUCUGUUAGAUAUUCUCAUACACCAUGUGAUUUAUAUUCUAAUUAAAUAUUAAAUAAAUAAUAUACAUAACCAAUCAAGAUAAUUAAUUAAUGAGAUAUUUAAAGAAUAAAUUAAAUUAAAUAUUAAUUUUCUAUUCGAAUAAGUGAUUAAAUAAAGUAAUGAAAUAUUAAAUAAACAAUAUACAUAACAAAUUAAGAUAAUUAAUUAAUGAACUAUCUAAAGAAGAAAUUAAAUUAAAUAUUAAUUUUUUUAUUUGAGUAAGUGUUUAAAAUAAAUAAAUAAAAGUAAUUAAAUAUACAUAACCAAUUAAAGUAAUUAAUAAAAAAAUAUUUAAACAAGAAAUCAAAUUAAAUAUUAGAUAAUUCUACAUGUACUAAUUCAUAAGGAUGUUCAUAAUGUACAAGUGAAAUUUCAUGAGUGGAGGAUCGAAAAAACUAUUUUUCAAAUCUCCAAUAAUGUUAUGCUACCUGUACAUUAUGAUAUAAUGUUUUUAUUUAAAUAAGUAACUAAAAUAAAGUAAUUAAAUAUUAAUUACUAAUAAUAGACAUAACCAAUUAAGAUAAUUAAUUACUGAAAUAUCUAAAUAAGAAAUUAAAUUAAAUAUUUUUUUAUUUAAUUAAGUGAUUAAAUAAAUAACUAAACAAAGCAAUUAAAUAUUAAAUAAAGAAUAUACAUAAUUAAUUAAGACAAAUAAUUAAUGAAAUAUUUAAAUACGAAUUAAAAUAAAUAGUAAUUCUUUUAUAUAAAUAAGUGAUUAAAUAAAUGAUUAAAUAAAGUAAUUAAUUUUUAAAUGCAUAAUAUACAUAACCAAUUAAGAUAAUUAAUUAAUGAAAUAUUUAAAUAAGAAAUUAAAUUAAAUAUUAUUUUUUAUUUAAUUAAGUGAUUAAAUAAAUAAUUAAAAAAUAAAUAAAUAAUAUACAUAGCUAAUUAAGACAAUUAAUUAAAAAAUAUUUAAUUAAGAAAUUUAAAUAAAUAUUAAUUUUUAUUUAAAUAAAUGAUUAAAUAAAUAAUUAAAUAUUAAAUGAACAAUAUAGAUAACCAAUUAAGGUUAUUAAUAAAGAAAUAUUUAAACGAUAAACCAAAUUAAAUAUUAAUUUUUUAUUUGAGUAAAUGUUUUAAUAAAUAAUUAAAUGAGGACCAAUUUAAGAUAAUUAAUUAAUGAAAUAUUUAAAAGAGAAACCAAAUUAAAUAUAAGUUUUUUUAUUUGAGUAAGUGUUUAAAAUAUAUAAUUAAAUAAUUAAUUAAAUAAACAUAUAUCAAUUAAGAUAAUUAGUUAAUGAAAUAUUAAAAUGAGAAAUCAAAUUAAACAUUAAAUUUUUUAUUUAAACAAGUGACUAAAUAAAUAAUUAAAUAGAUUAAUUAAAUAUUAAAUAAAUAAUAUACACAACCGAUUAAGAUAAUUAAUUAAUGAAAUAUUUAAACAAGAAAGUAAAUUAAAUAUUAAUUUUUUUUAUUUGUGUAAGUGUUUGGAAUAAAUAAUUAAAUAUAAAGUGAAAAGUGUUUGAUUUUUUAAUUUGUAAUUUAAGGGUAUUUUUGCCUUUUUAAACAAAAUUCUAUCUUUGUAAUUGUAUAAACUACCUAAGAAUAUUUUUGUCUUUUACUCAACAAAUGGCAAUUUUGAAGAUUGGCAAAAUUUUUUGAUCAAAUUGAGGUCAUUCUUAGGUCAGUUUCAAACCACUGUACAGUUUUAUUCAGGACAAAGGGGCAUACGGUGCAUACCCAGUGUAAUGUUCUUGUCAUAAAUAUAUCAACCUGGCCUUGAACCAAUUUGUUCCCUGAAUUAUUCUUUUUGUAGCAGGUUUGGUUUAAAUUAUUAAAAAAAUAAAAAAGGUUGAACCCCAACCUUGAGAGCCCUCACUGUCCCAUCUCUAGAGCUUUGUGAGGGAGUUAAAUCGCGGGAUGUGCUCCAACAGGCCAGGGAACAAGAGCUACCUAUACACUGCGCUUACAAGGAGUCCAAUUCCAUGUUUCAGGAAUCGAGCCCUCACACUGCGACUGCCAGUAAGGCGUAAGAUAACCUCACUCCCAUCCUUUACACCACUAGACUAUGCCCCGAGGGGCUAGUUUGGUUUAAAUUAUUAUUUCAACACCACGUUACCUCUAUUUGGUUUAGUUAAAUAUCGGGUUUAUAAUAGGUUUUGAUAAAAAUUAAUUAAACAAACGAAAAAUUGAUAAAGAUUACAUUCUCGCUAUAAAUAUGUAGUUGAAACUAAUUUUGAGGAAAAAUGAGCCCGAUUUAAGUUCAAUCACGUAACCUUCUUUUUUAAUUCGUGGAACGUGUAUUAAAAGAUAUGAAUCCUUUGCAUGAAACUUGUAUUUUUCUUUACAUUAGAAUGAUAUGCCGACCUUUUUAGUGGGUUGAUUUCAAAAAAGGGCUAAGCCCCGUUAUACAGUAAAAUCAAUCGCUUAUUUUGAUCAAGCCAAGCAAAAUUUUUAUAUUGGAGUUAAGAAUUGUGCUCAGACAAACACUAAAUAUAAAAAAAAUUUAGUACCUACGACCUUGUUGAUUAAUAAUCUCAAACUGGACUCUUUUCCAAAUUUUUGAAAUUAGUAAGUACUGUCAAUGAAAAAGCAGUGGUAGUUGAAUAUUGCCCGUUUUGACACCAUCAUUUGAGAACUCUUUUUUUUUUUCGUAUUCAUUUUCAUUCAUACAUUUACACGAUAAACUAUGUUGCACAUAAACCCAAAAUUUUUCUUAUUUUUUAACUAUUCAUUAUCCUAGAAAUCACUAUUUAAAACAUUGUUUUUUUUCCAAAGAAUGAUUGUCAAAAAGGCGCUUAAUGAAUUAAAAGUGUAUGCUUAAUAUACAGUACUUACCAAAAUCUUGUUCAUGUUUACGUGCUGUUCAAUAAACAUGCUAUAACGACUAAUAAGAGCGCAUGAUUUAACGUCACCAAAGAGAGAGAGGCGGAAAUCUAAUUACAAAGAAAACAUAAGAUUUGUUCGAUUCACCAAAUACACAAACAGGCGCGUACAAUACACAUGUAAUCUGUGGUAAUUACACAGCUAUAUUUGUUGCAGUUGGGCUCCAAUCCUGAUUUCAGCUUUCAUUUUCUUAUAAAUUCUUCAAACUUCUUGAUCAGUUCUUCCUUGCUUACCUUCACAUCAUCACUUAUUCCUUCUUCUUCAGCAUCUAUAAUUUGUUGUGAUUCUCCUAUCACCAAAAAAAAAAAAAAAUUCAGCAUCUAUAAUUUGUUGUGAUUCUCCUAUAACAAAAAAAAAAAAAAAACUAUUAUAUUUCUUACUUGAAUAGAAUCAUACAAUGGAGUUUUACAAACUCUCAAAACUCUCUCUAAUCUCUCCCUUUUUUCUCAUCUCCACACUCUAUUUUUCUUCUUCUCAUGGAACUUGUUUCUCUUUGAGGCAACAUCUAUUUAUAGAAAAUUUCAGCUGCAAGAACCGCCUCAAUUUGUGGCCAAAAUUCUACCAAUUAAAUGAUAAAAUGGAAGUCAACAAAAGUGGUUGCCUUCAUGUAUGUGGAGGCUGGUUUUAAAAAAUUUAUUACAUGCAUGGAAGCCUUCUUCAUUAAGAAACCAGAUUUGUGGGUGUCAACCAAUCACAAAGGCGGUGAAGGGAGUUUAAUCCAAUUUCUCCAAUUUGCAUGUAGGUUGCUUCUUGUUUCAUGCAAUACCAUACAUGGUGGUUUCUUCUUCAUUAACUAGGCACUUGUGGUUGAAUUUCAAUAUCUUCAGCUUGAAGAAACUGAAAAAAUGCGCCUGGAUUUAUCAAUUCUCCCCCUCUAGUUGCAUCCAAAUCAAUUAUUAUUUGACAACCGUAGUUAUCAAACCCGGCCCGGACCGGACUGAUUGGUCGAAUUGAAAAACCAGUAACUUGGGCUCUUGACAGGGCUGGGUAGAAUAUUUUUAUAAAUAUGCAAUUGACUCGGUAAAAAUCAAGUUGACUCGCCGAGUUGAUCGAGUUAACUGACGAUUUUUAUAUUAACUCCGCCGGUUGACUGGUUUGAUCAAGAUUUAAAAGUUUUCCAUAAAUUUUUUGUUCUCAAAAGGACUUGAACCUUAGACCUCUAGGUUAAAUGAAUACCAGAUAACCACUAGAGAUCAAGUGUUUAUUGAUAUGUAUAUGCAAUAAUUAUAUAUAUAUAAAUCAUUUAUAGUUUGUUAAAAAUAUUUUUAAAAAAUUAUAGUAACUAUUUUGAUUAACAUGAAUAGAAUAUUAACAAAAUAAUAUAUAAAUAAUUAAUAAUAGAUAAAUUUUUUUCUUUUUGUUUUAUCUAAAAGAAAAACUUUAUACUUUAAAAAAUAUUUUAUAAUUAUUAAGCAUUGACCCAUCGAUUUAACCACUAACUCACCGGUUCGACCAGCAACCUGAGACCCGAUGCUUUGACUGAGUUAAUGAUCGGGUCAGGUUUAAUAACUAUGAUCCUAGCCAUGUCUCUGCACAACUCUAGCUUCUCUAUUGGAACUACCUUUGUUAACAUAUUCGUUGAAUUCUCAUUUGUGUGAAUCUUAACUAGUCUUAGCAGUUGUUGUUCCAUCACCUCUCUUAUGCAAUGAUAGCGGAUGUCAAUGUGCUUUGUCCGAGAAUGAUACAUUGAAUUCUUACUUAAGUCAAGAGCACUCUUGCUAUCACAAUGUACUUCGUAAUCUUUCUGCUUGAUUCCUAAUUCUUGGAGAAAUCACUUUAACCACAACAUUUCUUUACCAACUUCCGUCACCGUAAUAUAUUCUGGUUCUGUUUUAGAAAAAGCAACACACUUUUGUAGUCUUCACUGCCAUGAAACAACCCCCUGCAAAAGUGUAGAGAAAUCCUGGAGUAAAUUUUAUAUUAUUAAGAUCUCUAGCCAUAUCUGAAUCCGUAUAACCUUUCGAGAUUGAAUCAGCUCCCCCAUAGUAUAGACGUAUCUUUGAUGUACCUUUAAGGUACUUGAGAAUCCACUUGACUGCCUCCCAAUGUUCUUUUCCAGGACUAGAGAGAAAACGACUGACCAUGCUCACUUCGUGAGCAAUAUCCGGCCUGGUACAUAUCAUUGCAUACAUUAGAUUUCCAACAUCUGAAGAGUAAGGUACCAAUGACAUCUCCUCUAUCUCUUUCUUAGAUGAGGGGUAUGAGUUCUUGCUCAACUUGAAAUGGUUGGCUAGCGAAAUGCUGACAGGUUUGGCUUUAUGCAUGUUGAAUCUCUUGAUCACUCGUUCAACAUACUUCUUCUGAGAUAACCAUAACCUUUUAUUCUUCCUAUCUCGAGUUAUAUGCAUUCCCAAAAUCUGUUGAGUUGUUCUUAAGUCCUUCAUGUCAAAGGACUUGGAGAGUUCCUGAUUCAGCUAGUUGAUUUUUAUUGCAUCUUGUCCAACGAUCAAAAUAUCGUCUACAUACAAUAAAAGAGCAACGAAGUUGUCAUCUGGAAAUCUCUGGAUAUAAACACAUUGAUCUGCAGUAGUUCUUUUGUAGCCUUGGGUCUGCAUAAACGAGACAAACUUUUUGUACCACUGUAUUAAUGUUUGUUUAAGGCCAUACAAACCUUUUUCAAUUUGCAAACGAAGUUCUCUUUGCCUAAAAUUUCAAAACCUUAUGACUGCUCCAUAUAAAUUUCUUCACAAUGAAGAAAUACUGUCUUAACAUCCAUUUGUUCAAACUCUAGAUUUAAAAUGACUACUAAUCCAAGAAUAACUCGAAUUGAGGUCAUCUUUACAACAGGUGAAAAAUUCUCGUCAAAGUCAAUUCCCUUCUUCUGAAGAAAUCCUUUGACUAGAAAAUGGGCUUUAUGUUUUACUACCUUUCCACUACCAUCUUUCUUGGGCUUGACAACCCAUUUAUUCCUCAAUGCCUUCUUUUCCUUUGGAAGCUCAACCAACUCAUAUGUCUGAUUCUUCUACAGCGACUCCAUCUCAUCCUACAUUGCUUGUAUCCACUUGUCUUUGUCCACGUAAGUUUGUGUUUCCUAAAAGCUCUCCUUCGUCAGUGAGCAAAAUGUACUCCGAUUUUGGAUAUCUUGUUGAUGGAAUCAGUCCUCGUUCAUAUCUUCUUACCUGUAGAUCGUUGGUUUCAGGAGUUGCACCAUCAUCUGGUUGAUGUGAUGGUCCAAUAACUUCCAGUAAAGAUGAUUAUGACUCCCCCCGAUCAAUAUCCUCUUCUUCAUCCUCCUGUUCUGCUUUUGGCAUUUCAUCAUUCAUAUCAUCAUUAUCUAUGCUGAAUUGUGCUGGUACUGGAUUUGGAGCAAUAUUUUGGGCACCAAAAUUAGAAUUAGGAGAUAUUGUGGGCUUUUCAAUGUCUUCUAAUGUCUGGUUUUCAUGGAACAUUACGUCCCUACUUCUGAUGACCUUCUUUGUCUUUGGGUCCCAUAAUCUGUAUCUGAAUUCCUCAUCUCCAUAGCCUAUAAAGAUGCAUGAAGUGGUUCUUGUAUUUAGCUUUUAUCUUAGCUCCUUGGAUACGUGUGCAAAGGAUAAAUAGUCGAAUACUCUCAAGUGAGAGUAUGAGGGAUAUUUAUCAAACCAUACUUUCUCAGAAAUUUAAAAAUUCAACGGUAUUGAUAGUGAUUUGUUGACCAGGUAGCAGGCGGUUCGAACAACUUCUUCCCAAAAUGGGUUUGGCAACUAAGCCAUAUUUAUUAUGCUUCUGACCUUUUUCAUGAUCAUCCGAUUCAUCCUCUCGACAACUCCAUUAUGUUGUGGGGGGCGCAUGGGACUGUCUUCUCAUGUCGAAUGUCGUAUCUUCUACAAUAUGCAUCGAACUCUUUGGAAGUGUACUCAUCUCCAUUAUCUGUACGGAGACACUUUAGCUUCUUCCCUAUUUCACGCUCUACCAUGGCAUGAAACAAUUUGAAGUAACCUAAUACUUGGUCCUUCAUCUUCAAGAAAUAUACCCACACCUUUUAAGAAGUAUCAUCAAUGAAUGUCAAAAAAUACUUGUUACCACCUAGUGAUUCAACCUCUAAGGGACCACAAACAUCAUCGUGUACCAGAUUGAACAACUAUGAUCGUCUUGUCAAAGAGAAAUUGAAGGAGACUCUAUGUUGCUUACCAAAUAGACAGUGACCACAAGGAUCUAGCGUAGCUUCCUCGGCAACCGUGAUUAGCUCUUUCUUUGUCAAAGUAGACAACCCCUUCUCAUUCAUGUGACCAAGUCUCUGGUGCCACAAGUUUUGAGAAGUUUCACGUUCUAUUACGUUGAGGCUAUCCAUAUGCAUUUUAACAUGAGUAUUGUAUAUAGUAUCACAUAUAUAUCCUUGAGCGACAACCAUGGAACCUUUCAUCAUUUUCCAUGUGUCAUUGCUAAAGUGAUUGACAUAGCCCCGUUUGUCAAGAACUAUCCGUGAAAGUAGAUUUAGUCGAAGAUCAGGUACAUAUCUAACAUUCGUCAGGAUUAUUUUGCACCCAAGAAUAGUUUGUAUCUGAACAUCACCAAUUUCCACGAUCUCAGAGGAAUUGGUAUUUUCCAUCUUUACUGUACCAAAGUUUCCAGAUUUAUAUGUUGUGAAGAAAUCUCUGAGCGGAGUGGCAUGAUAAAAUACUACAGUGUCUAUUAUCCACUCAAUAUCUUGGUUUGAGAUGUGAAGACAUGUAUCCUCAUGGAUGGAAAGGAUGGCCACCUCUUCAAAGAUAGUGACUACUGUUUCUUAUUCCUUAUUUUUCGAUUGUAAAUUGUUCUAACCUUGCUCUCAUAGCAAUUUUCGACAAUUCUUCUUCAAAUGGUCGUCCAUUCCACAGUAAUGAAACCUGUAAGGCCGUCCACUCCAUAGAAAUGACACUUGUAAGUAGGCUUCCUUCCAUAUGUCAAUCUAUCCUACUUUUGCUUCUACCUCUCCCCCUACCUCAAAUGCCUCAUUGCUGUCUUUCCUAAUUUUCUAUAACAAGGGCCUGCGACUGGUCUGUGUCGAUGUCCUUUCUCUUGGUCUUUUCAUUAAAUAGGGCAUCAUUAACCAUAGACAUGAUAAGUUAGCCAUUAGGGGUUGAGUUGUUGAGAGAUAUUACUAAUGUCUCCUAACCAUCGGGAAGAGAACUUAAACGUAGUAAAGCUUGUAUUUUAUCCCCAAGCGGCAUAUCCACAUAUGACAAUCACCAAGCUCUGAAAUUCAUUGGUGUGCUCGGCAACUAAAGUUCUACUCUUUAACUUCAGAUUCACCAAACAUCUCAUCAACAGGGUUUUAUUCCGAGCAAUCUUGGCCUGGUACAUGUCAUCCAGAAUCUUCCAGUGGACAUGCAUCUGUCUCUUGUGCCACAUGGUGAAAGACACUAUAGUUAAUCCAUUGUCGAAUUUGACGGAUAGUUUUCCUAUAUAGCUUCUUCCACUCUGUUUUCUUGGUAGGAUCGAGGUUUAUACCUUUGGCUUCCAGAGGGUCAUACAAAUCCUUACAACUGAGGAGGUCUUCCAUCUGAUGCCUCCACAUUGUGUAAUUGGUGGCAGUGAGCUUGAUCAUAGCUCCCGAUGAAGAUUUCUCUAUUAACAUGUUGGCUUGCAGAUGCUAUAUCAAAAUCAAAGCUGUAUAAAAAAAUUACAAGGGCCAAUUGAUAAACAUUGCUCUGAUGCCACUUGUUCCGAUUCUUUGAUCACCAAAAAUAGAAGAUAAAAGAAGAAAAACUAUUAUAUUUCUUACUUGAAUAGAAUUAAACUCUCUCUAAUCUUUCCCUCUUUUUUCCUCUUCUCCAAACUCUAUUUUUCUUCCUCUCAUGAGACUUGUUUCUCUUUGAGGCAACCUCUAUUUAUAGAAAAUUUCAGCUGCAAGAACUACCUCAAUUUGUGGCCAAAAUUCUGCCAAUUAAAUGAUAAAAUGGAAGUCAACAAAAGUGGCUGCCUUCAUACAUGUGGAGGUUGGUUUUUAAAUUUUUUAUUACAUGCAUGGAAGCCUUCUUCAUUAAGAAAACCAAAUUUGUGGCUGUCAACCAAUCACAAAGGCAGCUAAAGGGAGUUUUAAUCUAAUUUUUCCACUUUGCAUGUAGAUUGCUACUUGUGUCAUACAAUACCAUACAUGGUGGUUAAGUAGGCAAUUGUGGUUGAAUUUCAAUAUCCUCAGCUUGAAGAAACUGAAAAAAUGUGGCUGGACUUAUCAUAAUUAAUCCACUUUCUUCUUCGUCGUCCUCAUCUUCUUCCCCACUCUCUACGUCAGAACCCUACUCUCUCUUUCUUCUACUUCUUCUUGUUUUUUCCUUGUGGCCUUCUCUUCCUGUGAAAUCGCAAGAUUUUCUUUAGUGGCAUAAAUUAGGCCUGAUGCUUCUUUAUCUUCAGGAGGCAUGGCCUCUUUUAACUCAGAAAUUGGGUUCAUGUUUUCGCUAUUUGAGGAAGAGCCGAAACUCAGGCUCUUGGCAAAAAAUCCAAGAAUACCAUUACAAAGAAGGAACUCGUAUUUCUAUUUAGAGCAUGGGAGAAUAUUAAUGGUGAAAAUUGAACAUUAUAGGAGAAGCCGAAAUCGAAACCUGAUAUGUAAGAAAAUACUAAAGAUAGAUAUUGGGACUAGAAUUAGUAAUAAUUCUAUGAUAAACUCAUAAUACUUACGAGUUUCUGGAGCUGUUUCAAUCAUAUAUUCAUCAUUUUGAUCCAUCUUCUUGUUGGGCCUGAAAGGAUUGUAGUGAAUGAGAUUAAUGACACGAUAUGAAGUAAUAAAGAUCGCAAUAAAAAACAAUAUUUAAAAGUAAAGAAAUUAACAAAGAGAGUUAAUCGUGGAAGCACAACAUUUUAUUAAUCGACAAUAUGGAGAGAAAUACAAGAAUUCAGCAUUUUUACCUAAACAAAACUGAAAAAGAAUACCACUAUUUAUAGGUACAUGACAUAGCAUAAAGAUGAAAAUAAUGUGGAAUAAGGAAAUAAUAUAUUUUCAUAAAAAUCAUGUGAAAUAUAAAGAAACGAAUUUUUCUACAUGAAAAUAAGGAAACAAUUUAUUUCCAAAAAAAUCAUUCUAAUUUGGGUCACAAAUCCAACAAUCUCCACCUUGGCCCAAAUUUUGGUGCAACGAACGAAACUCUAAGAUUUCAAAUCGGUCUGCAUCGAAAUAGCCAAUCUCUUCAACACAGUAACCAAAGCUUUCCAACCAAACCGUCGUCUUCUACAAGGCGUCCACAAGCAACACCUAAACCCAAAUCCUAGAUUCUCAAAAUUCCACGAAGAAAUUACUAUUUACCAAACAAGAUCGAAACACACCCUGUAGCAAAAACCAUACCACAUGUUGCAUCAGAAGGCCCAUUGCUAGAACUGUCGCCUUCAAUGUCCCUAAAAGCAUUCCAAACAUUAUUAACACUAGGGUACCUAUGCUCUAUGACUCCAACCCUAGCAAAUGAACACAGUGUAUCCACUGAAAUUGGUGGCUAAAUGAAAUCACCAAUGCUCUCUUGAGAAAUGUUCUGAAUUGACUCAGAGCCCGUCACAAGAGGUACUGUACCAAAUUGAAUAUCUACCACGGUACCGAACUUGUCCCGAUGUCUCUUAAUUGAUUCUGUGCUUCAUUGCAAGUUGUACAACUGAGACCUUCAUGUCCCUCAAGUACAACCCGAACACCCAUUUGGACCUUCAAAACUCCACCUCCACCAGAGAAUUUAUACCCUUUUGCAUCCAGGGUACUCAGCGAGAUAAGAUUCCUUUUUAGGUUUGGAACAUGUCGAACCUGAUAAAUUGUUCUGAUCAUCUCAUCCUGCAACCUUAGUCUAACUCGAUCGAUUCCAGUAAUACGACAAGAUUGGUUGUUUCCCAUCACAACUCUACCUUGCUUGAUAGCCUCAUAUGUUCGAAAAAUUUUUUGAUUGGAACACAUACGAUGAUAACAUGCCGAAUCGAGAAUCUACUCCUCGUCCGGCCUAGAUUCCAUGUCAGAUACCACGGUCAACUUCACAUCUCCACCGUCUGAAAAAUCCUCAACUGCAUUUAUUUCUUUUGAAGUCAAAAGUUUUGCUCCACAAUUUGCAGCUAAAUCGCCUUUAGUCUGCAACUUAUCACAUUUCUUCCGAAUAUGUCCUUUACAUCUACAGUAAAAGCAAAAUAAAUUACUGUUGUUCUUCGAUCUACCCCUCCAUCGAUCACCAUGAGAUAUAAGAAAUUCCUCAUCCCUCGAUAUAUCUCUAACUAUAUGCUUCAACUUCUCCUUUGAGUGCAAAGCAUCAUAGACAUCAUCUAUAGUUAAAAUAUCCCGACUAUACAAAAUGGUGUUCCGAAAUGAUAUAUAAGAGCCGAACAACAAACACAAUAGGAUCAAGACAAGAUCUUCUUUAUCAUACUUAACCUCCAACAUUUCUAAAUCUGCGACAAUUUCUUUGAACACGAUAAUAUGGUCUUCCAAAGACCCUCCUUUCGCCAUACGAUGGGAAUACAGUUUCUGCUUUAGAGUCAGUUUAUUGGUAAGACUCUUGAUUAUACAUAACCGCUCUACUUUCAACCAUAAAGCAGUAACUGUUUUCUUCUUCAAGACAUCCUGGAGAAUAUUAUUAGGUAGAUGAAGAUGAAUCAGCGACAAAGCCUUCCGAUCCCUCUGUUGUUUCUUCUCCGUUGUCCAAUUAACUAGCAUCUUCUCAAAGCUUAGUGGCGUAUCUUCCAAAUCCAAUUGCGCUAGAAUAGCCCUCAUCUUUACUUGCCACAAUGAAAACCUUGUAUUAUGAUCCAGCAGCGGAAUGUCAUACUUCAUGGUAAUCAUCUCUGAAAAAACAUCAGCCAAUCUUCAAAAGAAGAACUAAGCUCUGAUACCACUUGUUGGACCCGAAAAGAUUGUAGUGAAUGAGAUUAAUGACACAAUAUGAAGUAAUGAAAAUCGUAACAAGAAACAAGAUUUACAAGUACAAAAAUUAAAAAAGAGAAUUAAUCGCACAAGCAUGACAUUUUAUUAAUCGACAAUAUGGAGAGAAAUACAAGAAUUCAACAAUUCUUAUCUAAACAAAACUGAAAGAGAAAACCACUAUUUAUAAGUACAUGUCAUAGCAUAAAAAUGAAAAUAGUGUGGAAUAAGAAAAUAAUAUAUUUUCAUAAAAAUCACAUGAAAUAUAAGGAAAUAAAAUUUUCCACAUAAAAAUAAGAAAACAAUUUAUUUCAAAAAAAAUUCACUUAUUCAGUUUAUAAGUGUGAGAGAAAAUCUCACCUCUUAAGCUAGCUUUUGGUAUUGAGAAGGCCGAAUACCAUCCAACACUGGUAUCAGAACCCAAUUUAUCAACAAGUCUCCCACCCAACAGUCACCGAAAUACGGGUUUGUGUGAGUAUGAGAAGGGUUUGGUCUCCCGCAAGCCCAGUUGUAUGAGGGGGAGACGAGUUUGAUCUCCUGCAGAGCAGAUAUGUGGGCAGGGGCGAAGCCAGAGAUUUCGUCCAGUGUGGGCACAAUUUUAAGUGUCGGCUACGGUGAUUUUUUCGUCGAAAUUAGUCUAUGAACAAAAAGAGCUUCACGUGAUCAAUGCAAAGUACAUUUUUUUAACAAUAUAUAAGAUGUUGGGUUUCAUUGUACAAACAAUAAAGUGAUGGACCAAUAAAUCUGUAAUAGGGCCUAUUGUUUUUCUUUCAAAAAAGCCUAACUAAAGAGAAUGCCCAAAAUCUAAAAGUUAAAAAAUUGGCCCAAGUAAAUUUUUAUUCCACCUUCCCUUCUUCUUCCCUGUGGGCAGCUGUAACUUUCUUCGCUUCUUCUUCCCUGUUGGCAGCUGUAACUUUCUUCCUCCUUCCCUUCUUCCCUGUCAGAGCUAGUGCCUACAGACAGCAGACACACUUUCUUCUUCUUCCUUCCCUUUUCUUAUUCUUCUUCUUCUUGGUCCAGUGCAGGCACACUGGAUUUUCCUAUGUCAAAUCCAAAGUCCAGUGCGGGCAUCAGCCUGCACUGGACUCCAUGUAGCUCCGCCUCUGUGUGUGGAGGGAAGACGUGUUUGGUCUCCUACAAAGUCCGAUAUGUGAGGGGGAGAUUGUUGAGGUUGUCCUACAUUGGGCUUGGUAUUCGGUUUAUAAGUGUGAGGAAAAAUUUCACCUCUUGAGCUAAUUUUUUGGAUUGAGAAGGCCCAAUACUACUCAACACUUCUCCUCUGUAAAGUAUAAACCUAGCUAAGAGAGAGUACAGGAAGAACUAGUGGCGGCAAAUGGCUUGGAAUUUGCUGGAAUAUGCACGGGCUGGACCAUAGAACGCGUCUAUAUAUUGAGUUCAAUAUUAAAAAAUUUUGAUCGAUUGACAGGAUUUUACUUUUAAUCUCAAAAUCAACUUUCUACUUUUCAGAAGUGAAGGUAUCAAACUACCUUAACUAUUAUAUUGAAUGCCCUUAAGUAUAGGGAAGGGGCUCUGAAUGAGUCUGUGUAGAAGUCAAUUUCUAUGACAAAGGUUGUAAUUGGUAAAUGAGAAUAGAAAUUUCUAGCAUUCACUGUAAAGCAGCUUUUUCUAUCAUCUUUUCCCCCCUUUUUCAACACAUAGCAGAACAUAAUUGACUUGGACAAGCACAAAAUUUGAGCAUUUUAUAUUCAUAUUUUCAACCUUUUUUAACUUAAAACCUUAGAGUUAUAAUUAACUGACCUGAAACAGAAACAGGAAAGUCACGAGAUCGAGGUUGUAUGUACUAAAAAAUAAAAAUAGACUCAUAAAAAGACAUUGCCGUCACUGAGCCAUUUUGUGGUGAACGAAGGAUUCGUGGAGUAAAGUGUAUGGUUCUUGACUUAUGUUCACAAGUUCUAGAAGUUCCCGAUUAAUUAAUAAUAACAUAAAAUAGGAUCUAAUAUUUACAGUUUCUUCAAUCGAAUCGAUUAGAAUCUAAUUAAAUUUUGAUAAGAAAUGUAAGUGAGCAUUUGAAUUUAAUUUUUUUUGGUUACACUAAAAUACUUCAACUUUCAUCUAAAAUUUAGUAUAAUGUGUUUGCCGAGACUCGAGAGAUAUAUAUUAAGAGAAAUGUAACUGAAAUUACAUUUAUUUUUAACAUUAAGUAUCUAAAUGAAUAAAGGAAUAAAGGAAAAUUCAAUCUAACCCCUCGGCCAAACUGAUAAAUGCGGGCGUAAUUAAUAUUCAUAGGUUUCUACAUUUUCUAAAUGGAAGUUUUUUAAAUUUAUUUUUGAAUAUAAUUUGUUUCCACAUAAUAUUAGAAAUAACGCUACCUAUUGAUGAAAUCCAGGUUGAUUGGGCCAAAUACAUAUUUCCUGAAGGAAGAAUUUUGUUAUAUCAAUUAAUGUUACAUAAGACUAUUAACAAGCCUCAUAAGAAUUGAGCGAUCCCAACUCUAAAGUAAUGAAUUUUGUCAGCGUUAAAGGUGAUGUGGUAUCUUUCGACUCUACUUGAAAAAAUUAUGAAAAGCUAAGGAAGUGAUAAGGUUGGAAUCUAGAUUGCGCCCGAACUCGAAAGGUAGUAUGCAAGCUUGAAGUGUAUAAUUAAUAAGAGGGAAUCUGAUUGUUACUCCCCCUAAAAAUAAGUUCGGGCCAUGUCACCCCUAGGAGAGGUCGACUUGAGCUCGAACCCUGUUUCACCUAGCUAGGUUCCUUGCGUAGAACAGGGAAUUUUAUUUUUUUUGAAAACUUCCUUUCUUAAAUUUCAGAAUUUUAUUAUUUUUAUUUUUUUUUUAUUUUUUGUAUGAUGAUUUUGCAUAUAAAAAGGCAGUGUCACUACAAUUUUUCGAAAACUUCUGUAAUCGUCACUCUUCUGAUCGUUUGAUUGAAUUUAUUUCUAGCUUCACGAUUUGUUCAUAGUUGGUAUUAUUAUACUAGUUUGAUAAAGAGUUUCUACUGUAUAAUCUCUCUCUAUAUGUUUUCUAUUGCAUUGUUAUACCUCGUAAUUUACGUAAUGCUAGUUCAUCGUUAUAUGCUUUGAACAAAAAUAAUUUAUUCAGUUUUUUGCCAAACUUUUAAAGAUCUAAUAAAAAUGUCAGUCAUAUUAUGAUGUACGACAAGAUGAAAGAAAAAUUAAAGCUAUUUUUCAUGAAUUAGGAGGGUGAUAUUUCUUUAGUCUUUGAUGUUUUAUAUCAUGUUGGCAGUAAUGGAUGCAUAUAUUUGAUAGCAUUAUACUCUCGUUUGGCCCCCAUUAAAUUAAAUUAAAAAAUAUUAUUUGUACACUGGGAUUGACUAGGGCCCGACAAAACUCUCGAACAGAAUGGAACUCGACGGUUCUUCUCAAGUUAAAUACCCGAACGGGUAUUUGAAUCAAGAACCAAUGGGUAUGGUUUGGUUCUUGAAUCUCGACUAAGACCCGAAGAACCGAAUCUCCGUAAUUUUUUUAAUUAAUUUGUUUUAAAUAAGCAAAAUUAUUUUAUUUUUUCUAAAUAAAUUUGUUAACUAGUUAAUUUAAUUCAAACCACAAAAUAUAAUUUUCCUAUUUCUAAUUUUCAAUUCAAAAUCAAUUUAAUCAAAUUGACCUCAAUUUUAUCCAAAUCUGUUAUUCUACUGUAAUGUCGUUUAUAUUGAAGAAAAUCGAAUUAAAGUUCUACAACAUCUCUCUUAAUUAUUUUGAACUCGCUAACUUUCUCUUUCUGUGAUUUUAAUAAUCAAAUUUAUGAAGAAUUCAGCAAAAAGAGACGUAAAACACAUAAAAUUGAACUACGUUAUUUUGUAAGAGCUAAUAUUGAACAUAUCAUUAAUUAAAUUAACGUAAUUUUGUAUAUAUUAAAAAAUUUAAUUAUAAUACGGAAUCGAAUGAAAUCGAACUCAAACGGUUCCGUAAUUAAAUUUGGACCCAGUGGUUCCACUUACUAAAUACCCGAAAAUUUCGGGUCAAUUUGGUUCUCGUUAGAACCGGACCAUAUCCAGCCAUUGGAUUGACAUUCCGGUGUACACUCCCCUCACAUAAGAGAAUGAGCCCCACGACAAUAAAAAAAUUGUGGAACCCCCAUGUGAGGAGAGUGUACACCGAAGUGUUAACACUGAUGUACGUGUAGCAAAACUCAAUUAAAUUUCAUUUUUUCUUUCCUAUUUUCAAUCAUACAAUCUUUCAUAAAAUACUAUAACACGUAAAUCGAAAACUUUCUUUUUCUCAACCACUAAUUUUUCAAAAAAUUACUAUUCCACACAUUUUUAUUUUAAAAAAUGGGGACCAAACAUAUGCAUAAUCUUGAUGAUGAUAAUUUGACUCUUAUAAAAAAGUUAUUGCUAUUAAACCCAUUGUAUCGGAUGAAUCUAAUCAUCAAGUUAUUUUUAUUCAUGAUGAAUGGAUUAUAUUCUUUUUAUUUUAUAAUAUGUUGAACAUAUUUUCGUCUUCUAUGCUAUAUGAUUCCCUUGUUCAUAAUUUAAACUUGGUUAUACCCUCGUUAUUAAAUUUUUCUUUUAGUCUUCUUACAGUACAAGGGCUAGGAAUCUCUGUUAUCAAAGAAUAUAUCGCGAUGAAAAAUACACUUUGAAAAAUAUUUUUCGCCGUGUACCAACUUUUUUAUUAGCUACAAUAUUCGAUCCUGGUCUUAAAUUAUGUGGUGCCGAACGUUAUUUUUUGUUAUAUUCAAAAUAAUAUAAAUUUUAUAUUUAAAAUAAAUGUAUCAUCGUACGAAAAAUAACUAUAUUAUUGAGUAAUUCGUACUUCGGGUCAAUCUAUGUACAUUUAAUUUCUUGAGUUCGAAGUCCAUUUAACAGUACCACAUAUGUCAAAUGCACAAUUUAUAAUUCUUAUAAGAGAGGAUAUAAAUUUUCAAUUAUGACCUUUUUAUGUUGACAUGGAUAAGUUGAAAGUGAAAGACAAGUAAAUUUAAGGAUAAGGAUGUUUUUGCUGCUUGGUGCUUGUUUGAAUCUUAUUAUAUUUUUUUAAAAUUUGAAGUCGAAGUCAUUAAUUUCAUUUAUUUAUUAUACAUAUACUCAUUACAACUAAUAAAGAAAAUAAUAAUUGAUUUUAUUUUAAUUGCCAAAUUCCCACCAAUUUACUUUACCAAAAAUGCUAUAUUGUAUUUCUUUUAUAAUAAAUUUCAUUAUUCUCUAAUCUAAUUUUCCUUUGAUGGUGUUGAGCUAGCCACUUGGUUUUGGUCAUCAAAUUUAGGGAUAGUAACAAGGUGGGGACUAUUUCCCCCGUCCUCAUCCUCGUCCUACCCUAAUUAUUAAAUGGUGUGGGAAUAUUUUGCCUUAUAUGGGACCGGGCACUGUGAACGAGGUCGAUAAUUUUAUCACAUCUAAUUCAGAUUACUAAAUUACUAUUUUCUAUUUUACUUUAAUAAAAUUUAUCCAGAUUUCUUUUGCAUUUUCAAAAUCAUGUUAUUUAAGAACCUUUUUCUUUCUCUAUUUGAUUCAUGAAUCUUUUUGAGUAGGAAAACGCGCGGAAAUAUAUGAAUCAUUCCGCCUGGACCCUCUACCUUAGGUUGUUGGGACCUUUGGUGAAUUUUGGAAGCUGGGCCUGAAAUCGUAGUAUGCAAUGACGGGCCUAGAAUUGGAGUUCAGUUACGAGGGAUAUUGAUCAUUGACUAUUGACCAACGAUAGUCAAUGUCCAUAAUAGCGAGGUCGUGAAAUCGACUAGAAACAAUGGCGGGAUUAGAUACACUACUAGAACUACAGGAAUUAGGUAGGGACUUUCGUUUUGGUUAAAAGAAUUGUCCCAUAAUCUGCAAAUGCCAUGAUUUAUAGUUCAAUUAAAAUUUGUUCAAAAACAAAUAAUACAUUACACCUUGAAAAACAAAGCCCCAAUAAUCAUUUUUCAACUAAAAUUAAUUAAAUAGACAUCAAUAUAUUAACAAAAUCAAAUAAAUUUGGUUCCAAUUUAUCAAUUAAAAAUUUUCAAGUUACUUAUAAUAUGCAAAAUUCUCCAACAAUCAUUUAGGUAGGAACUACGUUGGAAUUUUUUCUUGAAUUAUUUAUCACAAAUUACAUUUAUAACUCAUAAAACAUAAAUUAUAACUCAUAAACAACAAAUUAAAAAAUGAAUUAAAAGAACAAAAAAAAAAAAGGUGAGAAAGGCCAGAGGCUCAAAGACACUGAGAUCGGAGAGGCUGAUGUCGACGGCGACUCGUUAAAAGCAGCAGCAGGUCGCAAAUGAUGAGUUUGGAAUUGCAAGGCAGCAAGAGGGGGGAAGGGUUUAUGGUGGAAUUGGAAAAUGUAAUUGCUGAAUUGGUUAACAUGAAUAGUGGGGAGUGGAUUUGGUAGUUACUUUGUGGAAAUUCUACCACACACACCUAUCUUUUAAUAAAUAUUUAAAAUGUACUAUUCAAUAUAUUUUUUUUUUACCAUAAAUUCUGUUUUUUUAUAAGGUAAAAAUAGAAAUGUGAAAAAGAUAACCAAAAUCAAAUAGGCUAUUCAUUUACGUUGCUAUAGUUACUCCAUCAAACACGCCUUAACCUGACAAAAUUAACCCCAAAAUCCUUAAAACGGUGUUAUUUCCUAUUCUAAUCAAAAUCAUCAACCCAAAUUCUCUUGUCGAAAUCGCCCACCAAGACACUGAAUUGAUCAUUCACAGAGCUCCCGCAAAAGUUUAUUUCCAUGCCAGAUUCCAUCGUGUUUCUGUGCAAUUUCGCAAAAAUCAGAUAAUUCAUUAAGUAUAUAUUCAAGUAAAAGAGAUCAUACACACACAAAGAAAUGGAGAUGAAUUUUGCAAAAAUGUAUUCUCUUGUUUCAUUACCAAAUACAUUAUACAGAUAUAUUUCUAGCAAAUCAUCUUCUAUAGUGUAAUCAAAUCUCGAAAGAACAAUUUAACAUAUCUGGUGCGAAAUAGAAAUUGAAAACCAGCAACUACUCCUCCCAAAAAUGUAUCUUGAACUAUAUUUGUAGAAGAUGAAGUUUCAAAAUAUAAUCUGUGCCAAUGAACUAAUAAUUCGUGUCUGAUUUUGGAAGUCAUUAAAUGCAGAAUGUAAAUUUAGCUAAAUUCAAAUUGGAUCAGUUACAACAUGUGUUUUGGGUAAUAUUUUGGGAAGUUAGAAUAUUAAAAAAUAAUUAAUAUUAUAAUUACUAUUUUUUUAAAAACGUUCCCAUCAUAUAGUAAAUUGGGAAUUUGCUUUUUGCAUUGGGGCACACAUGAAUUUUUCCGAGUUACUUUGCGAUUGAACUACGGGUCCAUGGUACAUGAAAAUGAAUUUGGGCCUAAUUUUUUAAUAAACAGGAGGCUAAAAAAAGCCCCAAUUCAUAAACCUAUGUUAUCUUCCAAGUUUCAUUUCUGCCUUUGCAAUUCAAGUUUCCUCCUCCGGCUGGCAGGAUCUCGACGACAACUGUAAAUUCCGACCGCUCGUACUGGCUCCGCCACUGCUAUUAUGCAAAUCUAGGGAUGUAAACGAGCCGAGCCGAACCGGCUAGCGAGCCGAAAUUUUGGGCUCGGGCUCGGGCUCGACUCGAGUAAAUCGUAGCGGGCUUUUUUUGGGCCCGAGCCAAAGCUCGGCCAAAAAAAUAUGGCUCGGGCUUUUUACGAGCCGAGCCGGUUCGGGCCGGCUCGGUUUUUUAAUUUUUUUUUUGCAAUUUUUAAUGACUUUUUUUUACAUGCUAAUUGUUGUGGUGCAAUUUGUUUAGUAGAAAGCAAAGAAAUUGUUUAAUGACAUUUUUUUGAAAGAAUUUAAAAAUUGCAUCAUUUAUUAUUUAUACAAAUUACAAAUUAAAUAAAAGUACAACUUUCAAAAUUAUGUAAUUUAUACGAAUAACAAAAUAAAUAAAAGUUACAAAUUACAACCCUCCUCCUUUUUCCGGGCUUGGGACCGCAUAUGAAUAAAAUAUUUCGUGUACAAUUUUCUUGAAUCAAAUAAAUUUAAAAAAUAUAUUUCUUAAAGAAAAAUAAUUAAUUUAAAAACUUACAACAUCCUAUGUUUGGAUAUGCUGCAACUCUUCGACCAUUAUACUAUCAACAUGUUCUUGAACACGUAAUUCUGCACAUUCCCAAUCCUUCAAACAUAUCAAAGCCUCCAAUAUAUCUUCUUUUAGUCUUGAUCGUUCAUCUGAUAAAAUUCGACCACCUAAACUGAAUGCAGCCUCCGAUGCUACCGUAGACACCAGAGGUGUUAGUAGAUCAGGUGCAAUUUUUGAUACAAUUGGAUAUUGCCUUUCGUUACAUCUCCACCAAUUUAAAAGACUAAAUUCUUGUAAUUCGUGCGGUUGCAACACACUACGAACAUCCACGCACAUAUACCUAGCUAACUCAGAAGGAAUUUCAAGAUUUGUACCACCAAUAUUGAUCGUUCUAGAUGUUGAUGAGCUAGAACUAGAACUAAAUGAAGGAGCACUUGUAUUGCUAUCUAAAUAAUUCCAUAAAUUUUCGGGAUUUGUUGAAAUAUUUCUUGAAAAAGAACUCUGGGAAGUAGAACUACGCUGACCUUCCUUUUCAGCAUAAUAAUUAUAUAUUUCACAUAAAAAAGAUUCUAUAUGCACGCGUGAUAAUUCUAUAUUCAAAAAAUCUGAUAUCCCCUUUACAGUAGUUUUUGUGCCAGUUAAAUUAAGUCGAGGGUCCAUUACUAAAGCUAAAAGAAAUAAAGAAGGCAACUAUUCCCAAUAUUUACAAAAUUUUAACUCCAUAGAGCGGAUUACAUCAACAAAAAGUGGCAAAUUCUUAUAUUUAUGAAAUGCUUGUGAAAUGUAGAAAAAAUGUUGUAAAACAAGAGAAGAUGUAGGGUAAUAAACACCGCUACAUUCCUUUGUAGCAUCGAAAAAAGGUUGUAAGAAUUUUUUCACGUAAAAUACAAUAGUCCAUUCCCAAUCUUCCAAAUUAUGUUCGGGUCCGAGUGUAUGCCUACCAUUAUAAUAUAGUGAAAUCACUUUAUCGUAAUUUUCACACGAAUGCAACAUAAGAUAUGUAGAGUUCCACCUAUAUGUUACAUCGGUGGCAAAUAAUUUCUCCUGUAAUCCAUACUCCGCACACAAACUAUUAAAUGCUUGUUUUCUUGCUGGUGAUAAAGUAAUAAAAUCUAUUGCUUGUCUAAUUUUAUCUAAAGGUGAACUUAUAUGUUCUAAUCCAACUUUUACAAUCAAAUUAAUAAUAUGACAUACACAACGUUGAUGAAAAAAUAAAUUUCCAAAUACGGGGUUAAGAUCAGCAAUAAAUUUUUCAAUAACAACUUUGUUCACUGCAGCAUUAUCAAAAGUAAAAUUUCGAACCAUAUCUUGUAUACCAUAUUCCUGUAUGAUAUCUUUUAAAACCAUGUAUAUGUUAGUGGCAUUAUGGGGAAAUUCUACACAUCUGAAUGCAAUAAUUCUUUUAUGUAGAAGCCACAGGUGAUCAAUAUAAUGAGCCGAAGCAGCAAUAUAACAUUUUCUAUUACAACCAGUCCAUAAAUCAGAAGUAAACGAUAUAACACUAUUAAAACUUUUUAGACCUUCAAUAGUAAUUUGUUUUCUUCUGUUGUAUAAUUUUAUGCUAUCCGAACGAAGAGUAUUUCUAGAAUAAGAAGAAUACCUGGGUUGGAGAUAUUUCUGCACGAGUCGAGUAAAGUGUAUUAAGUCUAUCAUCGUAAGCGACAUCUCUGCUGCAGCCACGUAUGCAGCCAUUCCUUCACGAAAUCUUUCCUGUGAAUAUACAAAGGUGGAAAGAGUAGAAUUAGAACCGCCAAACACUAGUUCGGUCUGUUUCGAGUCGAGAUUGGCUGGUUUCGCUUUGCAACUCCUUAAUACGUGUCUAUUCAAAUGCGUUGUGCUCGAGCCAGGCUUCCAACUAAGUUCUUUGCCACAAUAAUUGCAACAUGCUUUCCAAAUAUCUACUCCAUUUUGAACAUCAAUUUUUUUUCGUGUCAUAUGUUGCCAAUAAUCCGAUGAUUCUUUUUUUGACCUUUUUGUCUCGAGUACUUGAACUUCUUCCUCUUUAAUAUCCUCCAAAUUAAUUGGAACAUUUUCACAUGCAUCGUAGUUAGAUGGAGUACUCGAGCUACCGCCAAACUAAUUAACUUCAUCACUUGUAAAAUCCAUAAUAACUAGUAUAAUAAAAAAUACUGAAUAUUAGACUGUAGAGUGAAAGAAAUUGAAUAUAUUAAUUGUUAUAUGAGAAGUGAGAAAGAAGAAAUUGAAAUUUGAAUGAUUGAAUCUGAAUCUGAAUCUAUAAUAUAAAAUUAAUGCGAAUUAAAAUCGAUAGCAAAGUGAUUUAAAACUUCAAAAAUCAUCCCGUAUUUAUAGAUAAAAAAAUUCGUGUUAUUUUUCAAAUUUGAAUUUUAAAAUCUAUAUGAUUACCAAUACGAAAAAAAAGGCAGCUAUAGCUGCCCUAGCCGGCAGCUGUAACCUGCUGCCAUGCAGCAGUUAAAAAAAAAUUUUUAAUUUUUUUUUGUUCUUUUAUUUUCUCGGGCCGAGCAUUAUUGUCACGGGCCAUUUUUGGCCUAUGACAAGAGCCGGCCCAACCACACGGGCUUGCUCGGGCUCAGGCCGACCUCUUAUUUUGAGGCUCGGCCCGAGCCUAGGCUCGAUCACUACGAGCCACAAGCCGGGUGGGCUCAGACUUUUCCCGAGUCGAGCCACGAGCCACCCGAGCCUUUUUGACACUCCUAUCAGCAAAUCAAUUAACUAAAAACUCAACAACUAAACGAAAAAAAAAAACGUAAUACUUAAAAUAUUUUAUUACAAUCAAUUAAUAAGAUUGAAAAAUGUUCUACAUGAUCAUUCAAGAAAUUUAAAAAAAUGUAAAGUAUGGCUAGGACGCAAAUAUUUACACGUUUAGAUUGUUAUUUGGAUAUGUUCUAAGUACUUGUAAGUUGUGAAUCAUAUGAAAUAUCUAGAUAUUGAGUGAAUAUUAAGUUGCACAUUAUACAAAAUCUUCAAAUAAAAAGUAUGUUUGACAAAUUUAACUUAAGCGCUUGUUUGAAAUUGCUUAAGAAGCUACUAUAAAGUUGAGGUCAAAGUUAAAAAAUUAAUUUUCAUCACAUAAUUUAUGAAAUUCACAAAUUUUUAAUCACACAUUCAUCAUAUUUUAUCAAAAUCUCGACAACCUUUAAAUUUUAAACUUCGCAUAAAACUUCUGUGCAGUGGGCAAAAUAACGUGCUAGAGCUAAUGCCUAAGAAUUAACAUGUGUUAGACAGGGUGAAUUAUAGGGCCUAGCGCCCCUGUUUUUGGCCCUAGAAUUCAUCCUAGCUGUCUAGCAGGGUGUAAUGCGUAAUUGGUGUAAACAUUAAAAUAUAUAUAGUUAUGAAAACUGUAACGCCCCAAAUUUUUUUUUAUAAAAUAGGUAUGGGCCGUUACCAAAAACUUACUUUUAUUUAUUUUAAUACCAAACAGUAAGAAUAAAAUUCUUAAAUAAACAAGAUACUAGAACACUCAUAAAUUAAAUUUAAAUCAUGGAAAUAUACGCAAUCAACAAACAAAUCAAAUAACAUAUUUUUAUACACAACCAACUAGUAAAUUUAAAGGCUGUUGAAGAGAGACACAAAAUAGCCUAACGAAAUUGUUUUUGAAUGAUUUCUUGAAAAACAAUUUCUUUACUUGGCAACCCGCGCAUCGCUCAGCCACCUCCACGUUGACCCUACUGAUCUGAAAUGUUGAAAUUAAAGGAGUAAGUAAUUACACUCAGUAGGAUACGUGCGUCCGAACAAUAUGAUAACUUUUAAAACAUGAAUUCAUAACAUUUCAUACCAUCAUUUCAUCAAGAGCAAUUGGUGAUCAGUCGAAAGCUCCAGUACAUUUGAGGAGACCCGAAAGAGAUCUCACAUUUCAUUUCAUUUCUUUGAGAUUCGCAGGUGAAACAUUUCAUUUCAUUUCAUUGGACCCGCAGGUCAAUAAGCAUUUCAUGAAAUAAAUCACACAUGAAAAUCAUAAUAUUGAAAGGACAUAUCACUUGCACAUAAAAGUAUCCUACCUCUUUUGACAAUAAAAUUGUUGGAAGUAGGAAAUUCACAUUCCCAAAAACCUUCGUCGUUGCCGAGUCUAUAUGCUGAGAAAAUUAUCGAAAAUAUAUUUUAUGAUAAAUCAUGAGUUGAUUGAUGAUUGCAAAGCAAAAGUCAAGAUUUUGGAUACCGUGAGGAUGUGAACGUGUAGCCGAUCAAAGUGAGUGAAAUCCAAUGCAAAAGUAAAUAUGCAUAAGAAAACAUUAUUUUAAAUUGAUGACGUCUCAUAAGUAUAAUUGAUGCUAAUCACUUAGCAAGGCCCCCGUUUUAUACUAUUAAAUCAUUUAAAAGGCAGUGGUCAAUCUAGGUAAGAAGUCUUCAUUUUCGACCUAAUGAUUAUAGAUAAUUAGGCACAAUUUAUGCUAAUUAAUUUUUAACAUCCAAAUUUACCUCACUUACUUGAUUAACACUUUAAAUUAGUAUUUACCAAUUACAAAAUUUUAAUGUUUUCCACAUGCUAUUUUUACAUUAAAUGAUACAAAAUACACGUAUUGAGAAGAGACAUAUAUUUUAAUAUGAUUUCUAAGUUGAAUCCUAAAACGAGACGAAUCGUGAGGUAAUAACAUAUAAAUAUAACUACUAUAAUAAAGUAAUAAACAUAUCGUAAUUAAAUUAAUAGGCACGUUGAUUGUUCGUCCAAGAUACGUUUAACUGUAAAAAUAUAAUUAUUCACUGUAAAAUAAUAAUAUCAAUAAAUAACAGAUGCAAUCUAACCAACAGAAUCUCGUCAAUUAAUUCCGUUAAUCAGUCCAAUUACAAAACUCCUUGUUUGGAUAUCAAUCAAGUUAAAUUAAUUAGAAUCUAUUUAAUAUAAGAAUAAUCAAGUUUGCAUCAAUUUACAUAAAAUGACAGGUUAUCAUACAAUAACAUAACAUCAUAUAAAAAUGAAAUAAAUAAUUAUAUAAUGUAUUAUAAGCUUAAUUGGACUAUAUACCCAAAAUAAUUUACUUUGAUGGGGAUGUAGAAUAUUUGUUAGAGGCCCAAAUCGUGUCUUACCAUUUGUCUAGCAAUUUGUGAGAAAUUUACUUAAUAUGAAAGAAGAUAUUUAAGGGCAUUGUUAAUUACAAACUACCCAGUAGUAAAUGUAAAAAUAUUACAAGUCACAUGCAUAUGCAAAUUAAAUUGAUAUUUCUAGGUAAUGAUCCCCAAAAUUUUCUAUAAUUAUUGAUUAACUGUAACAUUUAUUAUGGGAGGUUGAAUGAAAUUCUAGCACUAAGGCAAGUUUUGCUCCCUUAAAAUACAUGUGCAUGAACUAUCAAAUGAGGUGGAUGUCAAGAUAAUUAAAUCCCCCAAACCUUAUGCUUGAACUAAGACACGUAAUCCCCUCCCCAAAGCCAAGACAAUAAUGAUUAAUCAUAAAUAAAAUAAAAUUUUCGGAGCAUUACAAAAACCUAGGACAAAUACAAUUCUUUUUACCGUACCGUCAAUCAGAUAAAAGGAAGAAAGGAUGGAGUACAAAAAUGAAAAUUAAAAAAGGAUUAAUAUAUAUAUACUCACAAACUUUGACAAAAUGAGUUACACACACUCACAAAAAAUACGGAUCCAACAUGAAUUCAAAAAUACCGGCUGUGUGGUCCUCACCUCUAUUGUGAGUGUAAGUAAAACUUUUUGUACAAAAGUAUAAGUACAUGUAACAUGAUCCAUUAAAAAAUUCUUUAACUUUGUCUUAGUUCUAUGUUUUUCUCUGUCAAUCAUUUUGUUCCAAACUACCCAUAAAUGUAAGAGAGAUAUUAGGGUAGAGCGAUCGCAUAGUCUUACGUUCAACCUUCAGUUCAGGUAUUUCUCUCAAUAUAUUGGAAAAUCUUAGAAACUUUACUUAUUAAUUUGUGUGUUUUCACUUAUAAGUAAAAUGAAAAAUUCUGUUUUCAUGCUUAUCCAAACUUGUUUGGAACGAUGAAACUCAAAUAAUGGAAUUGUAACAUUUUAGAAACUCUUAUUUCCAAUCAUAGAUAUGCCCAACUUGUUUUUGGCAGUACUAAGAUAAAAUGUUACUUAUUUCAAUUUGUAACUUUUUUUAACCAAUAACACAUUAUAGACACUGUUUAGAUUAAACAUACUUAUUCACUUAUAUUAAACUUAUUUAUGCUUAAACUUUUUAAGCUUAGCCCAAACAUGGCGUACCUCAUUUGGGUACCAAGGAAAUGUGUUGCAAAAUUCUGCAACCCAAACAGUAUUUUCAUGGCAUUUGGCUCUGCCUAUGCUUGCCUUCUCUUUGCCAAAUAUUACUCACUUCUCACUUUAUUCAAGCCUUGACAGCCCAACAACAGCUACCACCUGAUAUCCUACUCAGGCUUGAGUCCGUGUCUUUCUCGGGAAAUAACUGAACCCGCGCCCUGGUUCUCUAUUUUUCUCAGGUCGAGUUUUAACACUUGUCUAUAUGUUUAGUUGCUAUCUGUCUUUAGGGCUUGUUUCGUUUGUGGUGUUAAUACAGCAUAAGUUGAGGUUCGUGAGAAGUUUUUCUUUGUGUGAUCAUUGUUCUUUUUUGGGUUGUGAAUGCUUGUUGAGCCAUUGAAUGUGGAUGGCUUUCAACUUAGUUAAAGCUUUCUAUGUGGGAUUCAUUUUAGGCUUUGAGUGCCUCGUGUUUCUUGGCUUUUUGAAUUUUUGGAACGUUCUUUAUCUGUGCCGUUGGGUAAAAAACCCCUUUUAUGUUUUUUGUUUUUUUUUUUCAUAAAUUUAGUUCAGAAAUCAAUUUUUUUGUUGUCUUUUCUAUUUUUAAUCUUUUGUUUAGCCUGUCAUUGUUCCGUUAUUAAUUUUUUGUCGAUUUUUCCUGAAGCUAGAAUCAUAUCAGAGUGCUGUAGAAUUUUGGGGUUCUCCAAAUUGGUGUACAAGUUAUUUGUAUUUGGGGAUGAUGACAUUCAUUAAGCAAUUUCAUGAAGGGGUCAUUGUAACAUUGCACUUUUGGUUUAUGACAUAUGAUCUUUUAUUUUUCAGUUUCAUCAGGAUGUCUGCAAAUAAUCAUGUGUUCGUGGAAUGGGAAGAGCGUAUUAUUUCUAAAGAAAGGGGCAACCGAGUUGUUCAUUACUAUUUGAAUGAGUCCAAUGGGAAUUCAGUCCUUGCCAUUGUGGGGACCGAAAAGAGUUUAAGGCACAUGAUCUAUGUUCUUUCGGAGGACUUUGUAAUCAAUUAUGGGUGUACGACAACAGUCCGUGCUGGCACAAAAUGGCGAGCAAGACGAGAUGUUGUGGAAUGGCUCAUGUCAAUAGUCUCAAGAGGCCAACCAAUCUCGACUACUCCAGGUAUGUAGGGUUUUAUUCCACAGACUUAUUAAUCUUUAACGACAUAUGCAUAUUGAAUUUAAAUUCUUUUAGUAAAUUCUACUCUCCUUUUUAAGCUUUUGAUAAGGAGUUGGUGACAUUUUCCGAACCACAAUCAGGUACGGGCACUUUGUUACCUUCGGUGAUAAAGCUGAUUGCAUACGAGAAAUCUGUUUUUGUUCCGAUUAAGCUUAUUGUACUUGUUCUACUAUUUACAUUCUUUGAACAGCUCACGCUCGGCACUUGUUAUAAGCCAUUAACUUAUAGCAGCCUUUUAAACUAGUGUGAUAAAUUGAUGUCUUUCAAGUAAAUGGUGAAGGUCUAUCAAUCCCUUCCUCUCGAAGUGAAGGUUGAUUUGUAAUUAUUGAUCUUAAAUGAAUUUGAGAAUAAGAAAAGAAAAGAAAAUGGAGCUUUCAUUAGAAUUACAGUAACGGUUUUAUUUUUUAUUUUCCAUUUGUGUUAGAGUCGUAAUGUGGUUGUUUGGAAAAUUGAUAGAUUUUAUUUUGUAACUCAUUUGGUCAGAAAGUAAAGAAAAGAUAUUUCCACUAGAUAUAAGUUCUAUUUAAGAGCCAACCCUUAAAUUCUUAUUAUGACACUUCACAUUUUUAUACCAGCCGAUAGUUCGCGACAAACUAACGGUUUUCAAUACGAACCUGCUUGACAUAGUUCAGCUACUCCUUGCCAAUUUCUUCAAGUUGAUUAUGUGAGUUAUAUUGUACCAUUCCAUGCUACUCUCUCAUGCUAAGGUCAUAAAUUAGUUUCACCAUUUUAAUGUCUCAGUUCAGGUUGAUGCUUGUCACCCUAUUUCCAGUGACCUCACUACUGAUUGCCAUCACGAUCAUGGAACUCUUCUUUUCUAGAUCAUUUAUUUAGUUAUUCUCUUACUUAAAAGGAAGUGCAUUAUAAUUUAUGAUAGCCCUUACGAUGCUUACCGAUAUCACUUAUUUGUUAGGAGGGCUAGUUUGCCAGGCUUUCUUGUGGACCUCAAUAAGUUUAGCACGCAGGCUUACACACGCACACACAAUCUCUCUGUGUGUGUCAAAAUUGAUGAUGUUAUGAGAACUUGAAAAUUGAGAAGAUUUUCUUUAUUACAUAUUUGCUUAUAACUUAUUAGUUCUCAGCACCUUGAAAUAAUGUAAUUUUAUGGGGGAAAAUUAUAACCUAACCUGAAUCAAGAUUUUCUUUACAAGUUAAAUUUUAUCUUUCUAUUCCUAAUCAAGCUUUGCUGAAUAAAUGUGUUCAAAAUUAGUAAGUCAUCAAACCUAUAAUCCAAGUGCCAAUUUCAUACUCAAAAUACCUUGGCAAAGUGUAACUUCCAUAGAGUCUCGGUCAAAAAUAUUGUCCCCUUUUUAUUCAAUUGACACGGAGCAAUUUCAUUAAUAACGUGACAGACUGCAGAUACCUUUAUCAAAAUCAGUGGGCCCCAGAUUUGAGCGUUAUAACUUGGAGCCACCACAAUCAUCUUUAGAGCCAGAAGUAAUCUCAUCUGUGGAUCUACUCUCUACCCGAUUUCGACCAGUUCUUGAAGUGCAUUCUGUAAUUUUAUUGAACUUUUUAUGCAAAAUCACAAAAGCCGCUAAUUAGUGAAAGGAAGCUAUAGUGAUUGAAUUACAUAGGUUUUGUAUUUUCCUUGCAACAGAUACCUUAAAUUUGCUUUAGAGAAAUUUUUGCAAACAGUUUUAUGCCAUUUUUCCCUUCCGUUCCCUGGAAGAUCCAAAAAUACUUCGCUCGAAACAAUCUCUGGAAUCCAGUGGAAUCGGGAUGUCUAGUUUCUUUAAUUGUUUGAGCCGCCAGGGGGAUGAAGUGGUGACUAGAUAUUUAAUUCUUGGUUCAUUUUUUAUGAUAUUUUUGUGCUUAACUGUGUAUUAACUUCAGAUUACUAAUAAAGGACCUUCAUUUCAGAUCCAAGUCUCUAGAAAAUUGAAUGUCAGAAAUCCAAAUAUCGAGUGGAAAGGUGAUGCUUGGAUCUGCAGUAAACAGCUUAAGCAUUAUCCAGGUUUUUGCAGAAAUGGAACUGAGAUAGCUGUAAGCCUUAAUUUAUUUAUUAGUAAACAAGUUAGUUUGGAAAAUGAUCAUGUUUUUAUUGAUCAAAAUUGAAAACGAAUAAUUAUCUAUUUGAAGGUAAGGGUUAUUUUCAGUUUUUCACAAAUUAAUCCUUUUCUUUUCACUCGUUACGAAAAAAUAAUAAGCCCCCAUUUGUUUCCCAUUCUUUUCUCAUUCAAAUGAAAAAUAUAAUCGUUAUCCAUCACAUCAAGCCAUCAAAUUUGAAUUUCUAUCUCUUGUGUGAGACUUAUAACUGCUAUAUUUUUCAUUCUUAUUUUUACAAAAAUGAGAAAGAAAUGCCCCCUAAGUUGCUUAAACAUGUUUGAGACAAAAAUUGGCUCUAGAACAACUCUACUAGUUUGUAAGCCUAACCAAACGAGUUCUUCAUAUGCUUUGUAACAGCUUUCAAAACUCUCAUCUUGAUCUUUAGGUUUUAUCCUUUGCACUGAUAAUGAGUGAAGAAGGAAGUCACUAUCUUGGUUAUCUGGAAGACUUAUAUGAGGAUAAGAAUGGCGAGAAAAUGGUUAAUGUGCAAUGGUUUCAAUUUAGGGAGGAAGUCAUCAGUAUGAUUCCUCAUGUAAAUGCACAUUCUAGAGAAGUUUUCAUCACACCUCAUAAGCAGGAGAUCAGUGUAGAUCGUGUUGACAGUCUAGCUGCAGUUUUGACUCCAAAUCAUUUCCAAAAAUGUUGGGCUCAUUUUGUGCAAGGCUUGCCGUUGGGAAUUUUUAUGUGCCAUAAAGAAUUCAAAAACGACAAGGUCAAGUCCUUCUCUGUAAGUAAAUUACAUGGUUACUAAUAUCAACCAAUCCUAUCUCAUCUGGAUUCCAGUUUCUCCCGGACAAGAAAUGAGGGACAUAAACUAAGUGAAGAGGCAGCAAAAUGUGGGCCACCUAUCUUGAGAUUGAAAAUCAAAAUGUCGAGUAAGGAACCUAUUGGUAUUUGAUCUUGUUGGGCUUGAAGCCCAACUUCAAGUGCCGUCUAAGGUGAAUGCAAAUAUAGAGCUUCUUUGUGAGGAUAGCGGCAUGCGAGGCUGCUGGUUUAGGUGUACGAUCUUGCAAUCACUAGAAAAGCGUAUGAGGGUUCAAUACUACGAUGUCCUUGAUGUUGAUGGACCUGCAAAACUGGAAGUAUGUGAAUCCUUCAUGUUAUUGCUUUUGUUUUCUGUACUUGGAGGAUGAAAAUUAUCCUUCAUUAUUAUUUUUAUAUCUCUCAUACAACUUAAGAAUCAAGACAUGGUUUGUAACCAAUGAUUACUGCAUGAUAAAAUAAGUUCAUUGCAGGGAAACCAUCGGGCAAACUUUUGUCGGGAAGACACAUUUAUUGACCUAGUUACAAAAUUAUUUGUUUAUCCAUUUGCACUUUGUAUACAGGAAUGGUAUCCGGCAUCUAGAGUUGCAGCUCCUGAUAGAUUGGGCAUGAGAUGUGAAGGCCGCCUUACUGUCCGUCCUUGGCCUUCUGAGGAGGAUUCUUCAGGCAGUCCUUUUGUGGUUGGGGCAGCUGUCGAUGCAUGGUGGAGUGAUGGUUGGUGGGAAGGUGUUGUGAUUGGAUGCGACACCAUUCAACCAGAUAAUCUUCAAGUUUACUUCCCUGGUAAGUAUCAUAGUUGGCAAAAUAUGGUUUUUCCUAUCAUCCUUGUAACUCUUAUAGGCUUGAUUUUAUAACAACCAGUAACUUUAUCUCCAACUGUGGUAAUAAUCAUAAUCCCAAACUUGCCAUUCUAUAAGUUUUAUACCGUCAUUUGAACCACAUAAUGCCCCUGUUUGAUCUUCAUUAAAUUACAUUCCAUUACAUUCUAUUUUUCUCUCUCCUAUUUUCAAUCACACAAUCUUCCAUAAAAUAAUAUUACACGUAAAUCGAAAAGUUUUUCUUCUUUUUCAACCACUCAUUUUUUCAACAAAACACUAUUUUCCCCAUUUUCAUUACCAAAAAUGGGGGCCAAACAGGGGCAAUAAUAGCUACUUGAUAAAUUAAAGGAUGGGAACAUUCUUCCUACGAGUUUAUCUUUCCACUGCACUCGUUUUGGGUGCUGAGCAUAAUAUUUAAAUGAAUAAAUUUGUCCCAUUUCUAAAAGCUUGAGCUUUUAGAUGAUGUGGAGCAACAUGGUAUACAAAAGACUUAGAUUCAAGUCUCUCUGCCACCAUUUUUGAACAAUUGUGCAUGUGUCUGACCAUUGAUGAGAAAAUGGAACCAACCUGCACAUGAAGGGGCGAUUUGAAGACAACAUACAAAUAUUUGUCCUCUCUAUAUUUAUAGCUCAAACUUUUACAAGAGGUAGUUCAACGUUGGGUUAUUCAUGCCUCGGCCUUAGAGGUUCUGAUUUAGCUUAAACUUUCUUGUAGGUGAGAACAAGUUUAUGACUAUCCCAAGGAAAAAUACAAGGACUUCAAGAGAUUGGGUUGAUAACAUAUGGGUGGAUAUAAAGCCAAAGCCCGAUAUAAUUUCUUUCUUAUCUCCAACUGUCAUCCCAGUUGUGAAUCUUCGAUCUUUCCCAACUUCGACUGGCCCAUCUAAACCUAAUUGCAAAGCUCUCACUUCUUCAAAAUGUGAAGGCUCCGAAGAUGAUAACUUGCAGUUACCAGAUCCAAUCACAUCUAUAGGUGCUGAGAGGCUUAACAUGUGGAACCGAGUUGUUAUCAAAGACGACGAGGACAGGGUUCAUACUCUUGCUCAUGCUGCAGUCAAGGGGAAAGCUGUGAAGAAAUAGUGAUGUUACUUGAAUACAAACAAGAAACUGCUAUGGAGUAAUUUUGAAUCUGUAACCUACUCCUGAAGUUGGCAAAGCUAUUUAGUGUUUUGUUGUUACUAGUUGCUGGUAACUAGGAUGUAUAUUCGAUGUUUUGUUUUAAAUUUAGAAUAGACAGCAUUUGGUGCAAUCAUGUCAACUAGUUUUGAGUUCCGCUUUUAAUAUAAUAUGAAGUAGCUAUUUCUGUUGUUGUUGUUAUUAUUAUAAUUAUUAAUAUUAUUAUUGUGAAAGCGAUUAUUUUAAAAGUAAUUUUUAUUUUUAUUCUUAUUUUUUGGGGUUAAAAGUAGGAAAGAGAUGGGUAAAUGUGAAAAAUGAUUUUAUUUUAAUUUUUUAAGUGUAAUUUGAGCGUGGAUUAGAAGUGAUUUUCAGAGAAUCAAAAUUAAACAAGGGCUAAGUUUCACACUUCGAAUAAAUUAUGGGCUUGUUUGAUAGUGAUUUUGAGAAUUGUUUUUUUGAUCGUUGAAAAGCAAAGUGGGUCUAUCUGUAAAAGAAGAAGUAAAUUAUGAUGGCUUUAACAGUGAAAUAACGGUCAAAAAAUUGAUUUUUUGAAGUGAAAAAUCAAUAUCAAAUAUGCUGUAUAUGUAUCUUGAUGUUGUCCCCAAUGCAUUUUGGUACCAAAGAAAAAGUAGAACCAAAAUUAAAUUAAAUUUAAUAGUAUCAUUCACGUAUCUUUUAUAAUAGAGACCCUAGAAUACUAAGUAGCUAUAAAUUAUAAAUUAAAUUGAAUUUAAUAGUAUCAUUCAUUUAUCUUUUGUUUGGGGAUAAAUUAUAAUGCGAUGACAAUUAAGAAGAGAAAUUGAUUUCACAAAAUAUGUGGAUAAUAAAUAUGUAGUAAUUCGUCCGUAAAUUAUGAGGAGAUUAUUAUGAAACCAAAACGAGCAUUAAAUGCUAGUUUGGAUUAGCCUAAUGAGUGUAGGUCCUAUCGCCUUAAAAGUAUGCUUGACCAAUUUAUUUAUAAAUAAAGAUGCAUCAUGAUUAGGUGGCAAUGAGUCAUUUGCUCAUUGUCCAAUGAAUUAAAGUGUAACACGGUUCCAUUGUACAAUAAAUAAGAAAUUCGUUGCACCUAAUCAGUGGUGCAUACUAAUGAAUGAUGAUAUAUAACAUUAUUCUAAAUUGUCAUUUGACUUUGCAAGAAUGUUAUGAUUCUAUAUUAAUCGUCCAAGAUUUAAUUGGUAACUAGUCUCUAAUAGAAUAUCGAAUAAAUGUGACACAUUCUCGCAGUCAAUACCAAAGAAAAAGUGGUCGACACUUUCCAAUCUUUCAAUUAUCACACAUUGAAGCACUUUUACUCAAAAUAUAUGAAAAAUAAGAGUUUGGCUAUGUAAGCUUUCAACUAGUGCACUUUCAGGUAACCUUUAAAAGUGAGAUUAUAGAUAUAUUUAAAUCUUUACAUGACAAAAUUUCUAAUAUGCAUGUUAAAAUUGUACUUACUUUCACAUGACUAAAAAUUAGGGGGGGAAAUUCUCAAACCAUUUAAUUACGUGCAAAUAUUCAUAUUAACAUUCCAAAUUCAUAUAUAUUUAUGAGCAGUACUACACUGUCAAAAGAAUUUCUACAGAAGCUUUACAAGUUACUCACAGUGUGGUGGGUUAGUUUUUUUUUUUUUUGCAAUAUUUUAUUACUCGGGGUCCCAUGUCGGACUCACAUCCCAUGUGAGUACCUAUACACACCUUGUGAGAGUCCCCCUGUACGUGCAGAUUAAUUGUAUACUUAUAUAUGUUGGGGGACUCAAAAUCUUAUAUUUAAAUAUUAGGGAAAGCAAACCACACUCCCUCAAAGGUCAGGGAGUCCACCCUGAAAUCCCCUGAAAUAUUUGAAUUCAGAUAGCGGUAAGUCAAUAAUCAGAGUACAAUAUUAUCAUUAAAAAAAGAAGAAGAAAAAAAAGGCAAAUUCUCCCGCUAUCCUAAAAUUGCAAGUCAUUUGAAUCACUCCAAAAGAUUAACAUAAAAGGGGGAGUAAAUUCCUUCCUCUUCACAUUCCCAAAGAAGAACAAUGGCUUCAAUCAAACCCUCAACUCGCUAUGCUAACAGCCUUAACAGCUCCACAAAAUCUGACCCUUCUUCAUCCACCGAGUUCCCAACAUCACGCACCACCUCGCGCGCCGUCACGAAAGCUACCUCCAAUAAAAACGUCACUGCCACCGACAACAUUAAUCUGAGCUUCAUGGUCAAGAAAUUUAUGGAAAACAAGAAGGCAAAGAAUUCAAGUAAAGACCCAAAAUUCAUUGUGGCAGCUGAUUUUUUAGCCGAGGAUUUGAAAAAGAAUAGUGCCAAGAAGGCUACCGGAUUAAGUGGGCUGCACAAGAAGUUAUUCAAGGGUUCAUCAGGGGCAAAAAAGGGAGAUGAAAGCUCGAAGAAGGCGUUGACUGAGGUCAAAGGAAAUACAAGGACUUUGGCUAUGGUGUUGAGGAGUGAGAGGGAGCUGUUGAGUGCAAAUAAGGAGCAGGAGCAGCAGAUAGCUGAGCUCAAGUUUGCUACUUGAAGAGAAAAAUGGAGAGGGAAUAUGUGUGUUUCUAUGUGGUUCUGUACAGAAGAAUUUAUGGUUUUAUAGUUGAACUUUGAUGUGUGUUUCUUAAUUAUCUAAGAUGACAUAGAAUCAAGAUUCAUGUGGUAAAAUGUGUGAAAUUUACUGAAAUUUGAAGAUUUCGGAUGAUAGGAGUAAAGUGUACGAAAAAAUGGAAGCUUUGGAACAAAUGGGGAGUCAAUAGCAUGAUAGUUGAAAUAAAAAUCUUUUAGGAUCACUAUAAUUCGGGAUGUAUUGAUAAAUAUGAGUAAAUUAACUGAAAUUUGGGACUUCUUAUGUGUGAGAUUGACUGAUAAUUGAAAUCCCGGUUUUUUCAGUUUAAUCUUCUCUUUCUAGGGGAUCCCUCCGAGGUCAUGAGAUUUGGUUGAGGCAGGUUUUUCUGAAUAUCCCAUGUUUAGAUUUCAUUUAAUGAUUAAAGAAUUUGUAGGUCGAGAAGCUGAAAGAUUUGUGCUUGAAGCAAAGGGAAGAAAUAAAGUCUCUUAAAAGUGCCAUACUUUUCCCAGAUGUGAUGAAUUCACAACUUCAGGAGCUUUUGGAGAAGCAGGGUUCGGAACUUCAGCAGGCAAAACAACUUAUCCCGAGGCUUCAGAGACAAGUCACUUCUCUUACCGGCCAACUUCAAUAUCUUGCCGAGGAUCUAGCUGAGGUAAGCAUUCAUAUUUUGUACAUAUAUCAGAGUAAAAUGUAAGAUUAGCACAUCUUCAAAAUUGAUAAGAAAGUAAUUGUUAAUUACAUUGAACUAUUGUCUUCUCUUCUUCAUAAUUUUUAGCUAGGGUUGGACAAAAUUCUUGAAUAGGACCCUAACUGAACCAAAAUGAACCAACCGAGUGGUUCUUCUUAAAUUAAAUACCUGAACGGGUAUUUGAAUAGAGAACUGUGAGGUUUGAUUCGGUUUUCGGUUCUAGACGAAGAAUUGAAGAACCGAAUUUUCCUAUUUUUUUAAUCUUAAAUCAGCCAAAUUAUUUUAUUUUCUUUAAAUAAAAUUGCUAACUAUUUAAUUUAGCCCAAAUCAAAAAUAUAAUUUUCCUAUUUUUAAUUUUCAGCUCAAAUUCAACUUAAUCAAAUUAACUUAAGUUUUAUCCAAAUCUCUUAUUUUACUGUAAUCCGUUUUUGCCGUUAUGAAGAAAUCGAAUUGGAAGCUCGGUUGCGUCUCUCUUUAUUAUUUUGAGCUCGUUAUUUGCCCCUUCUCGUAAUUCUAGCAGUCAAAUCUAUAAAGAACUCAACAAAGAGAGGUGCAAAAUAUAUCAUGUGAUUCGACUACAUUUUUUGAUAAAAGUUAAAAUUGAACAUGUCAUUUGUUAAAUUAAUGUAGUGUUGUUGUAAAUAUUAAAAAAUUAAUUAUUUUAUAGAACCUGGAAAUCGAACCGAACUAAACGGAACCAAACCCGAAUGUUCAAUAGUUAAAUUUGGACCCGACAGUUCCAUUUACUAAAUACUCAAAAAUUCUAGUUUGAUUCGGUUUCUUUAUGACCUAACGGAGCCUAACCAUGUCCAACCUUACUUGUAGCUAACUGCUUUCUGUAUAUAAAGCUCUAGGGAUUCUGCAUGUUUGGUGCUAAACUGUUGUUUGGUUCCGAAGUACAUUUACAUGAUAAAAACUAAGGCUUAUUUCCAAUAAAAAAUUGGGAAAACGAUAUUUUAUAAGGAUUCAAGACAAACAAGUUCGCUCAUUAUACCAUGUCCUUGCUGUUUUCUCUAAGGAAGCAGAAAGAAUCAAAAAAACUUUCUACUUCUAUUCUUGAUUGUCAAAAUAUUUACAUUCUUGGCCAGUAGCUGCUUGUUGGAGUUUACACACAGAGCAAGAAAGAAAAUGAGAAACUGUAUAUUAUAAUCUUGUUAACUUGAACCAAUAGUAGCUAUUGAAGCUAUUUUGAGUUUGGUCUUCAAUUUUUUCAAGGAAAUUUGCUGGUAAGGCCUGUUGUCAAGCUGUCAGCAGUCUGUUCUGAGGACGUAAUAUGUUGAACAUCAUGUUGCUUAGCUUCCACUUUUUCUCUUACAAAAUAAGGAUCAAGUUACAUAUUCAAAUAUCUAAAGUACCUACUGUAUGGUGUGAUAACUUUUGUACAACUUACCUUUCAGCUAACAUAUCAGCAGUAGCAUUAGCCUAGCUUUCGAAUUAGGCUUUGAAAUGGUCUGUUGUUUCUUUGAACUCCAGAUAAUGUCAUUGCCACCAAAAUAAAUGAAAAAGGUUGAAAUAGAUUUCCUAUCACCCCCAAUCUCCAGCUAAAAAAUCAUGAAGUUGAAUAAUAAAAUCUAUGUCUAAAAUAACCCGUGAUCGAAAGUUCCUAUCAAAUACUUAGAAUUCUUUUGACUGCUUUCAAAUAUGUAACAGGUGAAUUUUGCAUGUUUAUCUGUCUUUUGAGUGUGGCAUAGUGAAGUGCAUUAUGAUUCUAUAUAAUAUGGGAUUGGGUAAAGCAUCUCCUAUCCUUCUGAACAAUUAAGUGCUACUAUUGGUGGAGGAAAUGCCCUAAGCGUCAGCCAUCUUUUUUUUCCUUAAAAGAUGUUGAACCGAGAAAGAUGCAAUCCCCCAUUUGUAGCCUUUUAACUUUUAUUCCCAAAAAAUAGCUAAGAUCCCGAAGAUCGUUCAAUGCGAAAGGGUUGUUUAACAACAACAGCAACUCUGGUACUUCUGAGUUAUCACUGCCUGUGAUGACUAUGUCAUCAUCAUAAACUAAAAUGUUUUGUAUAUCUCACAAAAAAUGAUGGAUCAGCUUUGGAGUUGGUGAAAUGCAGCUGCAGCAGAGAUGUUUUAAGCCUCUCAAACCGGGUCAUGUUUCAAUCAUAGAUAGUUACUGCAGUAUAUUUUUGUUAACUAAUUUUGAGAAGUUGUUGCCUGGUAUCAACUGAUCCUAAUUUCGUUCUGCUCCAUAAUGUUUUGAAUUCAUACAUAACCUUGUCAGAUUUAGGAUCACUUUUGCUUGUGAACUUGAUAAUAUAUAAUUGUUGCUGUAGGUGAAGGCUGAGAAAUAUUCAUCGGGAGGAUAUUGUGACGAUCAUGUUAACUCUCCAAGGACACCGUCAUACGAUCAAGAUGAAGAAGCAAAUUCUCUGGUAAACACAUUCUAUCCAAGUGGUGAUCUUAUUUUGGAAAGGUUGAUCUUGUAAAUUCCUACUAAGAUCAUAGACUCAUAGAUGAAGAGUACAAACGAGUUCCUAUUUGUUUCAAGAAUUAUUAACCUAAAUGGACAUGGGAACUUUGCAAGUCAUGUAUAUUAUUCUCUCAAGCAUUAAACAAUAUCAUCGUGCUUAAAUAUCAGAAAAUCAUGUCGUAUAAAUGUUUGAAAGACACUCUUGGCACGUUUUCUCUACUAAUAUUUAUAUGAUUUGUUCUUUUACCACCAACAGAACUUUUCUCAGGGCUAAAGAAUUAACUGUCUCAUAUUUAUGAUGCACAUGUUCUUUUCUUAAAAUAAAUAAAAUUCAACCAAUUUUACUUCAACAUAAAUUAGCAAGGAUAUCUUAGUUUUGUAUAUUGAGCAGUUUGGUAACGAGUUCAGCUCAGGAGAUUACACGGCAGGCAGUCCAGAUGACAUGUUUCUCAAAGAUUUAAAUCCCUGCCUAACGCCUAAUUAUGCCAAGACAAAGUCUAAGGUACCUGUAUUCAAACUUGAACCAAAUCUCUUUGCAUUUCCUUCACUAUCUAAAUCUUGAUUUUGAAUUCAGAAAUCUUAUAUUAGCUUAUACGAAUGGAUAAUAUUACAAUAUCUUAUACAAGUACUUGUAGGAAUUUGAUGCAUAUAAUUCCCCAGAUGAGGUGUUUAAGUCCAAUAUGCAAAAUUGCAAUGGAUUUAACACAUGUACCAGGAAGCUAUCUAAAAGUUCGGACCGUAGCCAAUGCUCAAAGACAGGAAGUGGUUCCAUUCGUGUAGCUUGGAGGUCAGAUGAAAGCAAAUGCAACUACAGAAAGCCAAUGAAUAAUAAACUUUAUCUAAUACUCAGGAACUUUAAAAUUUUUCUUGAGCAUUUUUACUUUGUUCCAGCAUCCUACUCUCCGUUGCAAAAAUUUGAAACCUUUGUAUGGUCAGAAUAUUCAGUUUUCUUGUGUUGUAUUGGAUAUACUGGCUAAAUUGCCAAUUUAAUCAUUUUAGC
Molecule: long non-coding RNA, 121073 nt
Filed under: Olea europaea (common olive)
Lineage: Eukaryota; Viridiplantae; Streptophyta; Magnoliopsida; Lamiales; Oleaceae
Description: long non-coding RNA (OEUR_LNC005428)
Source: RNAcentral